This 90823-nucleotide long non-coding RNA is filed under the name Chlamydomonas reinhardtii. RNAcentral describes it as "long non-coding RNA (CREI_LNC000586)". The record is from RNAcentral. Lineage: Eukaryota; Viridiplantae; Chlorophyta; Chlorophyceae; Chlamydomonadales; Chlamydomonadaceae.
CUUGAUCUCCGGGUCCGGGUAGCGGAUGGUGCGGCCGUCGUGAGUGAUCACGUACGGAACACCGCCCUUGCCGAACUCGACCUUGCGGACCUGGGGGGAGAGGCAAGACACGAGCGCAGGGCAGGGGUAAAGUUCAGGGUGCUGGGUUUAACUGAGGCCGACAGCUGUGCAUUCGGGGAACGUCAGUCCAGUGUCAAGUCCUGCUGCAUGUCACCCCCUGGCCACUCCCCAGCUAACCCCUCCCUGCCCCGCCAUAUAGUGAUGGCUGCUCCCAUACGGUGCUGUGCUCUCCAGCGCUGGCUGACGCUGCUGGGUUGCUCACCCUGCACAGCUUGUAGGCAGCCUCCUCCUUGCUGAUGCGGUGCACGACGAAGCGGCCCUUGGUGUCCAGCACCAGGCGGAAGUUCUCGUCGGUCUUCUCCAUGCUGAUGACGUCCAUGAAGCCGGUGGGGUAGGUGUGGUCGGUGCGGACCUUGCCGUCCACCUUCACCAGGCGCUGCAUCAGGAUGGACUGCACCUCCUUGCCGGUCAGGGCAUACCUGCACGACACGCAUACCAAGUCGUUCAAGCCCCCUGCCGAGAUUUCCUUAUCCGCACAUCCCCAACCCCGCUGCAACCGGCUGGGGCUGGCUGAAAUGCGCUCGACUGUGUCGGUCCGGCGGCAAACAGCUCCAGCGUCCCGCCUUUUUUGGGAAUGCAUUAUGUUCUGAGUAGCGCUGCUGCGUAGCCAGCGAGCAUUCCUCUGCUUCCAACCCCGGCGCAGCAAUGGCGCCAGGCCAUCCAGUGCAGCCUCCCGCUGCCCCAACAGUCGCUAAGAAGCCGCUACCAGGCUGCUGCAUUUGCGGCUCCAAAGCUGCUGAUAUCGGUCCUCCACAGGCCCCGGCCGCCGCCCUCCCGCCGUCUGAGCCGCCGAGAGCGUCGCUGCUGCUGUCCUCCGAGCUCCGAUCGAUAUCAUAGCCAGUACAAAACAUCCAAAAGCAUCAGUAAUACAGCUUGAACACUCACUUGAGGCGGUUCCUCAGAAUGAGCAGCAGAGGCAGGCACUCGCGCUGCUUGUGGGGACCAGCGGACGGCUUGGGAGCCUGCACAAUCAAAUAAUGAAACUCAUGAGCGAUGAUGACCCGAAAGCAACCAAGAGCACGGAACGGCGAGGCAUGCCCUGCGACCGCCGCCCUGAGAGACCGAGCGCCCGAAUUCCUCCGCAGCCGCCAACAAGCCCUGCUCCAGCAUCCAUAAAAUAGACUUACGAAGAUGCCGCUCAGCUUGUCCAGCAUCCAGUGGUAGGGCGCAUUGAGGCGCUUGAGGUGCUUCUUAGGGCCGCGCACCAUCUUGAGUUGAGCCUCUAGGCAGCAACUCAAAGAAUGUUGGGAAGAGAAAGAGUUCUGCCCGCGUGUGCGACUUGGCAGGACCACCCCGCAUUCCAGUUUGCUCCAGGAGGGGCGCCAUGCAAACUCUCGCUGCAGGCGCGGGAAGCGCCUGUAAGCUUCAAAACCCUAUGUAAUGAAUUAGUAAGAAGCCAAGGCGCUGACUUCCCCAGGCGGAGGGCCGACUUGCCCUGCGGAGUGCGUGUCGUUCGGCGCGCCGUGGCAGGCUCCAGCGGAUUUUCCCGAGCACCUGGGCCAUCACCAACCGCAACACCAACACUGCGUCAUUUGCCCCAAGACACACAUGUCGCACACCCACCAGGCCCUUGGUCCACGCGUUUGCUUUUGUGCAACAGAGUUCGGAAACGUAUGUCGAUCUCGUCUGCCCCCUGUCCCAGGGGAUGCGCUCUCAUGGACACAACGAAGCGGUUACAAGAGGAGGCUGACUUCGCUAUGCUUUGUUACAUUCACUUCCCUUGUACCGGUACUCUGUGACACGCCGCCGCCGCGCUACUCUUCUGCUUCACCCCGUCCUCCCCAUGCGCCCCAGCCCCCUCUUGCCCUCCCCCUUUCCCCCCACCUGCUCCUUCAUCCCUUUCCUCCACUGCCUCGUCCAGCGCUACCAGCCCAGGUACUCGCACAUCGCUGACAGCGUCUCAUCGUCCUCCACCUCAAUGGCCAACAGACCCAGCCGCGGCUGGUACCCAGACAUUUGGAGCAGCUCCGGGCGCAUCGCGGCGGCGGAGCCACCGCCCGCGGCGCCACUGCCUGCCCGCGGCCGGGGCUUGCUGCCGCCUCCGCCGCCGCCGCCGGCCUUGGCGCCUGUCGCGGCCGCCGCCUCUCCACCUCCCGCUGCUCCUGUGAGCCCCGCCAGCUCCAGCUCCCAGUCAUCCGGCUCCUCCGCCGGCGCCGCCGGCGCCGCGGCGCCGCUUCCACUGCCACCUCCACCCCCACCACCGCCCACCUCCCCCGCCCCUCCUCCGUCCUUCCCUCCACCCUCCCCUUCACCCGCAACCCCGCCUCCCGGCCCCGCCCAGCCGCCUGCCGCGGCGCCUCUCCCAAACCCGCCGGGGUGCGGCACCGCCCCCGGCGCCGGCUCUGGGUCCUCGAACCCGCCCUCCAGCACCACGUUGGGGUCGUCCGCCGUGCGCAUGAACAGCGACAGCGCGUCCUCGCCGCCCGCCUCGCCCGCCUCAUCCCGAGUGCCGCGCAUCAGCCCGUGCACCCACUCGCCAGCCAUGCCCAACUGAACCGCCUCAUCGUAACCGCCGCCAACCGCCAUGCCCAGCAUGUUGCUGUUUUGGUGGUUUUGGUGGUUGGGGCCGCCGCUGCCGCCGGCGUAGCCGCCACCGGGCCCUCCGGCUCCGCCGGCGGCCGCUGCCGCUGCCGCGCCGGCUGCUGCUGCUGCGUGCAGGCGCGCGCGCUGGCUGUCCGCGACCGCUUGGGCACGCAGGACAUUCUGUUGUGAUAGGAAAGCACCAGGGAAGGAACGGACAAGGGGAAAGGGUUGACACAUGUACGAGUGCGUGUAUGUGGUGUGAUAGGUGAGCGAGGGGCAUUGGGUAAGACGCUUGGUUCCCGCCGAUGUGAAGUGCAGUGGGGGCAGCGCCGGUAGUAGUGGCGAGGCGCAGCUCUGGAAUGGGGAGAACAUCCCUCAGCCCAGCGCCCCACAGGUCUUGGUUUCACAGCCCUCCCCCCCACACACGCACCUGCAUGUGCGCCUGCUGCCUCAGCUCCAGCAGCGUCUCGGGCAGCGGGUCGUAGGCCACCACGGGGGCAGACAGCAGCGCCAGGCUGCCGGGCUGGUGCAGGAAGCCGCGCGGCUCGCGGAAGGCCUGUGUGGUGGCGGUGGUGGUGGGGGUGGCGGUGGUGGUGGUGGGGUUCGUCGUGGGCGGGCAGAGUGUGUUUGUACAUGCCGCCCGCCCUCAAAACCAAUCUCCUGGAAGAACUGCGUCAGCAGGUCCCUCUUGUAACCAAUGCAAUCUGCUCAUGUGCACCAUCCAACCAUGCAACCACACACAAACACACAGGAACACACGCGGUUCGCUCCUUGAUUAAAACACACAGACACAGCCGUGCGUCGCACCGCACUGCAUGCAUUGUCCUGCGUGUUCCCUUCCCUGGUGCCCUCUGACACUAACACACACAUCGCAUACACUGUCUUUGCGCUAUGUUUUCCUUGCGCUCUUAAACACAUGCACACACACACACACAUCGGUACCAGGCGGGUGGGCUUUCGUAUCGUUUUUUAACACGAUCGGUACCAGCACCACGCUAUGGUUCUCUUAAGCGCGUGCAACAGGCCCAGGACCCCGUCCGUGUGUUGUUUUUGAACACACACACAUACACAUAUAUAUACACACAUACACAUAUAUAUACACACACAUACACACGCACACGCACACGCCCACCUUCUGCACGAAGGGGUGCAGCUCGGCGAAGGAGUGGGCGCUGUUGCAGCGCUCGCCCGCGGUGCAGCGCACGUUGGCGAAGAUGCGGCCGCAGGUGUUGGUGAAGCGGCCGGUGCGGGGCCGCUGCGCCAGCCGCUUGUCCAGCAGCGCCUGUGAGGCAGGCAGGCAGGCAGGCAGGCGGCGGUAAUGAUGAAAGGGAUGCGCCGGUGCGGCGGCGUGGGUUUACUACUGCAAUCACAUGUAUCAAUUACAAACGGUACACAACAACACAACAACAUCCGCCCCAACCAUCUACGCCCCCACCAAAACACCCCCCCACUCCCCCCCGGGCUCGCCUUCUCCUCCAUGGCCACCUCCACCAGCUUGAGGAAGCGCCACAGGUGCACGUGGUAGGCGUACAUGGCGCGCGUCCACACCUGGGCAGGGCGGGGGAGGGGCAGGUGGGUGGGGGGGGGCGGAGGGUGGUGGUGGGAGGUGCAAAGGAGAGGAUAAACGCCUGAAGGGGAGACGGGCAAGGGUUGGGACCUUGUGUGCAUGUGCGCGUGUGUGUGCACACGCAUGUAACAGGGGUGCAUGCACGCGGAAGUGACUCGUCCGGCUGGUUGCAUCCAUUCCACUCCACUCCACCUGGCAGGCAGCCCCCGACACACACACGCGACGGCUGCGCCCGCCCCCUAACCCCUCAACCCCUCAACUUCUCACCCCCACCAACACCUCAACAAACAUACAUCGUUGGUGCGUUACAGAGAGCAAUGGAGACAACACUGGAGACAACGCCCCCGCCCUUACCCUCGUCCUGUCGCCCUUCUAACCCCCACCACACAGCCACACACACAGCCACACAGCCACACAGCCACAGCCACAGCAACAGCCACACACAGCCACACACACACACACACACACACACACACACACACACACACACACACACACACACACAUCAGUCCCCCACCUGCAUGGCCGGCGCGCUGUCCAGGUGGAAUCCGGGGAAGGGCACGAAGCGCGGCGCGGGGCCGCCGGCGCGCAUGCGGGUCAGGCACUCGUACCAGCGCGGCACCCACUGCGGCGGCAGGCGGCAGGCAGGCGGCGGAGGGCGGGGGCGUUGGAGGAACGGGGGCGGGGAGGGGGCUGGGGUGAGCGCCAGCAGGAGGAGCACAGGGACACGGCAUGUGGUGUUGCGGCCGAGCCUUGACAUCCGUGUGGGAGGGGUGCUGGGUGCUGUCCUUGCAGCACGACACCCGCCCGCCCUCAGCCCUUCCCCCAUGCCCUCGCCGCAAUUCUUUGGGCUCAGGCGCACACCCUGCUACGCCCACCGGCCCAGGGCAGGGCCUGCACAACGGUCAGGGAUGGACAUGCCUCUCCCUGUGUCCUGUGACACCCCCCCUUCACAUGCGCUGCGUCUUUACAAGGCGCAUGGUUGCUCUGAUGGUAAUGAUGAACACCAGCCACCCACCUGCCCGCCUCCCCCCCGCCCACUCGCGCUCCUUGGUAACGCCCACGCUCCCACCCGCCCCAUCUGCAUCCACGCCACGGUUCCUUGACUAUCGGGACCUAUUCCUUCGGGCUCAGGCACAUAACCCCACCCCCCACCUGCAUCCCCACCACCACCCCACCUGCAUCUGGUACGCCCUGACCGGGUCGAAGUUGGUGCACACCAGGUAAUAGCUGCCCACGUGCACGUGGCAGCUGCGCGGCUUGUAGGAGGCCACGUCGCCCGCAAACACCUGUCGCAGCAGGCCCAGCACGCCUGUGCGGCCCGGCGGGGUCGGUGGGUGCGCGGGGGGGCGGCGGGUGCGUGAGUGCGUCCGGAGUUGCGGUGGGGAGCGACGCGACAAGGCGAAACUCCCCCUGCUGCGGCCCCACCUCCGCCCCUCCUUAAUAAGUAGUCAUGAAUGUAACCCUCCCCCCCUGCUCCCCCCUGCCUCACCCACUGUGAACAUGUCUGGGAACAUGUUGAGCCGCAGCACCAGCAGCCCGCCGCGAGCCAGGUUGUUGGCCAUCACGACCAGCUGCGCCACCAGCAGCGCCUGGGGGGGGAUUACAUUCAUGAUAGUUAAGGAAGUGGUAGACGGUAGACCAUCUUGCGGAACAUCAGGCGGGUGGAGGGGGGGAGGAGGUGGAGGAGGGGGGUAGAGCAGGGGUUGGUGGAGGGGGGGAGGAGGGGGUAGAGCAGGGGGUGGUGGAGGGGAGAGGGGUGUUGUAGGGAUGAGGAGGAAGGUGGCGAGGGGGGUGCGGGUGCGCAGCGCGACGCGCUCCCCCCUGAAUGCCGUACAGCAGCACUGCGACCAUUGGGUAACCCCCCUUCUCCACCCACCCACUGCUGCGCCUCUGCUCCGCCCGCAGCUGCUGCGGCCCCCACCCCUAUAGAACCCCCAUCUCCCCCCAUCCCCAAACCGCUCCAGGACCCCCAUCUCCCCUCAACCCCCUCCAAAACGCCCGCCCCCGAAAAGCCUGCCUGCCUGCCUGCCCCCUUCCUCACCUUGUGCGCCGCCGCGUUGCUGCUGUAGACGUUGAAUGCGGGGUUGUCGGCGUCCGUGAGGCUGGUCUCCUUGUGGAUCCAGUCCUUGCCGCCCAGGAAGCUGCCGUCCAGGAUCACAAGCUGGCAGGCGUUGGAGGGCGGGUCGUGCAGGGCUGGGGGGAGGGAGGUGGGGAAGGUGGGGGAGGUGGGGGAGGGAGGUGGGGAAGGUGGGGGAGGUGGGGGAGGGAGGUGGUGGAGGGGAGGGGGAGGGUAGGAAGGCGGGGUACUUCAUUCUAGUCCCAAAAACAAUCCGUUGUCAACCCCGAGUAUGAGAAUUUGAGGCGUUCUCGCACAACGGGUUCUGGUCUCGGCAUACGUGGGGCUUGAUUGGGGAACCACCCCGCCCCAUGCAGCCCCUGCCCCCCGCCCCCUGCUCCGCCCUCCCCCACCUGCGUCCAGCCUCAGUGCGGGCUGCGGGCAUCCGGGGGUGCCGACGCCCAUGUCGCCCACCCGCACCGUGGCGGCGAUGGUGGUCACGUCCACAAAAUGCAGGUAGUAGUUGUCAGUCUGGAGGGGGACGAGGGUGGUGAGGGGUGAGGGGGCGAGGGGUGUGAGGUGAGGGUGCGGGGGGUGACGGAUGAAGGUGCGGGGGGUGAGGGGCAAACGAGGAGGAGGUGAGGGUUGUUUUUGACAGUUCCCAGUGAGACACAUGAAAUGCGGGUUACACGGGUUCGUGGCAAGGCCGCUGGAUGAUACUAAUACUCGGUGAGGUGGCGCGGCGUGGCGUGGAGUGGGCGCCAGGGGGCGUGUGCGUGAGCGAGACGUACGCCCGCCCGCCCGCCCGCGCCGCACGCCCCUCCCCCACCCCCCGCCCGGUCUCUCACCCGCUCGGGUAUGGCUGGCAGGUGUCCGCCGUACAUGGGCGGCAGACUCAGCCCGAUGCCCUUGCGAGGCGCCUUGCCAGCCUCCAGGCUGCGAGCGGGUGAGGGGGGCGGCGUCGUGGCGUGGAGUUCUGUUGCUGGCGGUGGCGAUAGCGGCAGUGAAGAUGACGGCCCACACACCCACAUACCUCCAAACACACCCCCACACCUCCACACAUCCCCCACACCUCUCUCCCCCACCUGUAGGUGCUGAAGCCGCCCGGGCAGCAGCACACGUCCAGGAACUGGAAGGGCUGGUCGGCGGGCCGGUCCGCCAGGAAGCGCCCGUUGUGCUCGUCGAUCUCAAACAUGAUGUAGCGCAUGCGCUGUGCGCGUGUUCAUGAGGUUGUGUGCAAUACCGAAGUGGAAGGUAAAUUCAAGGUGUGUGCGAUGUGAGGGAGCGUAAGACCGAUGAGAUGUGUGACUAUGCGGGUGAGCACAAAGCCUCAGGCACCGCGACAGGCCAGGCGGGUGUGGGCGGCAAGGGACAGCCCCCCCCCCCCACGCCCCCUGGCCUGGGCUGCGCAAUCAGUGCACACCAGCGCGUGUACCACGCAGCAAGCUCUACCCGCUUACCUGCAGCUACCCUGACUACCCACAAAAUCGCCACGCAAGUCACAACGGUUGUCUCUACCACACACACGUACACCCACACAAUAUCACGCACGCACGUACACACGCCCACGUAUCCCCGCACCUGGCACAUCUCGCCGCGCCCCUCCUGCCCAGCCGCCGUCCUGCGCCGUGUCGCGGCCACCGCCUGCCGCCGGCCCUCGCCCGUCACGCCGGGUGUGGUGUUGAGUAUCUCCGGCACCACCCCGCCGCCCAGCCCCACCGAGGCCCCCAUGGGCAUAGGCAUGGGUCCGCCGUAGCCGGCCGCAGGCACCGGCAUGGGCAUCGGCAUGGCACCGCCGAACAUUAUCUUCUACAACGGCCCCUUCUGAAUAAGUUCGUUGCGGAAGUGAGAAGCUACUGCUGCAGCCGCUGCUGCUUCUAGGAAGGCGAUGGCGCAAAGCACGUUCGCGCAGACCUGAGGCGCCUUCGGCCUGAUGUCGCCGUGUGGGGUACGUGCCGCCUAGCGGCACGCACCCGGCGCCUCCGUGCCCGUCCUGCACUGUCACCCUCGCCCCGACCCCAGAUGCUGCUGCUCCGUCUGUGUGUUUGUGUAUGUCGUGAUCCAGCCGUGCGAGACGUACGCCAGCCCAAGCGCCCGUCAGGCGCUCCCACCGCUGGCGGAGGAAUGCCAGCGCCGCUGGGGCCGCGUGUGGCGCGGGCUCAGGAAGCCGCGGCCCCGCAGGUCAAGCCACUGCAGCGAGGCAAAUAGCGUUGCAGGCAGCGGUGAGCGCUGGCGCGGCCUCGGUUUGCGUAGAUGUGGUGGGAGGGACGGGCCGGCCUCCAGGGCAGGGUUUCAGCGCAGGAGCUUGGCGCAAAGGAGCACCAUGUGCUGCCAGUCGAACGUCUACACCUAUCUGCAACAUUACUUUGUUGACACACCUGUAAUGUGCUCAGCGGGGGGCGAAAAUUGCGCCUGUCCCGCGAAUGCUGCGCUCGCCCGCCCUCCACGCCCCAACGGGGGUGCUCGUAGAGAUUUAUUACACUUAAUCAAGACAGCUGAGCAGCGAUAGAUAGGCAGGUGCACUUCGAUUGCUGUUUGCAAGUUGGCUCUGAGACUUUGGACUCAGGUCGCGAAGUAUUAGUUGCCAAAAGAAACAGAAGGCCAGAGACUGACGCCAAUAUGUUGCGUUUGCGCGGCGAUAAGCACAUACUGGCACGAGAACUGCGAUGCACCGCAUGCGUGCUGCGCGUCUGUGCCCCAGCCAGUGUUCCCUGCAGCCAGGGGUGCCAGCAGCCAGCUGCCCCGACCACCCGCUGCUCGUCGGCCCGGGCUGGGCAAGGGGUACCUGAGCACGGUGCUCACCUUCCUACUCUGACUCAGCCUUUCGAACUGUAGCUUUCCUUCAUUACAGGGGCAGGGGUGCCAUGCCUCGCUGCCACACACCCGCCAUGCUCGGCUCCCAACGCUGCUUUCAGGGCCCCACCAAGACGGCACUAUCCCAAGGUCGCCUUCCGCCAAGGCCCCAACCACCCCGGUAACGACAACCGCCGGCCCAGACUUGUCUCUGAAGGGGCAUUCCUGGCUAGACUCAAUGCGCCUGCUGAACACCAGGGGCACCCCUGCUUAAGACGUCUGGUACGCUUCCUGAUGUGUGACGAUGUGAGGCAUGGGGAUUGGAGUUCUCAGCGUUUGAAGUGCAUCCACAUAGGCGCCUAAAGACCUCCUGACCUACAAACCCACUCGAGUGUUGGCGAAGUCCGGGUGGGCUACUGCGCUGUGUGGCAGUGUGGGACAGGGGAGGGUGGGACGUGCAGGGCAUACUCGACCAGCGGUAGGGUGCAGCCACACAAGUUUCCAGAUGCAAGCCAAGUCCAGACCCCCACAUCCAGGUGCAGGCGCCCAUGCCCCAUGGGGCCGUCGGCGCCAUACCUGGUGCCUACAGGCGCAAGCCGCAGACCAGGUCAUCGACGUGCGUUGCGGAACUAGUGCGUAGGUCAUUACACGCGGCACGGUAUGGCUUGGGCCACACCAGCGGUGUUGCUGGCUGCCUGGCCUCCAUCCCAUCGAUCAUGCUGCAGUGCUCCGCGCAGCUCGGCAACCGUGCGACUGGGCGCCGGGCCAGAAACUCCUGAGUCCUGAGGAAGAGCGCGGGGGCCAGGGGGGGGGGGCGCCGUGGCGUGCCACCGGGAGGGGCCACGCCAUGCAAUCCCAGCGGAGCUGGAGCUUUACCGCGCCCCUGUUGCGCAGAUUACUUGUGCCAGCUCUCAAACGUAUAUCUAGCUGCUCACAGAGACUGCACCGAUACUUGCUUUAUCUGCGUUUGUUUGCCGCCUUUCCCAGCUCCAUAUUCACCGCUCGCCUUUCCUUGUACCUGAAGACCCUGGUUAUAUAAGAUGGGUAUGAAUAGCGACCUAGACAAGUGGAUAGAGAAGGUGAAGAAAUGCGAGCACCUGGCCGAGGAGGAGCUCAAGUCGCUUUGUGACUACGUGAAGGUAUGGGGAGGUAUGCGGCGCUUUGGACAGGCGAGGACGCUCAAGGAGCCCGGCUGGCUGGCGAUGCGCAGGAGAUCCUGGUGGAGGAGUCCAACGUGCAACCAGUCAACGCGCCGGUCACCGUCUGUGGUGACAUCCAUGGGCAGUUCCAUGACUUGCUUCGGUUGUUUGAGACGGGCGGUGAGGUGCCGAGCACCAACUACAUUUUCAUGGGCGACUUCGUGGACCGGGGAUACAACAGCUUGGAGGUCUUCACGAUGCUCAUGCUACUCAAGGUAAAUUGCAUGCAGCACUUACUAUCUCAGGUGGUGGAGAGCGCAAGGCUGCUGGUAGCGCUCACUUUGGCGGCCGGGUCGAUGCGCAGGCUCGCUACCCCGCGAACAUCACCCUGCUCAGAGGCAACCACGAGAGCCGGCAAAUCACCCAGGUGUACGGUUUCUACGAUGAAUGCCAGCGCAAAUAUGGCAACGCCAACGCGUGGCGAUACUGCACGGAGGUCUUUGACUUCCUCACGCUCUCGGCACUCAUCGACAGCAAGGUGCUGUGCGUGCACGGCGGCUUGUCCCCCGACAUUCGCACCCUAGACCAGAUUCGGACGAUUGACCGCGUGUGCGAGAUCCCGCACGAGGGGCCGUUUUGCGACCUCAUGUGGUCCGACCCAGAGGACAUCGAGACGUGGGCAAUCAGCCCCCGCGGCGCCGGUUGGCUGUUCGGCAGCAAGGUCACAGCAGAAUUCAACCAGAUCAACGGGUUAGAGCUUAUCUGCCGAGCCCACCAGCUGGUGCAGGAGGGGCUGAAGUACAUGUUCCCGGACCGGUCACUGGUCACGGUCUGGUCGGCUCCAAACUACUGCUACCGCUGCGGCAACGUGGCGUCGAUACUCAUAUUCGACGACAAGCUGAACCGGGACGUGCGGUGAGUAGUCCGGCGCACGGGCACUGCACGGCCAGGACAGGUUAUCAGGGGUUCUGCGCAGGGUCAGAAUGGGGCACAUGCAAGUGCGGGCGGCGUAAUGAUGCUGCGGAGCAGGGGUCGCCCUGCAAGCCCCCCACCCCGCGAGCAGUAUGAACAGAGCAAGAUGCAUCUGCAAUGGGCUGCGGAGUCUGUCGCCUGCGAUGCGAUGUGACACUGGCUGGACGUGUCCGCCCCGUGUGCCCUUCUGCCCGCCAACAGGUACUUCACGGAAACGCAGGAGAACAGCAACAUGAUGGCGCCGCGCGCCACGGCCAGGUGUGUGGAUGGGAAGGCCAGAACCGGGGAAGGGUGGUGGUGGUGGUGGAAAUGUAGUAUGCGAGGUAAAGGAGCAGGAGUUUUACAAGCUCGCACCCGGGCGGGGAGGGGGGCUGGCAAUUACUGGUGUUGCUUGCAGCCCACGCUUGCAGCCCUGUCUGUCGGGAUGCUGUGAGGACCCGCUGGCAGCCUGCGCGGCGGCUGCGGCGGCUGCCAGCGGGGCAGCCACGGCCCCCGCCGCUUGAUCCACUGCCAAGGCCCCCGCGAAGGCCGCAUUGGUAGCAGCCAGCAGGGGGCCCCUGAGCUCCGCCCACAGCACCUUUUACACUUCUUAGGGCAGGCCAUCGGGGCCGGGCGCCUUUCCAUUCUGGCACUGGCCGAGGGCAGCCCAUGGUUUGAUCACUCAGUACCUGAGUGUGACUCCUGGCGCACGUGCUUGUCAUGCUCGGUGUCCGCAGGUACUUCUGGUAAGGCGCCGCCGCAACACGGCUAUGGAGCAGGGUUCGGCGGACCCGUGCGGCCGCCGGCGCCGACCAGUGGCGCCAGCAGCGCAGCGCAGCAUAUUACUGCGAUCGCACUGGCUGCUGGCGGCUUCCUUGCUAGUAAGGGGCAGGCGGAUAGCCAAGCAGGCGGAGCCGGCUGGCUGCUGCACGGGCUAUUUGAGCGCACUCGGAGCUUUGUUAGCGAGGUGAUGGUUACGGCCCUCGUGGCUGCAUGCGUGGGGUAGUUAGGUUUGUGUGGUCGUUACUCUACAUACGGGGAAUGAAUAUCGGGUGAGGGGUAGAUGUAUUUAACUCUUGCAGACUGUGCAUAGGUAGGAAUUGCAUGCGGGGCGCGGCCGGUCAGCAGUGCUGCAAGCGUGGGGCAGGUGCGACGCAUUGUACGAGCAUUGGGUGGCCGUGCGCCGUGUGUGUUUUACCUGUCGAGUGGUUUUUGCUUCGAGACAUGUUUGGCUUGGUCUGAGUGCAUGCGGUAGCAACGAGUAAAGACCUCUUUUAUGUUUGCAAGGGCGUGCACGUGAGCCGCGUGUGUGCUCAAGAACAGCUGAGCGAACGUGACGGCGGAUGUCUGGUCCAGGAUGCGUGUCUGAAGAUACAACGCUCACUGUCGCCGCUCUGUGUAUGGUGGCUCCGAUGCUGCUUGUUUUGAAGCAAGUGACUCACUGGACACCGCUAUGUAGGUUUCGUGAUGGAACUGUUGAGCGAAACUUAGUGGGGCGUGCCCAUUCAUCAACAAAAGCCACGGGCAUGGUGCAUGGAGGCUGCGUGGUGGUGUGCGCACCCGCAUCCGAUUCCUUCGUCAACACCGGACAGUGGACGAGGCAAUGCAGUCUUGCCAUGUAAGAGCUAUGGUAUCGUCGCUAUAUGCUGACACUCACUGCCUUAUGUCAACGAUUUGUCCUGUGCCCCCUCCCUUCCCUCUCCCAUGUGGGCCUGAUGUACGGCGGCCUUGCCUCCGUGAUUGCUUGUGACAACCAGACAUUUCGGUGAUGUCGCCCCCAGUAUCUAGAACUACCCCAAAUAUCACACGCAAAUGGACUACUUGCAUAGCUGGUUGCCGCGCUAAUUUAUCUGUGUCACCCCGGCCAUGCUCCGGACGUGUCAACAUUGCCACACCCACCAUGCUUACUUUGUAUAUCACGUCGCAAGUGCGUAAUUGAUGAAUUGUGAGCUAAUUUUGAAGAGCCAAGGAAGCACGGGAGCACAGAAAUGGCGUUCAUCGCAAGACGUAAGCGGGAUGUCUCUUAAAUGCAUGCUCGCCAGCCAUGUUCUAAGUUGGUCAAACAUAACGUCUUCGGGCGCGGCAGCGGCCCGAGGCGCAUGGCUCGCAGCCGGCCACUGGACCCAGCCUCAACUCGCCUGCCUCACCCACCUUCUGCCUGCACCCCCUCAGGCCUGGUGUCCACGAACAAGCGGCGCUACCAGGAGGAUGGCUUCGACCUGGACCUCACAUACAUAACCCCGCGCAUCAUCGCUAUGGGCUUCCCUUGCGACGGCUUCUCAAGUAAGCCGCCCACCCGCAGCCUGGGCUGCGAACUCCCGAACCCACCCCCACGUCCGCCCCCAUACCACCUCGAACACGCGUCCAAACCCCCGCCCCCCGGUUCCGCCUGCCGACAGGCCUGUACCGCAACCCGGCCGUGCAGGUGGCGGCGCUGCUGGAGUCGCGGCACGGCGGUGGGCGCUACCGUGUGUACAACCUGUGUGUGGAGCGCGGGUACGGCGACCCGCAGCUGUUCGGAGGCCGCGUGGUGCGGCUGCCGCUGUAUGACGGACAGGUGGGCGCACGGUCAGGCAGAGGCGGCGGCGACGUCAGGGUGCGGCUGCAGGAUAGGUGAAGGCUGGGCGGGGACUGUGCCGUGCGAUGAGGCAUCGGGCGUGCGUCAGCCAAGCACAGGACGGGACAGGCGUGCGCCUGCCGGCGGCCUGCGCCGCGUUGCCACAAACCAGCUAUCAGGCCGCUUUGCCAGUAGAGUAGCGCCUGAUGAGCGCCCUAAGCCACUUCCCCUGGCCUUCUGGUGUCGUGCCCUGCCCCGGCCUGCCCCAGGCUCCGCCGCUGCCGCUGCUUGUGUCCAUGUGCCGCGACUGCCGCGACUGGCUGGGCGCCCACCCCGCACACGUGGUGGCGGUACACUGCAAGGCCGGCAAGGGGCGCACCGGCGCGGCCGUGUGCGCGCUGCUGCUGGCGCUGGUGAGGCACGGCCCUGGCCCCCAGGCCCAUUGGCUAUUGCAGGGGGCAUGUCGUAACUACGGAGGGAGUAGGCCUGAAGACAGCGGUUCCGUGUGGGUGCGUGUCACAUGACCUGACAUGCCAGGGCCCUGCGCCCCCUGUCAGGACCCGGCUUUGGGCCCGCACUCGCUGGACGCCACCCUGGCCUUGUGGGCGCAGCGGCGCACGCGCGACGGCAAGGGGCUCACCAUACCCAGCCAGCGCAGGUGGGAGGGAGGGGGGCGGAUGCUAUGUGCCCGGGCCCAGCUGUCAGGUCCCAUCAUAAUCCCAGAAAUCCCCCCCCCCCCCCAGUUACGAAAAUGCAAGACGAGCGCGCCAGAAGUAAACUUGAGGCUGGGUGGGGGGCGGGGCCAGGAGCACGGCAACCGUGGGGCCACAGACUGCAUGAUUUCUCAUAUAAUGCAUCGCCGUUGACCCGGGCGCGCGGCCAAGUCCACUGUUGACAGGGCGGCGGCCGCAAGUGAAGGUUGCUGGCCGCGCUGCCUGCGCUGCAGGUCUGUGGAGCAGUUCCACCGCCUGCUGCUGGCCGCCCUGGCCGCCAGCACCCCCUCAGCGGGGCCGCCCUCGCCCGCAGCCGCGCACACAGAGGCGGGGCACCCAGCCGCCGGGGCCGGCGCCAGCAGCCACGUGGGGUCAGCGGCCCUGCUCCCCGGCUCUUCUACUGCUGCACCUGCCGCUGCUGGCAGCAGCUUGACAGCAGCCGGUCUAGGCGCCACGGAUGCAGCAGCAGCUACUGCUGCUGCUACUGCUGCUGCUGCUGCUGCUGCUGCUGCUGCUGCCGCCACUACUGCGGCUGCAGCAUUGGAUGCGGUGGAGGUGCCGCAUGCGGGCGUGGUGCUGCGGCGGCUGGUGCUGCGGGGCCUGCCGGAGCCACUGCUGCAGCGCUGCACUGUGGCGGUGUGGUGGCGGCCCAGCGGCCACUACGAGGCGCGGCCGCUGUGCUGCGUGCACACCGGAGCACCUGCCGCAGCGGCAGGCGGCAAUGGAGGCGGAGGCCGGGGCGGCGGAAAGGACGGUGCAGGUAUGUGUGACCGGCUGCAUGUGGAAUGGAGUAGAGAGGCUGACCCGUUGAGCCCGAUGCCGGUAUGGUCUGUUGUCAUGGCUGCACCAGGAUCAGCGCGAACUGAGGCGCAUGCGACACUGUACUACUCGGUGCAGGGUGCUUGGGCGGCGGAGCAGGUGCAGGCCCGCCGGGCGAUGGCCAGUGCGGGAGCGGCACCGGUGGCGCAACCUGGGUUGUCAAACGCGGGGCGGCGGGUGGCGGCGCCGGCAGCGCUCCAAUUGGCAGCAGCCCUAUGAGCCACCCCAGCAGCAGUAGCAAUGCCAGCGCGCCGGAACUCAUCAUAGACCUUACGUCGGUGCCCAGCCCGCCGCCGCCACCAGCGCCCACGCCGCUGCCCUACUUCCAGCCGCCGGACCCUCCUCCCCACCCGCCACCGCCCUCACGGUCCAGUGCCUGGCCGCACGCCGCCGCACGCUACACCGGCGCCACUGGUGCGAGUGGCACUCACGGCCACAGCGGCGGCGCCCAGACUGGAGGCGGCAGUAGCAUGGCAGGUGGCAGCGGUGGCGGCGGCGGCGGCGGGCCCCUGCUGGCGGGCGACAUCAAGCUGCAGCUGUUCAAGGGCCACGUGGUGGACCCCGCGCCCGACAUCUUCAAGGGCCGUGUCAGCCAGUUCGGCGCCUGGCUGCACACCGCCUUCAUGCACGACCUCUCCCAGCAGCUGCAGCAGCAGCUGCCGCAGCGGCAGCAGCAGCCUGGGGAACUUGGAGGGCAGCAGCAGCAGCAGCAGGCUGCGCAAGUUGCUGGGGAGCAGCAACGUUGGGCGCAUGGGGCGCAGCAGACGGCAGCGGCAGCAGCAGCUGGGCCCGGUGGCGCCUGCACCUUGACGCUGACAGGGGCGCAGCUGGACAAACUGGCAAAGGCGCUGCGGAAGCGACGACCCGAGAUCUCUGUGGCGGUUGAGUAUGAGUUGCACUGAACAAUGGGGCGGGGGCAGGCGUGCAUGGGUGCUGGGUGGGUGCUGCUCAGCUGCUCGGGGCGGGAGUGGCCCAUUGACUGUGUGACCUGGCACCGUUUCAACUAUGGAGCCGGCGGCGUUUGGCGCGGACAGGCCUGUGACCGGACAUACUGAUUGGCAUACUUCAAUUCUUCAUGGAUCAAUGGGACCAGCAUAUUUGAGGUAGCGGGCGCUUAGCUGGCGGGUGGGUCCGGAACGGGUCGCGGAGGCGAAGCUGGAGGAGUUGUCGGACCUGCAGGUGGAGCAGUAGUGGGUGCAGCAAGACUUUGGGCGGUGCCUGUAGCCUAGAGUGAAGGGGAGCCACCACAGGUGACCGUGUGACCUGCGCAAGUUCGGACUGUGGAGCUGGCGGUGGGCAGGCGGGAGGCCGGGCGUACUGAUUGCCAAUCAUCUCUUCAUGGACGAGGUCAAUGUGACCACUAUUCUGAAUUUAGCGGGCAUUUAGCUAUAGGAUGGGUCUCCGGAAGGCAGGGGGUUGCCGGGGACUGCCGGGGUGAGAGCGUGUGAGACAGAUGAGCGCAUGCAUGUGAAGAGGCCCGCGCACCCCAAUUCGCUGGUGACUGGCGCUUUCUGUGUUGCUGCGGUUGCUGUAGGGUAGCCAACAGGUAGUGGAUCAGACGUGAACGUUCCUCGUGAACUCUCUGAAGCGCAAUUCCACUGCCGAUACCAGCGUUUCGCUCAAAUCACGCCGUGCUAUUGUCUUUGUGCACCCCAUAAUGAAGCUUACAAGUAGCAAAUCGGCGACCUCCUGUCGCAGCUCGCGGAGGAGCUCCGUGGCGGUUCAUGCUCGCUUUGGCCGCGACUCGGGCCUUAUCCUUGGACCGAAUGGACCUAACAACAAUCCUGGCAAUAACAACCAGAAGAUGAAGGAGCAGCGGCUAAUCCUGCCGGGGCAGCAGCAGCGUGGCGCACCUGGCGGAGGCCGCAUUGUGUUCCCGGAGAAGCAGGGCGGCAGCGGCAAGCCAGGAGGCGCAAGCAUGGACAACUUCCUGCCAGAUGACAGUACACUGGGUCUAGUAGGCGAGUCGCUUGUCGGUGGCCCCGCGACACUUAACAAGUAUCGCCCGCCCGCCGGUUUUAUGAACGAGAACCUCCCGGAGGACGCAUACAGUAGCAUGGACCCUCAGGAGAUGCUCAACAAACUGCGUGCGCGCGCUGGGCACUGGCACGAGCUUGCCAAGUUGAUGGCGCCGCUCAACUCAAGCGGCUACAGCUCGUCGGCCAUCGACGAGUUGACGGGUAUCACGCCGCUGGAGCAGAGCAAGUGGGUCGUGGCGGCGACCGUGUAUGAGUCCGUUAAGGCGUCGCCGGCGGUGUCCCCGGACACGCUGCGCCACUUCAACCAGGGCGGCGAGGAGCUGCUGCACCCCUUCCGCUUCCUGUCCGCCGAGCGCCGCGUGUCGGCCGCGCAGUACAUCGCGGAGCAGAACCUGGACCCGCCGGUGAGGGGCGAGAGGGGGAACGGAGGGCCCGCGUCGGGGGAAGGGGUAUCGAGGUGACGAACGUGCGUGACGAGCGAGGGCAGGGAGCGGAUGGGCGCACGGUGCGACCUGCACCGCGUGACCAGUGUGUAGUGGCUCUGGAUGAACUGCGUGGCGUCUCACAACGAGGGGGGUUGCUCAGGCAUUGGCAUUCUCGAGAGGCUCAGGCACCAGUAUCAGGCGUCUGUGUUGCAAGUUGGCGCAGCCACGCACCUGACAGGGGCGCGUUGACGGAGACGUACGCGCGCCCGCAAUGAACUCUGAGGCCUACAACCUACUGGUGCAGCACUGAUUUACGACUUAGCUUGGCCAGUCGCUAGCCCUCACACCUCGCACACCUGCCCCUUUGCACUGCUGCACACCCUUCCACCCACCCACACCUACACCCGCCCGCACCCCGCAUGUGCCCACGCAGAUGUGUGAGAUCCUGGCCCGCUCCAUGAAGGAGUACGAGCGCCGCCCCACCGAGCGCGUGGGCUUCACCGACCACCCCGCCGACUGCCUGGCGUUCAAGUACCUGCGCGACGUAAGCGGCUGCGGGGGAGGGAGGGUGGGGGCGGGGAUGGGGCAUGUUGGGGUGGCGGUGGCAGCGGCAGUGCUGAAGGUGGGCUGGGGGUGGACGGUGUGGGCUGGGGCGGGCGUGGGGCCGGCCGUACGGAGCAGGGGCGUGGUAGUGGGAGUAGGGUGGGGCAAGUUGGGGAGUUGCAAGAAUGCCUGCAGGGAUACGGCCAUAUGGGGCACCAGCGGUCUGCUGAGGAACACAGGGCAGACAGAUGGCACGACACAGCGCAGCACGUCAGCACAGCGUGCUCUCUCGCCGGGGCUUGUUGUCCCGUCCAAACCGCCGUCGGCGUGCGUUGCCGUCCCACCCACUUACUCGUACAGGCCAUCGAGUGCCGCAAGCGCGAGGAGGCGGUGCAGAAGGUGGAGCAGGGCCUAUCAGUGGCGCUGUCAGACGGAGCGCGGCAGCGGCUGGUGCGUGCGGGCGCGGGUGCGGGACGUGGGUGCGGGUGCGGGCAGGCAGGCGGGCAGGCAGGGGGGCAGUGUGGGCUGCUGCUGGGUGCGUGGGGGGACGGCAAGGGGUGCCGGUACGACCUCUCAAGCCUCCCUCAUGCACUUACCCCACUCCCACUGCCACACUCCCCCACACCCCCACCACCACCACGUGUGUGCAGUACGAGCUGCUGGCUGAGUCGCCCGAGGAGGCGGACACGGGGUCGGGCGUGUCGGCCAGCCUGGUGACGCUGCGGCUCAACCCCGAGGAGCUGGGCGUGCGGCCGGUGGCGGUGCUGGGAGAGCUGGGGCACGCUACGGUGAGGCAGCGCGUGUGUGUGUGCGUGUUGGCAGGCGUGUUAGUGCGGGGCCGGCAGGCGAAGUGGUGCAGCAUGAAACGCAGUUUGGGCGCAGCCAGGGAGGUGGGGCUUGAGCCUGGGCGGGGCGGGUGACCAAGGUGGUUAGCAAAGCAGGGCAGGGCGGGGCUCGGGAACCCCAGAAGACGGCAGCCUAGUAUGGCGGAUGAGGCGGAGGAGAGGCGCCGGGGAAUCAGGCGCACGUGGGAGCGAUGCCAUGGUGCGACCUGGGGCCUGGGGCACGGCACUGGGUGGCUGUGGGCUGGAGAGGCGACGUGAGGAGGCGCGGUGGGGGGGCGAGGAUGGGCGCGGCGCUCAGAAAUCACUCACGAGUCACGGUAUGCAGUGACCGGGAGCCGCCUGCCCAUGCCCGCUCGCAAUCAGCUGUGUGCCUGGUUUUUCCCAACGUAUCCUCAACCCGAACCCUUCCCCGCUGCCGGUUCCGCUCCCCGCUUCCCGCACGCCCGCCCCGUGCAGAUCGACGACCUGCAGGCCGCGCCUCGCGCCAGCCAGGGCGGCGCGUUCGGCAUGUUCACCAUUGAGCCCGCCGACGCCGACGCCAGCGCCGGCUCCUCAUCCGCCGCCUCCACCUCGGGCCGGCGGGCGUCCGCCGCCGCCAGCAGCUGGGUGGCGCUACCCAUGUGGCGCGCGCUGGCAAUGGCGCGGCAGCCGGUGGGGCUGAUGCUGAAGGACUGCGCCGCCGUGCAGGCGGUGCUCGCGGGCAGCAAGGCCAAGGUGCGGGCGCGUGGGGCGUGAAGCGCUUGGGGGGUGGGGCGCGGCGGGUGUGGGGCGCCUGGGGCACGGGGUGAGGGUGCGAUGAACAGGGCACGGCUGUUUGUUGCGCGGGAGACAUAAUAUUCAAUUCGCAGGCCGCACCGUGCCGCAUGAUGGCACGAACCAGCCCUGUUGUAUUUCGGCAACCGCUUGUCCUGAGCUUCUCCCUUUUGACUAGGCAUGUCGCAACCCCCUUCCACGCACGCACCCUGGCACAUACGCUCGCACACACGAACACCAUCCUGCGGCUUUCUUCUUUGUGCUUCACACACAUACACACACAUGCAUCCGCACACGCACACUCUCUGGGCGGGCUUCGUUGUGUUGGUUAUUUGAACACACGCACGCACACACGCCACCCCACGCAGACGGACGAGGACAAGAAGCGGCUGAGCGGCCCGGGCAUGAUUGUGGCGGACAAGGCGCCCGCCACGUGGCAGGAGGCGGGCCUGGACGAGAACGCCUGGUACCUGGCGCAGCCCGAGGGCGCCCGCGCCAUCCAGCUGGUGGACGGCCGGCGCGCCAAGGCGCAGGAGCUGGACAAGCGCGGCGCGCUGUGCGGCGUGGUGCUGUUCCUGGCGCGGCCGCCCGUCAAGGAGACGGAGGACCGCGGCCACAACCUGCUGCAGGUGUAGGGGGCUGCAGGUGUAGGGGGCGGUGGGUGCAGAUGGCGGUGGGUGCGGGUGGUUGGUGCAGGAGGUGGGUGCGGGUGGGUGGUGCAGGAGGUGGGUGCGGAGGUUGGCGGGGGCAGGUGUUGGGGAGCGGCAGCGGGCGGAGGCGUCUGAUGGAGCGGCAGCGGGCGGUGGCAGGUAGGUGCGCGCGCUUCUAGGCGUGUGACACAGAUACAACACAUGUUAUACACACACAUGGGCACCGCGGGCCACGUGUUGAUCCAUGCUUUGUGUUCAGAAGCAGAAGCAGGGCGGGGGCAGCAUCCGGCAGUGCAAGGCGCGCAGGUGUGGGCACGGGCGGCAGGCGAGCUCUGUCGCGUGAGCUGCAUUUUGGCAGGGCUAUUGCGGUUCCGUCAGCAUGGUUGUUGCAACUGUGUUUGUGUUGUGAUGGUGAUGAGGGCGGUGCCUCAAAGCACAUAGGCAUCUGGGGGAUAUAGUCGGAUGUGGUGGGGCCGCCCGCCAGGUGUUGGAUGCGCGUGUGCCUUCGUGUGCUGCCACAGCUUUGUCAAGUGGCGGCCGAGCCACCUUCUUCUGAAACCACAGAGCUGAUGAGAUUUCCAUGGCCGCGAUGCGCAGAUGGCUGUUAGGAAGCGCCGCACGCACCAAGCGCGCCGGGCCCAACCAGGGGCAGCAAGGAAGUCGGGGAGUCGGUAUGGACCGGUACCAACUUCGGAAAGGCUUUUCCCCUGGCUCCCGCCUCGACCGGCGGAUGAAGCCACAUGGCAUGAUGGCUUUCCUGUAUGUCCUUUGGGAAUGCUGCGAAGGUGCAGAGCGCACGAUGGCGCCAUCAACACGUGCAGUCGGGUGGCAGCACUUUAGGCCGGAGGUUUCGUUUUGAGUGUAUAUAUGUGAAAGGAAUAAAUGCAUGCGUGAAGCGAAUUGCUCUAGAGCUGUCCAGAAAACGCGGUCUGAUGCAAUGAGGAACCCCAACCCCUCUUCUUUUCUGCAGAGCGCCCAAUUUCCUUUAGUGUUGUUUACCACCACUCCCCACGCCUCAUAGUGGCGUGAUAGCAACCAUGAUGCUUAAACAGGGUGUGCAGCAGAGAAUCGCUGCGGGUGCCACUCAGAGCACCCGCAGCUGCGUUGUUGAGGCCCAUGCGCAAGCCUCCAGCCGUCAAGUGAUUACGCCUUUUGCUCCUCGCGCUAGUGGCAAGACCGCAUGCCUGGGCUUCGCUCGCAGCGCCGCAUCGGUCAGCGGCGGCAGGGCUCGCAGCCUGGUGGUUCGCGCCGCCGCGUCUGCUAGCCCUUUCCCCAAGAGGAACGCUCGUCUAGUGCUGGAGGAUGGCUCGGUCUGGCACGCGACUGCUUUCGGCGCGACCGGCACGGAGAUUGGCGAGGUGCGCACCAUCACUCCAAACCCUGGUUGAAGCAGCGAAGCGCGUCCGGUGCACAAUUGGUCUCGGUGAUUGCUGGUGUUGCAUGAUGAAUUGGAUUUUUGCGCCGGGAGCGCGGCCACUGGGGGAGCCGCCUUGUUGUAGGAGCACGUUGUCGCACCGACAUGCCAACCCUUGUUCGCGAACGGUGUGCUUUGACGCGCGCCGCAGGUCGUGUUCAACACCUCGCUCAGCGGCUACCAGGAGAUUAUGACGGACCCCUCUUAUAAGGGCCAGUUUGUCGCCUUCACGUGCCCGCACAUCGGCAACGUCGGGAUCAACCUAGGUCGGUUGAAGCGCACGUCGUCCAGAUACAUGGUUGUCGCAAGAUAGCUGUGCGUUUGAUGAAAUAUCAAUGGGCGCUGAGCUAGGAAUCGUCAGCCAACAAGAGUUGAGUCCGGAGGCAGCACAGCGCAGCCCUCACCCGGCACCCCUGGCCCCGCCGAAGCACCUGGCCAUCCACCGCACUGCCUGCCCCUCACCACAUACCUCCUCCUAACGCACUGCCUCACGCAUCCCCACCUCCUACCUCCCUCCCUCCCAAUAGAGGACAUGGAGUCCACCAAGUGCCACCUGGGUGCCAUCAUCGUGCGCGACCUGUCCUGCGUCGUGUCCAACUACCGCUCGCGCAUGUCGCUGGACGAGUACUGCAAGAAGGAGAACGUCAUCGGCCUGGCCAACCUGGACACGCGCGCGCUGACCAAGGUGCUGCGCGAGACGGGCUGCCUGGUGGGCGUGGUUACCACCGACGCCUCCAAGACGGACGCGGAGCUGGUGACGAUGGCCAAGGGGUGGACCAUCGUGGGCAAGGACCUGCUGAGCGUGGUGUCGUGUACGGAGCCGUACGAGUGGGGCAAGGGCACUACCGACGAGUGGGAGUUCAACCACCGCGCCAAGCUGAACAAGCAGCACGGGCCCUUCCACGUGAGUUGUGCGGUGCGGUGCGGGUGGGUGGGAAGGAGAGGAGGCUGGUGGGAAGGCGGUGUGAGGAAUGCAGAGGGAGGGAGGGCAGGAGGGAGAGGCUGGGAGUGGGGAGUCCGAAGACUGAGAGUGAGGUAAGGGGCGGGCGUGACACAGACUCAAAAGGGGACCGGGGAACGACUUGAUUAGGAAAUCGUUGAUGAAAGGCCGGGCUCGCGGAACGGAGGGAUUCAGGGCACGCAACACAAAAGGGUUCCCUACAUACUGGGGUCAGUGCCCAGCCGCUAUCCACACCGACAGCCAGCAGCUGCGGCCUGCAGUUGACAGUGCAGCUCGUGCAGUGACGAACCUGUCGGAUCGCGCAGUACUUGGUACUAGCGCCCAGACGCCGAGGGUGGGGCCGCUGUUGGCUGGUCACACCGAGCAUGUACUUGCCUGGGUGCCCCAGGCCACUUGCAAGGAGCAUGCACCCAACCCGGACACCCAGCCUGCUGGCUACAGCUGCCACCACGCCAUGUCCAUCAGACUGCUGCGCGCGCUCUGUCGGUCCGUUUUCCAAGCCCACCUCUCAACCCACUCCCCGCUUUACCCAUCUUUAUCCCUCAGGUUGUGGCAUACGACUUUGGCAUCAAGACCAACAUCCUGCGCCGCCUGGCCUCAUUCGGCUGCCGCAUUACCGUGGUGCCCGCCACCUACCCCGCCUCCGAGGUCCUCAAGAUGAACCCCGACGGCGUCUUCUUCAGCAACGGCCCCGUAAGUAGCGCAGCAGUGGCAGUGGCGGGAGGAGGAUGAGGUGGGAGCGCGGGAGCUUGAAGAGCAAGGGGCUGGAGCCUGGGGUGCAGGGGCAAAUGGGCAUGGAGUGGGAGAGAGAGGGCAAUAUGGUUGGCUGCGGCUACGCGGAAUCCAGGCGUGUUUGGCAUACAAAGCAGGAUGGCCCGUCCCUGACUGUACCUGUGCAUGCCCCCCCCCCCCCCACACACACACACACACAUGGUGUCGGCUCCCGGCGCAGGGUGACCCGUCCGCCGCCCCGUACGCGGUGGACAACGCUAAGGCCAUUCUGGGCAAGAAGCCCGUGUUCGGCAUCUGCAUGGGGCACCAGGUGCGUGUGUGUGUGUGGGCGUGUUCCUGUGUUUCUGCUGUGGGGGACUCGCAGGGGGGACAGGGGCCGAACUGGGUCACGAGGGGUCAGAGAGUGGAUACGAAUGGUGGGAGUGAUGGGCAAAGGGCUACGAGGGAGGGCUGGUGGGCGAGCAAGGGACAAGGGAAACGAUAUGUUCCCCCCACGUUGUAGGAAUCAUGUAGCAAGGAUGGGGGCAUCUUGGGAAUGGGUGGACGCCCAGCCUUGCAGGCAAAGUAAACAGGCACAUUCACAGGGGUCUCGUGGGCAGGGGCACACCGGACAAGGGCCACAACAGGCAAGCAAACUCUCUGGGCAAUCCCGUUGCAUUGUGCACUCCCUCGCCCCACACAGGUUCUGGGCCAGGCGUUUGGCGGCAAGACCUUCAAGCUCAAGUUCGGGCACCACGGCGGCAACCACCCCAUCCGCUACAUGCCCACUGGUGAGCCUGCGCGCCACACACCCUGCCCCGCGCGUCUUGCUGUCACAUCGUUUCUCGCAACCCGCUAUGCGUCCUUUCUGCAUGCUGUGACAGGCCCUUUUCCCUCGGUCAUACCCGUUACCCCCACCGCUCACUUAUAUAAUUCCGCAACCCCCUGCCAGGCCGUGUGGAGAUCUCGGCGCAAAACCACAACUUCGCUGUGGACCCCUCCACCCUGCCCGCGGGCGUGGAGGUGACCCACAUCAACCUCAACGACGGGACAUGCGCAGGUGGGGAGAACACAUGGGGUAGCUGGAGAGGGAGGGGGUAGGGGCAGAGAAAGAGGGCCUGACAGAGGGUAGGGGCAGGGAAAGAGGGCCUGACAGAGGGAUGGGCCGCGCCAGGUGCUGGCGGAACAGACGGGCGCAGCGGGGCUGUCUAAUCAGUAAGAUGGUGCCAAGGAGUGGGGCGUGAGACAUGGGCGCAUGAGAACGCAACGCGGCGGUGGAACAGUGGGACGUACGGCAUCGAUAUUGCCUUCAGGGGGCGAUGGGUUACUGUCUGAGGCAAGGUAAAGGCGUUUGCUUGCGUGUGGAUUCUGCGGCGGGGUAGCCGCAAGUGGCCAGUGCUAGGCGCUCCCGUCUCACGGUCUACCUGUCAUGCGACCACCCCCGACUCCUGACCCGCCUUCCGCCCUGCUCCCGCCCCCCCCACAGGCAUGGUGUUCAAGGAGAAGAAGGCCAUGACCAUCCAGUACCACCCCGAGGCCUCCCCGGGGCCCCACGACGCCGACGUGUGCUUUGAGCAGUUCGUGGACAUGAUGCGCGCCGAGAAGGCCGCGCACGCCAGCGCGUAAGACAGUGCGUGCAGCAGCAACUGCAACGACAGGAGCAGCAGCACGGAGAUGUUGAUGCUGGUGGCGUGUGUGCGACUAGUGUCUGGUGUGUAUAGAAUAUGGCGGCAACAUGACGACUUGUGACAGGAGACGAGCCCUCGCGCGCGGGUUGGCGUUCUGGCUGAUCCGCUGCCAGGCCGCGCCGGGCUGGGGCGUGGUAACCGGUAGGGUGGUGGAAGCGGCAGGCGGUAGUGCCCGCAGCGCGAAGCUUUGGGGGCAGCGUCUGCGCUGCCGACUCGCACGCACUGACCGUGCUGCCACCACAGGAACUUGUAGGGGGAGAGGGGCAUGCGUAGGGUGACGGAUGCUGCUCGCCCUGCAUUGUAGCUGAUUCUUUGUUGUAUCAUCGGGGGCUGUACCGACUGUGACUUGAGAGCAGAUGAACAUGAGGACUACUUGCGGGCGUGACGGUGAUUGUUUACGCACACGCGCGCUGCGCAGGGAUGAGGGCGGUGCAAGCUCCGAGGUGUGCAUUGAUGCGUGGGGAAGCUGCAGCCCUCGGAAGUUGCGAUUGACACUGAGCAGCACUGUGCGGUGCCUGCUGUGACAGGCGCGCCGGUGUCGACGUGUUGGGUGGCUUGCUCGCGCGCCACUGCCAGCUGGCGGGAGCGCCGAAGAGGAUGGGUCUCUACGAUCUGCACUGUAUAUGGCUGAGAAUGCUGGCCCUAAUUCCAAUCCGUCCCUCCGCGCGCUUGUCCAUCUGAGGGUGCCCUCAUCACCAUCAAUCCUCGCGGAGGGCGCCCAGCAGUCGGCUCCUUCACUGACUCGCGAAUGACCCUUUCUACGUGGACUUCUCGAGGCAGGGGGAGACCCGGAGACCACACCAGCUACGCUGAGCACAACCCAUGCGGUUGCCAGGGUGCCGCGCCAAGGGAAGACAAGGGAAGCGGUCUCCGGAGCUCGACCCCCCCCCCCCACCACCACCACCACGCCCCCCAGGAUACAGCUUUCGCGCAAGGAUGGGCGUGACUGCGUGAGAAUGGGUGGCCAGAACACAAGCCAUGUGCGCCUGCUUCCAGGGCAGCCAUUAUGGCCUUCGAGUGCGGGUGCUAUCAACUGCACAUGUAUCACGGGGGAGUGGUAAGGCACAGGCCGCAGGUUGGCCACGUCCGCUCGCGAGUGGUGCAACCAAAUUGCCAGGCAGGGGCCUUCCCUGAUGCACGGCGCAUGGCUUUGGCCGAAUGGCCCCAGCCUGUGGCUCUCCGCGCGUGAGCGCAGGGGCUGUUAGAGCUCCCGGCUGGAACGCCAUGGCCGUUGCGGAGGACAAAAUCCUUCGGUGCAAGGGGGACAGGGGUCGUGAACCAGGCCCCACGGAAUGUCACGCAGGCUGCCACCGCCAGCGCGGGGUGCGCAGGCUGCUGCCGCGCGGGGCUUAACCUCAAGGUGUGUGUCCGCCCAGCCACCUACAUCGGCUCGCGAUGGCUAUAAACAUAAGAGAUAUGACGUUUUAUCAUGAGGCCGGCGCGCCUGGAAGAGCGCUUCAGGAGAAUGGGUGCACCUCGCGAUUGGCCAACGCUGGUCUGCAAGUUUGGGCACAAGCACCCUCUUAAUCACUUUCUCGUGUCUUAGGCAACUUGACCUCUUUCCCUUACCUGGGCUAGUCCGCCAAGUUAGCAGGCACCAUGUUCGCUCUGUCGGCCGUCUCUUCCCGCAACGUGGCUUGCCAGGCUUCCCAGCCCCGCCACAAGGGUGCCAAGCACCACGCGCGCUCGCGCCCCAUUAAGGUGCGAGGACAAAACCUGAGCGGCGGCCAUUUUGUGGUGGCUUGCGGUCCAGCUUGCGCCAGAGCAUGUGGGCACCCACCGUUGCCAGGGGAGGGAUCAAUUUAGGUUUCUACCUACUCGGAAGUGUUGGAGGCACGUCGAACGAGUGGUGGACGCGACACUGUGUGGGCAAGCGAAUGCGCUCCACCGCACGGUCGCGACCCCGGCCUGCUGCAGACGUUGGAAUGACUUUUCCUUCUGCUUUAAAAUUACAGUACAACCGCGCGGACAAGAACCACGGGCCUGCCAAGUACGAGCCCCUGCCCACCCCUCCCCCGGCCCUUAUUGUGGUCUCCAAGGCCGAGUCCAAGUAAGCGCCUCACGGCGCUGGCUUGAGCGGCUGUAUGGCACGGAGCAAGGUAAGGAUGGGCACUAUAGAGGUGAACAUGGAAACAGGGCAGGCUGCCGGAACCAUGAAAGUAGCCGACCGUGGUUUAAUCCUGGAGAUGUGUCCCUGUGUGUCCGUCGUUCUCAAUGCCAGCGUGCCGGCCUUUCACAUGGCUUGCGCGGGUAUCUGACUACUCGCCAAUCAAUGCCUGCUUGUUACAGGUUGCAGGAGGCAGGACGGGCGUGCAGCUUGACAGCUGACACGUGCGGGGGCGUGCCGGGCGAAUGAGUUUGAGCUUGCCCUUUGGACGAGGAGUCACAGAAUGAAGCGGUGAUCACGGGGAGGUGGCCAGCAGCUGGCUAGUCACACGCAAUGGCGGCACGUCAACGCACCCAUGGUUACAUGUGGGCAGUACGACGUGGCGCGGCAGCAGCUCCUGCCUGUCGCGACGCUGUGUGAGUGGUAUGGCUGCAGCUCUGGGUUCUUGGAGGAGGAUUUGGCGCACCGCAUUCCUUAGGUAGGGCGGCGCGCAGGUGGUGCAAACGCCUGGCAAUGCGGCGGGCUGACUUCGGAGCUGUGGUGGUGCGGUUCGGGACCGCCCGUGGCCCCGCCGUUCCCCGUGUCAUCCGGUUUGGGCCGCGUGGGCACGACGUCGUGAGGGACGGCUUGGCUACCGAGGUAGUCUAUCUAUCGGGAGUAGCACGGCGGGAAUUUUUGCGCGGCGGAACGCCCGGCGGGCUGGGAGCCAUCCACCAGGAGUCACUGUUGCGUAGUAACGCUUGGGCGGCUUGUUUACCAGCCAGGACAUUACGAGAGAGUGUGUGCAGUCGGUUGGGGUGUGGCAGGUGCCGAGAGGUCCGGGCUGCGCUGGAAGCAUGGUGGAAAUGUAACGAAACUGUUGCGCAUGCACUGUGAGCCUGUGACGCUUGGCAGGUGGUUCUUGGGUGCUAAUGUAUUGCUGCCCAGUCACCGUCUCACCAAGCCGCUAAGUACCGUACCGCCUUCCUGGUUCCAACCUCGCACAAGUCGGGCACAAGUUCGAGCACUAGCAUGCUGCGCCGCCGCGGCCAGCCGCAGCCCGGCAGCAGUAGCGACGGUACCCCCAUGGCGAUAGGCCGAUAGCAAACGCUUCUACAAUGCAGCACUACCGUAGCAAUAGAGUCGGACCACAUCCCAAGCCCCCACCAUCACCCAAAUGUAUGUCCACAGUACAUACAAGCUUGCCAUUCAGACCAUCUACGCACAUGACCCGCACACAUGACAGCAGCCAGCCCACUUUAGCAUCAACCAGCGGUGCAGCACCUCCAGGGCCACGGGCCCUCCCAUGCACGACCCGGCCUGCGACCAGGUCCACUUCAGCCGGUAGGGCACUUAGCCCACCACUCUAUGCCGCCGCACCUUGGCCACCGCUCCAUCUGCGCUCCCACCCCCUCGGCCUCCGUCUCCGUCUUCCAUGGACGGCUACACCCCUCAGCCCUCAUACUCUGGCCUGCCUUUCACUGAGCCUCCUCAUGCUCUCUAAUCUGUCCGUGGUCUUCGGGGCUUUACCCCAGCUCCGCUCAGCCCUGCAGCAAGCUGUCGAGGUCCGAGGUGAACGUGCUCAGCCGCGCCUCCGUCGUCACCUUGAGCCCGCUUCCGCUAACGGCGCCCUGGGACCAUAGCGUGACCAGCAGCUUGGCGUCAAAGGCCGUGGUGUGAGCGUUAGGGUUGCAGAAGAUCUGCAGCAAAGAGAAGGAGCGUGGAAUCACGGAGCUUGCGUGUCUGGGGGUUGUUGGCGAGCCGUGGGGACACACUGGGGCGGCAAGCAGGUGGCGUAGAGCGGCCUCUCCAACACGCGCCACAUACCCUCCGCAUUACAUGGGCUGGUUCCUGGUUCUGGGUUUGGGUAUCAUUUAAUAGUGGUUGGAGGAGCCCUGCACUGGACGGCAAGCGCACCUCGAUGCCCACUUGCUCGUCCUUGUGCUGCCACUCCAUCAUGUCCCAUCGCUUUGGCCUUUGCGCUUUCUGCUUCUCCGCAAAUGUCUGAAACAGCUUCUGGAUGGCGACCUGUGGGUGCGGUGAUAAGGGGGGUUGCGUGAGACGGGGAAGGGUAGGUCACAGGGUCAGGCCGUGGGGUCAGCGGCCCGGAGCAGGGCCGUGCUUGCACAUUCGGGCCCUGCCCCGCGACAGCCCAAAACGCGAGGAUCUUUGGGAACAUGUCACUGGAAGUUUAGCCUGGGCACAAGGUCUCGCCUGGAGCUCUUGUGCCUUUUCGUUGGAAAAGGGCAGCGAAAUCGUCGUCUCGCCCGCGUGAAGAAGCAGAGGCCGGGUUGCCACGGGGCCCCCUGCACAGAUUGCGUACAGAUUAUCAUUUGAUUGCUGGCUGGCAGCUUGGAUCCGAGUGCACAGCGAAGGUCUCGGUCUCGGCGCACCAAUUCGGUGCAAGCUUUGGAGUUCGCAAGCCUCCUCACCUACUGCCGCUGCGCGGGGGACUGUGGCUAGAGCUUGAAGCCUCCGUGGUGUAGCAGCCAGGCGAGGAGCCUUAAGGUGGGUUGCCGACAGCGUGUGCAUGGUCACAAGUUGGGCGCUUAUCGACAGCGCAAGCUCGCGUUCUGGUGAGGAGCUGGUAGCAGGGACACGCACGUUUGUAAGCAAAAGGGAAGCAGGGUUUUGGCCAGUGUUUCCGCGAUGAAUCUGGUUCAGGAUGGGGAUCCCGAUUGGCUGCCGGCCUGGGCCGCCCCCACCUACCCCCGCCGUCAUGCCGUGCCCCGGACCGCGACAACUUUCACAACGCUCUUCCAAAACACUUGCGUGUCACCUUCAGUGUCACCUGUUGCAACUGUGCACGUAUCUACUGCCUGGCACCAGUCAACGUCGGUGUCUCAGCGAGUCAGCAACGCCAUGGCCCUGCACAUCGUAGGGUUCACUCAUGUCCAAGCUCAUACCUCAUGGACGUUUUGUGGGAACUCCUGUUUCUGUGACCUAGCUACCUGACAUUUCUGAUAUGUACAUCGACUUCCUUAUCAAGUCUGCAUGCCUUUAGACUGCUUACUCCAUCAACAUGACCGCACGCCACGCCUCCUCCCCGCUCCCGUCCAGCCAACAGCCCCACGCUCCAGCCUCCAGCCCCAGCCUGCCUACUUUCAAACAUGCACUACCCCGCCCGCAUCGCGCUGCCCAUCCUGCCGUACCCAUCGCCCCCCAUCCCCGUUGCCGUACUACCCAGCCCCAUGCUGGCGCCAUCACCGUACGACUCCAGCAGCCCGCCGCCACUGCGCGGCCCCUCUUCCCCGUCGUACGCGCCGCCACUGCCGCCGCCACCCCCGCCGCCUCCCUCCUCGUCGCUGCUGUCGCUGCCGCGGGUGCCCGGCCGCCCGUUGGCGGCCUCACCGAACGCCGCAGCGGCGUGCGGGCCCAGGUACCUGUGGGCAGCGGCACAGUGCAAGGCAGCAACGGCUGUGAAUACACUUGACAAGGUGAUGAGCAGUCAAGCAUGCAAUCGGGCACACGGCUUGACAGCACCCAAUGCUACCCGCGCCCUUCCACCGCAUCGCGCCACAUCCCAAUGCCAGGUCCCCAGCCCUCCUCCAACCCAUGCCGUCCCAUCCGCGCAACACCCAAUGCAGCUCAGCGUCAACUACACCCACCCCCGCCUGACCACCUGACCACGAGCAUCCACCGCAUUACAGUAUUACACCCUUCCGCCUCCCGACCUAAGCACUCACUUGUGCCGCACCCACGGCGGCCACAGCACGUAGAACACCGCGCCCGUGUCGGCGUCCACCAGCCCCCACUGCGUGGCGUCCUUGAGCAGGUGGAAUGCCGCCACCAGGUGGUGCCGCUUGGCCAGCGUGUUCAUGUAGGAGGUCAGGUCGCCCUCGGACACGGCGCGGGAUUUGUCGAACGACACCACCACACUGCCGUUGCUGUCCUCGAAGAUCUGGACAAGGAGGAGUUUGAGAUGGUGGUGGAGAUGGUGGUGGUGGAGAUGGUGGUGGUGGUGGUGGUGGUGGUGGUGGUGGUGGUGGUGGUGGUGGUGGUGGUGGUGGUGGUGGUGGUGGUGGCGGCGGCGGCGGUGGUGGUGGUGGUGGGAGACUGGGAGUCAGUGGAAGGGGAGGGUGUGUGCAGCGGCAAGCUCCCAGCCCCGCAACCAGCUCAACACCAGGCCGCCGCAACCGCAAGUCGCAACCCAUAUGCCUGCCAGCGCCCCGCCCCGCCCUGUCCCAGGCCCCCCGCUACCCCAGCGCCCCAGCAGCACCGCGCCCCCGGCAGUCACCUGCAGGAAGCCGGUGGGCCAGUCCUCGCUCAGCUGCCGACACAGCCCCAUCAUGCAUUCGUCCAGCCGCCCCUUGAGGGACGUGGCAGACUUGGGCCGGCCCGCCGGGUAGAAGGGGCCCGCCACCACCCUGUGGCGUGUGCGUGUGGUGUAGCGUGGGUUUGGUGUGGUGCGGUGUGGUGCGAGGUGUGGUGUGAGGUGUGGUGUGAGGUGGUGUGAGGUCCACAACACCACAGCGUCCUUCCACACCGCAGAGCCCCGUCCGCAUCCCCACGCCUGCCCUAGUACCCGCCCGCGCCCCGCACCCACGCCCCCCACCCCGUUUCUUUUGGAUUGGAAUGAACUACCCCAACCCCAACCCCCAACCAACCCCCCCCCCACAAACCCUGAAGCCCCCUUACAAAUCCUGCCGCCCACCCACCUGGACCUGCCCACGUCAUUGUCCGCCAGCACGCUGCUGUCGUACGCCUCCGCCGGGUCGGUCACGUAGGCGAAUUCGGAGAAGGCGGGGGCGCCGCGGGGGGGCGCGGGGGGAGCUCGCACCACGAACUCGGAGGGCGUGGUCUGACUCAGCUUGUGCUUGAGCCGGUCGAACUUGCCCAUGAGCUUGACGCGGUCGUAUUCGGAGGGCAGGUACUCAAACUGUGUGAACAUCUGCGUGGCGUAGAUGGGGGGGAGGGUGUGUCGGAAGAUGGGGAGAGCAUAGAGUUGUUGGGUUGAGAACUUCAAAGCCGCCGCAGCCGCCAGCCCACGCCAGCCCGUAGCUGCACCCAAGCGUGGUGGCUCGGUCCACCUCGCCCAAACCCACAGGUUCCCUCCCCCGCCACCUCACAAACACACAGGUGCCUCCAGGUCCAACCCCGUGUGCCCACCCGACAACAGACACCCCUCCAACUCACCCCGCUGAGCGGGUGGAUGCGCGCCACCUGCUUCUGCCCUACACUCAGCGGCAUGGCCAGCGGCCCGCCCUCCAGCCCGUAGCUCAGGUCGGCGCGCCGCCCGCGGUCGCCGCUGGUGUCGCCCGCCCGCUCGCGCUGCGCCGCCGCCACCAGCUCCUGAUACAGGCGCUCGCGGAAGUCGGGGUUGAGGGCGUUGGGCAGUGAGCGGAUGCCGCAGAUGUUGGCGGUGGACCAAACCGUGCGCACGUGCUCGCUGGCGGAUUGAGCCGCGCAGGCGUCCAGCGGGCCUUUGGGCUGCACCCGCGUGGUGCUGAGGUGGUGCGGAGGAGGCGGGGGCGGCGGGGGAGAGGAGGGCUCGGGCGGGGGCGGGGGCGAGGCGGGAGCCGCGGGGUCAGAGGUGGCGGCGGGGCUGGAAGCGGAGGCGGCGGCUGAGGCGGCGGAGCGCGGCCUCGAGCCGGCGGCGCUGCUGGGCAGGGGCGGCAGCGGCGGCGGUGGUGCUGCUGCCACUGCUGUUGCAAGUGAUGACGAUGGCAGGGCUGCAGGUGCGAGCGACGGCUCCGCAACGGGCUGGCCCGCACUGCUGCUGGUGCUGGUGCUGGGUGCUCGCCGGACGGGACCGCUGGUGUUGGAGGCGAAGGACAGCCCGCGCGGCAGCAGCGGCGGCUGCGCCGCGGCCGACGAUGUCGAUGGCGCCGACGGCUCGAGUGGCUCGGUGCUCCCCGGCCGCGACCCCUGCCGCUGCGACUGCGACUGGGACUGGGACUGUGACAGCUGCCCUGCUCCCACGAAGCUUGUCGCCCGGGAGGCAGCACCGCUGGGGGCCCCGCUAGCGCUAGGCGCGGAGGCCUGCGGCCUGUCCGUCGCCGCCGCCGCCGAGCCGCCGCUCUGCUGCUUCCGCAGUGAGGAGGAAGCCGCCGACACCGCCGACGCCUCCGGCGCGGCCGCAGGGGCAGCCGAACUGAAGGAGGCGCCUCGGCUCGCACCCGUCCCUGCUGAUGCGGAUGGUUCUAGUGCCGGCGGCGCCGCCGACGAUGAGAAGGAUCCCGCCUUAGAGGCCGGCUUUGAGCCCGCUGUCGACCCAGGCCCCGGCGCCGAUUCACUGACCGCUGGCGGCGCCGCUGCCGCUGACGCUGACGCUGUCUGGGAGGAGAAUGACUCACGUUUGGAGGCGGCGCCGCUGGCCGCGGUAGCGGCGGCUGCGCCGGAGGCGGAGCCGGAAGCGGAGCCAGAGGAUGCGCGCGCUACGCUGCUAGCGUUACGUGAGGGCGCGGCGGAGGCGAUGCUGGCGAGCACCGCCUCCUUGGCUGCGGCCAGCUGCUCAGGAUCCGCCUGGAUUCGGUACACCGCGCUGGCGGCCCGCUCGAAGGAGGGCGAGAUGUAGGUCAGGAUCUUGCCGCUGUGCUCCGGCACCUCCUCCUCGCCGCCACCCUCCGGCCCUUCCGCUGCAUCCGCGGUCGGCUCCUCGCCCACGCCUCUAGGCUCUGUGUUGCCGGCCUCGGCCUCGGCCUCGGCCUCGGCCUCGGGCUCCGGCUCCGGCUCCGGCUCUGGCUCGGCGGCCGCUGGCUCGGCAGCCUCCGUGUCGUCUGCCGCCUCGUCGUGUUCGUGAAAUGCGUCAUCUGCAUACGAGUCGUCGCCCGCACCCGCAUCCUCCGCGGCUUCGGGCUCCGCGGCUUCGGGCUCCGCAGCUUCGGGCUCGGGCUCCGCUGCUUCGGGCUCCGCGGCUUCGGGCUCCGCUGCUUCGGGCUCGGGCUCCGCGGCUUCGGGCUCCGCGGCUUCGGGCUCCGCUGCUUCGGGCUCGGGCUCCGCGGCUUCGGGCUCCGCGGCUUCGGGUUCUGCCUCCGUGUCAGCCCCUGCCCCCGGCUCUACAUAGUCGUCACCAGGCGCCAUCCCAGCAUCGUCUGUGUGGGGUUAGGAGGAACAGCCAUGCUUGGCAACCGCGGCGGAGGUAAACAAGGGUAGCCUCUGGCCAGCGGCACCUAAGACAAGGCUGCUGCCAACUCAGUCGCACAAUACUGUCGCUUGCCGCUUACCCGCUUGUCGCUCCUCAGUAGCGCCCUCUGUUGGGUCUGCGCCCUCAAGAGUCGGGGGCGGGGCAACCUCUGGGUCCAUUACGUCGCGCGCCCUGUUGCUAACUUGGUUCAGCACAUCCGCUGUUUGUCGCUACGCUUUUUAAGCCAGAGAUAAGGUUUGCGCUGAAACAAAGCUAUGCACUUGUACAAAUUGUCGCCAAGAGUAAUAGCGUGACUUCUAGCCAGUGUCGCGUGUCAAUUUAGUAUAAACAUAACCUUGUAGCUCGUUGUGCUUUGCGCAUCGGCAAGAAACCACGAAACCGGCAACGUCAGUUUCCUCCCGACGUUCCGUCGAUACAGGGUAAGGAGCUACGACCGCGCGGCCUAGGAAGUGUUAUGAUAUUGCCUCUAUAAAUAUAAGGUCGAUAGGAUGUUCUGGUGGCAUGGUACACGAACGUCAUUCUGGACAUGAACAUCCACCCGGACCAUCCGACCCCUGCAUGCCGCCUGGUCGACACCCGCCUUCCCCGCGCCUGCACAAACUCCGCAACCUCAUCACGAUGUCUAUGUGGGCCGGGGGAACCCCUCGAGAACCCCCCUGCUGGGAGCCGCUCCGCUAAGCAAGCCGGCGUACCCACCCAGCGGAGAGCCUUCCCCAGGGCCCGCCCGCAGCGCCGCAGAGUGCGCCUCCUGGCAGGCCCAACCGCAGCACUCCAUUGCCCCGCGGCAGCCGUGCUGCCCCUGCAGCCGCUCACCGCCCCCUCCAACCUCCUCCUCCUUAACCACCGUCGCUCUUAGUAGUAGUGCGCGGGUGGGAGCCAGACAGCGCAACGGCACCUGCUGCGAGCGGCCCGUGCUCCUCUUCCUUCUCCUCCUCCACCUCCGCUGCUGCCGCACCCACCACCCUCCGCCUCUGCCAACCACGCGGCCACGCCUCGCCCACUUGAACACGGCACGCGGUGACACUGUGACAGUGGUUUGAGCAUACAGGCCACUCACGCACGCCCGCGAUCCACCUGCUGCGCCGUCGCCCAUCAGGCCCACCUCUCAUGCCAGCGUCAGCAGGUCCCCCAAUGCAAUCUCUCAUGCUGGGACCUCCGUCAUUUGUUGAUUUGUAGCAGAGCCUGCUCCAGCUCCAGCUCCAGCUCCUGCAACGCGCCAGACGCCAGGCGCCCACGGCACGUGGGGCUGCCGGCUGCGGCUGCGACCGCGGCAUCGCCUCCGCCAGCGCCCUCCGGAACCGCCAGGGCUGCCAGGUUGAGCACGGUCAUCAGCUCUGUGUCGAUCAGGAACCCGUGCCUCCUCCACCUCCGCCACCUCCAUCAUCAGCAGCACCAACCGUGUCUGCAGCAGCGCCCAACACGCCCGCCACGUCAAUGUCACACAGAAGGAACCGCCGCCAGCUGGCGGCCUCGGCAGCGGCGGUUCCGGCGGUGGCAAUCAGCCAUCAGGGCGAGUGCCACAUGGACGUCCUUCGAGCCAGCAACACCCCCAGCCAGCUGCAGAUGUCGGUGGCGUAACAAAACCUGCAUGGUGCCGCUGCACCGUUGGCGCACCAUCAGCCAGCCGCCGCGAACACGUCUCGUACGUCUUGCAUGUCACUUUGGGGGUACUGUCAUUUGCUUCAUCGGCACCCUCAGAACGGCUCGUGUUUACGAUACACACACACCUCGGCUUCUCUCCUUCAGCCCAAGCACUGACCAAGGGCCCUUGGCUAUGCUGCUGCACCUCUCCUCCCCGCCACGGUCUCUCACGCAAAGUCUCGUCUCGCCUCGUCCUAAAAGGCCGCACGCCCGCAGGCAAAGCCGCCAACUGGCGUCCAGGUGCGUCUCGUCACGCACGGCAUACAGCACCUCUCGACAGCCCGCGGCAAUUGGCCAGCAGCAGCAAACACGCUGCCCCCCCCCCCGACCCGGCCUGGCCCGGGUGCACCUCUCUCUUCACGUCGUGUGGAGCCUUGCCUGCAGCCCGCGUAACGGUUGGCCAAAUGCUGGCCCUACCUACCCUACACAAAACAACGCGUACGAGAGCUACCCACGUAUACAUCCACCUGGAAUAGCAUUAUUGGAAUGGACUGCUGUGCCUCUCGAUGCACGCAAAUCCUCAAAAGAGAUACGUCACGCAUGUUGUGUAUGAAUGCGUGGAGUUAGGGCAGCUGCCAGAACCUGCAACUCAGCCGCAACUCAAGACGCAUGUGCACUCAGCAACUCCUACUCAGCAAGCAACGCUCCUAAACCCCUACGUAUUUCAACUGGGUGCAAUCUUCUCCAAUGUACACGCAAACACACUGGGCACGGCCGUCCCGUAAUUCGACCCCUGAUGAGCAAUCACUCAUGGGGCGAACGGGAUCCCAAUCGUGCCCACAACCAAGCAGACUGUGCUGCACGCGGCACAACCCCUCAACCCUCUCGAGUCUCACAGCGGUCUCUCCACUGAGCCACCGCAACAGUAACUGCAGCUAUCAAGGCCAGGCGCAUGCCCAGCCACACCCAUAGCGACAACUCAAACCUAACUUCAAAUUGAGACAACAACACAGGACCUGCGCUUCGGUUGAGGCCCAUACACGUGGCGAGUAUGCAUUUGCAUGGCCGUGGUCCUUAGCCUUGGUUGUCCAGGUCACCCCGCAUGCGGUUCCCUCGCGCAGUCCAUCCCGCGCAUUCAAACGACCCACACCCCUGUUUUGAGGGAUGACUCACUCCUUAGACGCUCGAGUAGCUGUUUCCUUUGCUGGUCCCCCGUGAGCAUGGCGUGCCGGGCCGUGCCGCACCACAACAUGCCAUACGUCUCAUCCCUUCCCUCCGGCAGGCCGCAGCUGCGUUCUACACCUUACGACACCACUCCAUGCCAUCUCACGAAGCGGUGACAGCGGACAGCAGCCAGGCCCGCACGCCCUGUGCGACACCGGCACCGCCGCCGCCGGCGGCCGCCGGCACCACCGCCGCAACCGCCGGCAGCAACACCGCCUCUAGUCGCGCCGCCGCUGCCGCCGCGGCCGCCACCGCGCGGUCGCCCUGUGCCAUUAGCGCGUCGACCAUGCCGGUGGUGCGCAUGGGCGGAUACCACAGCACCGAAAGCUGCGGGGUGGAUGGGAAAGGGGAAGGAGGUUCGGUGCAAGUCAGGAGCAUUGGCACGCAACGCGGAUUGCGGUGAGCGGUUCCCUAGGGCGUGGCCACACAGUGCCAGGCACAGCAGCGGCCGUAAGGAUUCUGCCAGCCUUCCCACAAUAACAGCAACACAUCCACAGCGCGCCCAGUUCUAGCAAGUAAGGGCUGCGUGUUACAGGCGCUGCGCACGUCACGCACCAUGGACAUGAACAGCAGCUGGGUCAUGACGCGCGCCGCCCACAGCGGCACACGCACGCCGGCACGCCGCGUGGCCUUGCGCAGCUCCGACUCCACCAUCAGGAUCACCGCCUGCCGGCAACACACAGCCGGACAGCCCCGCUCAGUGCCCCGUGUAACACACGUGCCGACAAUCGUCCACAUCUUGUGUGUGCGCACAUGUGUCCUCCCACACAGCAACCCGAUUUCCCUCUUACCAACUGCCCUCUAUGCCAUCCCACCCACCCACCCACCGCUCCACACCUGCAACCCAAAUGUCCUCUCCCUGCCUGCCUGCCCCACCGCAGCCCCCACCCCUACCCCUACCCAGUAUCCACCCUCACCUGCAGUGUGAACAGCAGCAGCCAGCUGCCGCCGGUGGUGCGGCCAGUCAUGGUGAACGCCACCAGCUCGUGCCACACCCCGCUGGCGAAGAAGGUCAGCAGCCCCGACAGGAAGCGGCGCAGCCGCACGUCCCCGCCGCCACCGCCGCGGCUGCUGCUGACGCAGCUGUGCGCCACAGACGGCGGCGCUGCGGGUGCGGGAGCUCGUGCGGGUGUGGGCGCAGGUGCGGCCUGGGUGCUAUCGGCAGCAGGAUCGGCGGCCGGGCGCUGGCUGUUGACACGGCGGCGGCGUAGCCCAUUGGGGCUGACGCCGCCGGCAGGCCCCGUCUCUCCAUCCUCCUCCUUCUCCGCCGCCGGCACCCCCUCAGCAGCGGCUUCGGCCUUGACCUGAUCACCGCAGCCGACUUCGGCGGCCUCCGCGCCGGCAGUAGUCGCCAGCAGCCCUGCACACGACUGGACGGGGUCGCGCUGGAAGCUGUCGCCGCUGCAGCUGUCGCCGCUGGGGAGGUGCGGCGACGUGGCGGCGGCGGCGCUGCUGCGGCCGGCGCUCCACUCCGACUGCAGCAGUGUGCGGCUGCCGCUGCUGCUGGGGUCCAGGCUGCAGGCCGCAUCACUGCGCGACCGGUGGGAAGAAGUCGGCGAGGUCAUGGCGGUGGAGUCGGUUGCGCCAGCGGUCGCGUCAGCAGCGGUCAGAGCGAUGGUGGGAAUGGGCUCAUCGGAGUUCAGCUCGGCGGUGGGUGUGUCGGCACCCGCGGCCGCGGCCCAGGCCGCCACUUCGGCAUGUGACGGCCGCGCGUCGGCAGUAGCAGGCGCGGCCGCUACAGCUGCUGCCAGGGGGGUGGCGGGCGUCUGGAAGGGCGUGGCAGAGCUGGAGUCGGCCGGGGUGGCUGCGGCCGCCCGGGACGCGGACGAAACUGAGGUCGUGCCUGAGGGGCCGUCCGCGAAGAAGCGACCUGUGGUGGCAGCGGGCAGAGGGAUGCCAGUGGUGUACAUGUGCUAGGCGGAAGGAAGGCAGGGCAUGGCGCGCACAGUGGGAUGCACUGCAGCCCACUCUGGCUGCAGGAUCCAUGAGCACCCGCGCUAUUGCAUGACGCCCUAGCCCCGAAUCCCCAGUGCCAAAACUCGCAGACGCCUCCCACGCCCCACGCCCCGCACACCCCGCCCCCUGCUCUGCCCCUCUCACCCUCCAUGGCCGGCUCGUAGAAGGCCGCCUUGAGCACCGAGGACACCGUCAGGUUCCAGCGCCGAGCCCACAGGUCGGUGAACGAGGAAGACUGCAACCGUGACACAGGGCAGAGCCACAGGCCACCGGCGGGCGGCAGUAGGUUACACCGCCCAUACCGCGUACAACCAGCCACACAUACACACAUACACACCCGCACAUGUCCACGGCGCCUUGUGCUUCCCGCUACGGCCACACCUCCUAUUACCAGCACCCACCAGCCACACUCGGUCGAAGUGCGGCUCCGCCGCCACGCCCCAGCCCGCCAGCGCCGCCGCAUCCACCAGGUCGCCGCAGCCGUCCACCUCCAGCAGUAGCGCUGCGCCGCCGCCGCAGUGGCAGGCCAGCAUCAGCCACCGCGCAACCAGGACCGCCCGGGGCGAGGCGGUGGGGGCGGCAGCCAGCCUGCGGGGCGGGAUCGGGGGGAAACGGAGAGGGGGCAGGGUCGAGCGGACCGGGCAUAUGCAGUGUGGGUCGGGUGGUAAGGUCGACUACGGGAAACGCCACCUGACGGCACGCACACAUCGUGAAACGCGCAAUACACACACACACGCAUGUAUGGCCGCACGCACCUCUCCACGCGGUGGAUCGCCCAGAGUGUGGAAGCCACCAAACCGGCAAAGCACGCUGCACACACAUGGAAGACGGGGUGAGGGCUCGGCACGGGCUGGGUAAUGGUGAUUCCCAAGCAGUGCACAACUACACGUACCGUGCAUUGCAUACGGCAGUCAUGCGUGCAAGCCCCCACACUCACUGAGCUUGGUGAGGCCGGCGCGAACCUUGCGGAGCGCGAUCGCGGCAUGCUUGGAGCGCUCUGUGUGGAGAUGGACGGACGCAGACGUGGGCGGAGGUGAAGGUGGGGUGGCGCAGGCGUGGGUGGUGCCCCCGUUGGGUGAAGUACAGGUGACAGGACAGCCAUAGGAUGCGAUGUGGGUUUGAGCGUCCACUAUUGAAAGACAAUAGCUGUGCAUGCAGCACGUAUAACGCACGAACCUGGUGCGGAUGGCAGGGGAAUGACGGGCAGCAGCAUCACGCCGAGGAACGUCCACAAGUCAAGGUCGGGUUUGGCCAGGCAGCCCCGGCCCUGCGCCAGCGCAAUCGCCUACAUGGGCAAGGUGAACGCGGGAGCCAAAUUAGCGAGAUUUUUACUCGCUGGGGCGCGACGGGCGCGCGUGCGUUGAGGGCGACCCUGUGACGCAGCGCUUUUGCAACAUCCACGAGUCAGCCAAGGCCCGCCCUCGGCGGGCGCCGACGAAGGAGACGCACCUUGAAGGCGCUCAUACUCAAGAUACAGCACAAUGACUGUGCCAGCAGGGGGUCCUCGCGGCCAUUAAGUAUCGGUAGCGCGAAGAAAGCGAACGCAAUGGCGACGAGCACGAGUGCCCGAAGCGGCCGGGACAAGCGCCGAGCGGCGUAUGACCCGGCCGCCAAAGCUAUAGAGCUUGCAGCAACGAGGUGCAGCGCCAUCGUGGCGAGCGCUACGCUGCCAGGUUUGUAGCGGAAGCCCAAGCGCCAGACGACGAGCCUUCGGCGUCUUAGACGUUGAAGAUAUUUAGUGUAGAGCUGGGUUAUGAUUGUGUGGAUAAGAGCAUUCUCUAGUUUGAUGGACGCGCUCGGAUUCGAGAAUGUCAAGCCGGGGCCAACGCUCGAUGGGCCUCCAUUCUGCCCUCCGGGCGGCCCCCUCGCAGAUACCCUGGAGUUAAAUGCAUUUGUAUACUCAUAUGCAGAACUUGGGGGCUGGGGGCUGACAUGGGGCUGCCAUGCACCCGUGGCACGGUUGCCCAGCCGAGCGCGGCUAUCCCCGGGGCUGGAUGACCGAUGCGCUACAACUGCCAUCUGACAGUUCUGGUGAUGCCAGGCAUAUAUGUAUAAGGACUCUCUAUCCCGCCGCAUUAUGCUCGUUGGCUUAGCAGCGCGUCAACCGCGUUGCAUGCGAGACAGGAAGGUGCCGACCGGCAACCGCAAAGCGAAGCGACGCCCUACUCAGUUGUGUAUACAUACACUGCACGCUUUCUUGGCAAGCUCAGCAUAUGUGAAGUGCACAAACAACAUCGCUUGCACCAAAGUCAAAUUCCUCGAGUUGCUUACACCUUCGCGCGUGUUGACGAACUUGAGCGCCUCGCGAUGGCAGUAACAUCAGAUACUGACGCUGCUGAAGUCAUCGGCAACGCGAAGGACGAGCGACCAGCCGUUCAGAACCUGGUCGCGGACUCCCACACGCCACAUGGCCAUGGGCACAGGCGCCACUACCAUGACCACAUGCACGAGGUCGUUCUGCCCAUGCGGACCGGGCUCCACGAUUGGGAGGUGCCCUACGGACUACGGCUUGCUGGUGUGACGACUGGGUACCGCCAGGUGCGCCGGUGGGGCACCGUGUCGGGGAGCGCGUGCGGGCGGUGUGGGGGUGGUGCAUGAGCUUGCGUGUGCGUGGACUUAUCGAUGGAUCACCAGCGCGACAAGUACAGUGCGGGCGCUGGAGCUCUUGGCGCAUACCAUGUGGACACAUUGAGCUCAUUAAGUAUGCGCGUUGCGGAUCGUGCUAACGAAUGCAGGGCGGCACGUACAUGGACUGCAUGAAGACGCUUUUCACUUGGCACAACCAAACCCUCAACAGCUGGACCAUGAUUUUCGGUGAGCCCCCCAACAGCGAUCUCGAGAAUGGGGCAAGGGCCUAUGAAAUGCACACGUGCGCUUGGUGACCACCCCGUCGACGCAAAGAUACGUACAAAGAAGUCUGCAAUACCGGUGCAGCAAAGCCUCGCGUUGAAGCCUCGGCACCUUGCGUUUGCCUGCGUGACUUCUAUGACGGCCCACAGGCUGGGCGUGCUCGUGCUGGUUGCUGUGGUGGACGGUGACGCGGCUGCGGCCGGAGGGCUGGGACCUGCUGGCCUUCUGGGCUCUGUGGCUGUGCCCCACAGUGCACCUGCCCUUCACAGUGGGUGAGCGGCGGGGCGAGAGGGCGCGCAGAAAGGGCGACGGCAUGCGGCCAAGCUGUGCAGCUGCAGGGCGGUGCAGCAGCACCCAGGUUGAUAGGGAUACGAUGUCCAGGUCCACUGGCCCGGGUCCAACCACAACAACCACAUCUGCACCUGCUGGCCCCCAGGCUACCACCAGUUCGUGUGCAUCAGCCCUGUGGUGCUGCGGCACUGGCGGGCGCUGGACGUGGCCUUCAUAUUCGUGGCCUCCAUACCGCUCACCUGGGGCCUCGCCUACUUCGUCAUGCCGCCCGCCGCCGCCGCCGCGCUGACCGCCGUGACGGUGGGGCUGGCUUUGCACGCCUGGCACAACGCGGCGGCGCUGCCGGCGGGCGCGGACAUAGACAAGAAGGCCAACACCCGUUACGUGGUGCGUGGGAUGGGAUGUGGGAUCGGGAGCAGGGCUGAACAGAUGGCGGGAGGAAAAGCAUGUUGAGGGAAGGGCAGAGGAAGUAGAGCCCCUCUCAGAUCCUGUUCCUCGUUCUCCUCCUCGCUCGUUGCACUUCCAUCCCAUAACCCUCUCUCUCCUGUUUGUGCUUUCUCCUGGGUUGGUGGAAACAACCCUCUCCCUCCCUUCCCCUGCAGGGCCUGGUGGUGCUGGUGUACACCUUCCCCAUGGUGCUGCGCGGUGUCCAGGACCUGGCCGCCGUGUACGGCCCCGGCGCCGACGGCGUGUGGCCGGCCGUGGCGGCGGCUCUGGGGGUGGACCCGCUGUACGGCGCCAAGUGCGCGCUGGCGGUGGCGUUCUGCUUCGUGUACGGCGGCGUUGUGUACACCAGCUCCUUCCCGGACAUAUACGCGCCCGGCCUGUGCGACCUGGUGGUAAGUGGCUGAGCUGCAAAGACGCAGGGGGGGGGGGUACAUUCAUGAUCAGUCAAGGAAACGGUAGACGGUUGGGGGGUUGUAGAUACCAGCCGAAACUAAACCGAACCCAAUGCAAGGGGGGUCGGGCUUGUGGCAUCCGGGUUGGGGCGGAAUAAUAUGACCGGCAGGGGCCAGGACAGGCAUCAGGACAUGCCGUCGGGCCGGUACCAAACAACCCAGAGUCAUGACCCGUUCCCCCGCCCCUGUGCUUAUGCAACCGACCUCCGCUUUCUUUUGGCUGCAGGGCUCGGCGCAGCAGCUGAUGCACCUGGCCAUAGCGGGCGCGCACGUGGUCGAGUGGCUGUUCGCGAUUCACAUGUACCAGCGCCGACAGGUUAUGCCGCAGUAGAGAAGAGGGCGGGAGGCGACUAUGCUAGGCAGUGCGUGCGACCGUGCAUGCCAUGUAAGCGGCACACAGAAACUAUGGUGCAUAAUAACUAUAUCCAAGAAGUGUGAUGCUUUAAGUUGAGGUUUGACGUGACAUAGGAUGGAGAUCACAGCUCCAUAGCAACCAGCUUGGGGAGACCAUGGUGGGCAAGGUUCGGGUGUGGGCACGGCGUGUGCUCUCGACAACUUGCGCACCGAUUGAUGCAAUCAAUAGCAUUGCGAUUGCAAUCUCAUACGUCUUGGUCCUUCAAGUGGCCACGGAGGGUGAUGGCCUGGGUGGAGUUAAGGAUGGGAUGCCCUCGGGCCGCGGUGGCACGAUGAUUGGGCCGCGGUGGCACACAGAUGAGGAGGCGAGGCGGGUUGAACUCAGGCGAGCCCAGACUCCGGAGCAACACACGGUACCUUAAUAAAAUGCUCUUAUCCUUGAUUGUACAGCUUACAGACGUGGCAGCCAACCUGUAGCAGGCAAGACUUUAGCAUGCAGUUCUGAUGCCAGCGCAAACGGACGAGGAGGCUGGCGCUGGGGUGCGUAGCACCGUUGCCCGUGAGCAUAUAUCGCAGAAGCGAUCGCUGGCGAAGCAAACUGUGGAGAAGAUUGUGAGUACUUGCGCCGGGCGUGUCCUCCAGUCCUUCACACCAACGUCGCUCUCGGCCCUGCUCCCCGCUUUCCCGCCUGCGCGCUGUUGAGCCCGUGCACCGCGUACCUGCAGAUUGCGUACGGUGUAGGAGUGCUCGUCAUUGUCACGUUCUUCAUCGCGUACAAGGCGGGGGCCUUCGGUGACAAGGAGCAGCCCUGAACACGCAUGUUUGAAGCGAGUGCGACAGCCUGAGACGGUCGCCUAUGGCCGGCUAUGGGCUUAGUAUGCGGCUGAGUAUGAGGCAGGGUAGUAUGGACUGAGGCAGGUUAGUAUGGACUGGGCAGGGUAGUAUGAGCUAUGGGCGAGUGGGUGCUUUACGCGUGCGUGCGCGACGAGGCGCGUCAGGCGCCGUUACCAGGCAUAUCAUAAAACAAAGAGAGGCAAGUCAGUUUGGAUGUGCAUGCGCACAUACAAACACGCAUUGUGCGGGGAUUUACAGCAGUUCGUGUCGUCAUGGAGUGCGGUAUGUACAGUGUAACGUAGAAGCACCCCUGGUAGGAAGUGUACGGUAGGAGAGCAUGACGGCAAGCCAUGGUCAUGCGGGCGCCUUGUCCUGCAUUGAGUACCACAUCAUUUGAGUGGGGAGGAACGCGGAACGCGGAAAAAAGCGGCUAGACGCUGUCAUCGUAAUUAAGGAGCAACAGAGGAUUGUCGAGAAGCGCGCAUUCAGCGUGAGCAGGGUUGCAGCGCGUGAGCGCGUGAGUCUCAAUGGUACCGGAAGUAGUGGCCGCAUUGUACACGUAGUGGCCGCAUUGUAUUUGGGCAGGUGCCGCUGCAGCGCAUGCAGUGCUGUAGCCAAUACAGCGUCCUUCUGUACUCCGAACACUGAACGCCAUGUAAUGACUAACUGUUGAAAGGAUCGGGUGUGCAGGGCUGCCAUGCUAGGGCUGUCGGGCAGUUGCACCGGUGGCUGGCGGCCCGGUGUGGUAUUGAGCAUGUCUUGAGCAGCGCACGCGUCGUCUUCCUGACCUGAAGCGGGCUUGCGUCCCUGCCUCCAGCUGUCCAGCAUCCCUGCCUCCGUCAGCUACGUGUGCACACAAAUACCGUACACGAUGCGGGUGACCACACCAGCCGUCCCAGUACAUAGCCUCCUUUCUGUCAGCCAGUCGUGGGCCCGGACGUCCCCAGCGUGGGCCCGGACGUCCCCAGCGUUCAUCGUCGGUUACGUGGUAACAUGUGAGCUAGCUUGAGCUACUGACUGGCCUGCUCCCGUGUCGCCUGCAAGCCGACUACGCCUUAUGCUCUGGUCUGCGUUUGCACUAGUUUCGCAAAGCACGUCAAUAACGAUGCGGAUGGAUGGCCCAAAGGCUCGUUGGCCACUGCCUUACAAGCUCGACAGGCGCAGUUCAGGUGCUUAGCGUACCCAGUGGGUGGCCCCAUCCCAUGCCUGAUCGUCCGCCUGAGCAUUCGCCACGGCGUACAUGACAGCCAUCAGCACACCAGGAAGUCCGUCACAUCACCGCGCUGCUUUCAGGACUCUUCACCCGACCCAAAUGCCAAUGCUUCAGCCUUCGCAUGCAGACAGCAACCGGCGUCUGCCGAGCGCAGAUGCACGUGCCAUGACACUCCACACCCAGCCGUGCUCUAGUCACGUGAAGCGAUCAAAACUGCUGCGUUCUAAUAGUCAUUCCCUCAAAUACCAGCCGGCAGUCCUGUCUCCCUAUCCUCGCAACCCUCCCUGCUCUCAUACCAGCAACCGCCCGUUGCUACACCCUAAAUGUCUCUAAUGGCCACCGCUGCCCGCUGCAAGCCUGUUUGGUAAUGCAUCUGCACGCAUCCAAUUUGCGCGCUGGCGCUGGCCACUCCGCAGCUCCCGCACGUGCGCUCCGCGUGCCCUCCUGCCGCCACGCAGACCGGUUCUAUGCCGCUCCAAGCACCUCCGCUGCGCCGCUCACUCGUCACGCCCUCCGUUUAAUAUGUCACGUCAUGCCGCCGCUGCCGUCAAGUCAUCGCAUGUCUCUGCCAAUUUACAUGAAGUCGUCAUCGUUGUCCAGGUUAUCCUCGUACACGUAGUCGUCCAGGCCCGCCGACAACCCCUUCUUGCCCAUGUUGAGGUUCUUCUUGCCGCCCUUCUUCUUGUCCUCCUCCUCCUUCUUCUUCUGCAGGGGUUGCAAAGGGCAGGAAGCGCAGCGCCGGGCAUGUAAGGCCCCAGCCGACCCACAUCGGGUAUUUGGUGAUGCUCUCGCCCCGGCGCCAGCUUUCAAUCCACCACCUCAUUUCGCUUGUGCUGGCCCAGUGACCCGCAAUGUGGCCCAUCCACGCCUACCCGCAUAGCCUCCUUCUCGACUCGCCGUCCCAUCCACCGCCACCCGCCAUCUCGCACCCCCCCACCCACCUUGAUCUUGUCAGCGCGCACGCCCGCCAGGCAGGUCUCCAGGUCCUUGACUUCCUCUGACCCCAGCGGCUCCACUGCCGCCUUGAUGAGCGCCUUAAUGAACGCCUUGUAGUGCUUGCUCUCCCCGUGCUCGACCACGUGGCGGGACACCAGCUCAGCGGCGAAGUCCUCAAACUCCUUGAGCGUCUUGGGCAUGUAGCUCUCCAGGGGCUUCAGAGUGGACACGCCGCCGAACAGCUCCCGCGCGGCCUCGUAGUCCGCCUGCUCUACCAGCCUACCGCCGCGGGGAGGAAAGGGGGCACCGGAAUGUGCAUUCGGGCUUAGAGGGAUGCAGUAUUGCAGUAGCGGUAGCCUGUACAGGGCUUGUGUUGGCAGUUGGAGCGCCGUACACUAGCGCUUGCAAGUGUGUGCACGACCCGGCGUGCGUGAGGACCAUCACAGACGGCAACGGUGCAACCCUAGGCGCUGCACACGUAAUGCACGCAACCAUCUACGUGCACCAUGGCCCAGCACGGAUGUUUGACCCAGCAACGCAACCGGCAUGCAAGAUGCGACGACUCCGACCUUGACCCACAUCCCGUAGGUGCUGGAGUGGCCGGGUCAACCAGACUCUGCCUCUGCUGCUUGACCCAGUUCAAGCCCAAAACAGCGCACACAUCCCGGACGUUCGAUUCUGCUUGUGGAGCGACCGCCCAUCUCCGACAUAGAGCUGGGCUAGCCAGGUUGACAGCUUCGCAUGGCAACCAGGUGCGUUGCGCCAGGUGCGCAUGCAUAUACCGUAUGCUAGCCCCCCGCCCUUCAACUGGACGGCCGUCCCCGACAGGCCUCCUCACAAACCAAGCUGACAGCGUGCAGGUGAUAGCGUUGUGUCAUCUAUCGCAUGACUGAGGUGCAUAAGAAGCCACAGCCCCACCGAGCGCAGCCGACGGCCGUUGGAGCGCCAACGCAACACCCGUCCCGCCAAAACCCGGUCUGGCUCCCCAGCCCUGACACCACUCCUUAUGCUCACUUCUGCUGGCGAAGCUUCUCCAGCACAGGGUCGUCGAGAGGCACGUCGUCGGGGUUGAUGCGCUCUUCCCGAAACUUCUUCUCCUCCUUCUUCUUGGGCUGCGUGGACACGGAAUCCAUGGAAUCGUGGGCUCAGUUGGAGCCGGUCGGUCGCGCCCCUGGCGUGCUGGCCGUUCCAAAGAUACCAUACCCACUCCACGCAAGCAAGCAGCUGGGCCAGCGACUGGGCCUCGCCCGCGAUUGCGCACCUGCGGCGCGGGCACGCUGUGCUCCACGGGCGCGGAGAAGUUGGCGUCCUCGUCCUCGAACUGGGACAUGUCCGGGCCAUUGAUCUUUGCGCGGAUGGCCUCGCCCUUUGUCUCAAAGGUUUGCGCCGGCUUGGCAGGAGCUGGCGCCGGCUUGGAGAGGGUUGACUCAAUGUCAGCCGUCUCCCAAUCAUCUAGAUCGUCAGCCAUUUUUGCUGAAAGGAGUUGGAAGGAGGGCGGAUCUAGCGGGAGACGAGUGCAACACGCAGGACAAGCCGCUGGGCGAACAAAAGCAGUAGAAAGAAGAAUAAUAUAGCAGAAAUGAUGUGCUCCAACAAUUGAGCGUCAAAUUUCGGGCUGAAGAGUUGCGAACAAUCCCGCGCUCAUGCGCCCGUCCCCUCGUUCCCCGACUGUUCUGCCGGUGCAUACGUACUACAGGCGCAGCACGAGACUUUGUAUCUUUUGUAGGCGUUGGGCGUGGCAUGCGUCCACCCUGCGCAUAGAAUCACAAAACAACGAGCGCUGCAUGUUCGCAUUGUUUCCCAGCAAAGCUACACAGUCAUUACAGCUUCAGUACUUGUUGCCAUUCGCAUUUCUAGGCUAGCGGGCUGACCACCCACCCAUCAGCCUGUUUGCGUCGGAACGCCAUGACGUCUUCCGAGGCGGAGCCCGCGCCGGCGACCGCUGCAUCGGCGUCCCCGGCGGCUGCCGACGCCUCGGGAUCGAGCGCGGGGGCGAGCGGCGCUGCGGCGACGCCGGCCGCAGGCGGGCCCCACGGCGUCGUGGACUAUGAGGCGCUGUAUGAGCAGAUAAAGGACAAGCCCUGUCACGUGGUACAGAUCAACCAGCGCAAAGACGGCUUCAACGGUGGCACCUUCCGCACGCGCGCCUCGCUGAUAGAGCGCGAGCUGGAGCCCAUCUACAAGGCGGAGACGCUGGCGGAGGUGCACGAGGAGAUGGAGGCGGCGGGCAAGCGGUUGCGGCAGCUGGGCGUGUUCACGGGGGUCAGCAUGCUGGCACACGAGGAGCCGCUGGUGAGCAGCAGCAGCAGCGGGGUGGGGAAGAGAGGGCGCUGGGGGCAGAGGGAGCGGGACUGUAGGAUGCUGAACCGAGCUGUGCGGCACGUGCACGUGCGUGAAGGUCGGGUACAGGUACAAGAACGGGUCAGCAACAUGCGGCGCGUCACUUACCCUAUGUCCGGUGUGCCUGUUGGAAUGGCUGGGAUCGCGGGCCCGCACGCUAACGCCCACAAACAAUGGUGGCAUGACCCGCCGCCGCAGUCCUGCGCAACUCUCCGCCCUGUGACGCCCGCCUUGCCUUGCUCUCCUACUCUGCACAUCCUCUACCACGCACCCGUGUGCCGCUCCCUGCCCCCUCCCCCAGGACGACCCCACCGCCUGCACGGUGGAGCUGGCGGUGGAGGAGUCCAACUGGUUCAAGCUGCGUGCCGCCACCUACGUGCAGGUGCGUGUGGCUGUGAGAGAGAGAGAGAGUGUGUGUGUGUGUGUGGUGUGUGUUUGAUGUGUGGUUGUGUGGUCUUGUUGUGGACGCUUACGUGAGGGAGAAGGAGCCCUCCAGGUGUUUUGGGACUUGCUUGGUGGUUGGAGGGGUUUGGUUGGUGGUUGGAGGUGGAGCGCAUGACGCGGCGCAGAGGGGCACGCUCCGCGACAGCCGGCGGGCACGCACCAAUGGGCUCGUAGGCACCGCGGACCGCGCCCAGUGCCAAUGAACCCACCACGCGGCACGGCACGGCGCGGCACUGUGCAACAGAGCACGUCACGCCGCCCUGACUGAUGGCUGCCCUCCCGCAACAUCCCAUCGCGCCGGUGCACAACGCCACAGGGCGGCGAGUCCACCUUCGAGCUGGGCGCGGGCCUGACCAACGCCAGCGGGCGGGCCGAGGCUCUGAGCGCCAAUGUGGAGUACGGCAUGGAGAACAGCCACACCGCCAGCGUGGCCUUCAAGCAGCCGCGAGUGGGAGGGCUGCCGGCCACGGUGCGUGGGUGUGUGGGGGUCGGCGCAUGUGGGACGCGGUUAUCUACCCGAGCCCAAGGAAAUAGCUUGUGGGCAUGAGAUGCUAAUGGGGGAUGUAAUGAGUACCGCAUGGCCAUCUGCAGGAUCACACGCGACGGAUGCCAUGUUGUGCAAAUCAUUUGUGGGGGUUCCAAAGGGGCGGGCUUGAGCAGCGGAUAUGGCUAGUACGGUCCGCAUCUUGUGACCUAAGCCACCUUCUGAGACCCUGCACUAGCCUGUGACCUGCCGCCCUGCGCCCUUGUGCAACGCUACCUCCCCACGCCACACCACCCCUCCCCCCACCCCAGCUGGAGCUGCGCGGCUCCCAGCUGUUCCGCAACAACCAGAAGUCGUCCUCCUACACGGAGCAGCUGCGGGGGGCGGUGGUGGCGCUCAGGAGGUGGGGCAGCAGGCGGCCGGGGGGUGGUGGGGCGAGUAUGAUGGGGUCGGGCUGCGGCGGGAGGGUGGAGAGGCAGUGGGGCGAGGUGGAUUUGGUGGGGCUGGGCGCGACAGGCAGGGCGGCGGCCGGACGUGUGACUGGCACGUACGCGGCAGCGUUAGCAGCUCAGUCUUGGCGGAUGAGGCGAACGUGAAACCCACUGCAAACUGCCCACCACGCCCAACCCACCAUGUCUAAACCGCCCGCCUCUCCCAACCCGCCCACCACGCCCUGCGCUCCCUGCAGCAUGGACGGCAGCCAGGGCCUGGAGUACGAGCUGGGCUGGCGGCGGCUGCUGGACCCCUCCCGCUCCGCCUCGCGCGCAGUCAUGGGGCAGGUACGGCGCCGGGACAGGCGGGGGGACAGGGAGGGCGUUGGCCGGCUGGCAGGGUACAACGGGCAGUGUGGGGGCGGUGCAGUGCUGGUGUCAGAUCCCUCCGUCGUUCCGCUGUCACUGCUCUAUCUGCCCCCUCAGCUCCGGCCCCCCUGCAUCCUGUAUGGCUUUUCCAAGCAUCCGUCCCCCCCCCCCCGGCCUGCAUCCGGUCUGCUCCCUCUGCUACCCCCCCCCCCCGCAAACCCCUAAGCCCCCGCCCCCUCCACACGCCCCCCCCCAGAUGGGCGACUACCUGCUGUCCGCGCUGCGCUACACCGCCACACUGGACCGCCGCCAGCCGGGCGCGGGCGGCGCGGCGGCCACCCUGGGCGGCGCGGGCUGGGCGGUGCGCGCCACCACAGAGCUGGCGGGCCUGCUGCCCCCCUCGGCGGCGGGGGCGGGCGCGGGGGCCGGUGUGGGCGUGGGCGGAGGCGGCAGUGGGCCGAGCAGCGAGCUGCGCUACGUGCGGCAGCAGGUGGACGCGGUGGCCAAUGUGCCCAUGGAGGAGACCGGGGCGGUGGUGUUCAGCGUGGGAGCCAGCGCGGGUGAGGCGGGUGGCGGGGGUCGGGGCUGUCGUGGCCAGCGUCUUGAUGUGUCGUACCGGGGUGGGGCGUGGUGUGGUGAGGGGCUGAGGCGCUGUGCUGUCAGGCGUGCGGCCGGGUCAGGGUUGGUGAGUCAGCGAACGUGGCACGCCGGCGCAGCGCACAUGAGGGCUAGGGCAGCGCGCCGGUAGCCUGUGAGGAGCACACAUGCGCACUGCUGCUGUCAGCCAUGCUGGCCUGGACCCCAUGCCGCGCUGCCUGCCGCCCUGCCCAGGCCUGCUGCUGCCGUGGGGGCCCGAGGGCGGCCUGACGCGGCCCACCUGCAUCGCCGACCGCUUCUUCCUGGGCGGGCCCUCCUCGCUGCGUGGCUUCAAGUACAAGGUGGGGAUGGCGGGGCCGGGGCGGGGUGGGGAGCGCCGGGGCGUGGGGGGGCAUGCGAGGGAGAGGUAGGCGUGUGCGUGUGUGUGGAUGUGUAGAUGUGGGGCUGGGGCGGAUGCGGUGUGAGGGUGUGAGGCGCUUGCACAGGUGCUGGCUUGCCGCCGAAGUCCGGUCACUGACCGCCACUCUGACCAUCGCGUGUUGACACCAACUGGAGCCGUGCAAACAAGUUGAGGCCCCAUCGCGCUCUGCGUCUAGAUGUAGAACAAGGCUUCCGAAUCGACAGACCUCCCUCCCCCUCACGCUCUGCCCCUGCGGCCGCAGGGUGUGGGCCCCACGGACGUGCGGCGGCCGCCAGAGGGCCGAGCCGCCGCCGCCGCCGACUCGGCCUCCGCGGCGCCGCGCCGGGACGCGUUGGGCGGAGACGCCUACACGUCCAUCUUCGCCUCGGUGAGGGUCGGUCGCGCAGGGGAGUGUGUGGUGGGCCGGGGGCAGUUUCCACUAGACGCAGGUUGCGGUGGGACCCGGGGUCGCCAGUGUGGGUGGCCACGGUGGUGCGGGACAGGGUAUUGGCGUACUGGCAUAGCCAUACAUUGGCUACGGGCACCCGGCGUCUACCUAAGGGUAUGGGGCGGGACAGCUUUGCUUUAGUGUGGUGCCGUACCAAGCACAAACUCGGAGUGCCAUGCGGCCGGCAGCACUCUGGCGACUCAACCCCUCUCACCCUCUCCACUACUCCUCCCCUCCCCCUGCUCCCCUCCCCCUGCUGUGUACUUCGCUGCGCUUCUCUGUACCAAUCUUUGCAACCCCCCUCCCCUCCAUGCCCCCCACAGCUCAUGUUCCAGCUGCCCCACCCCGCGCUCAAGCUGCUGCGGCUGCACGGCCACGCCUUCGUCAACGGCGGCAACGUCAUUCAGCUGGCGGGUGGGUGCGGAGGCGCGGGGAGCGGGGCGAGGGGGGCGGUGGCGACGGGCGGGGGUUACUAGGCCAAACCCAAAAUGAAAGCCAAAGUGCGCUGGGCUACACUGCGAAUUGCUGGAAGGGGCGGUGAGGGAUGCGGUUGUAAAAGGCGAGGGGUCUGGGCUGCGGAGUGAGCGGCGCGGGGCGGCGGGCUGGGCAGAGAGGUGGUCAGGAGGAUGGACAGCAGAGGGCACUGGGGCACAGGACGAGGCCAGAGGCGGCGUGUGGUGACCGGGCUUCCAGUGGAAUGGAGGUGGCCGAGGCCGGUGGACCGCGGUCUGCAGCACAGCCCCACGUGAUGACGGCGCCAGGUCCAGUGUGCGCCCCCCGCCACGCCAUGACAAACAACGCAAACCCCACUGCUCUGGAGUAUCCUACCCUAACCACCCCACCACGCCACGACCCUCACGAUGCUGCUACCACCCUUACCCUCCUGCCUUUUCCCCCCUCCACCCACCGCACCCGCCUUUCCCCACCUCCGCCCGCCCUACCCGCCUUUCCUCACCUCCACCCGCCCUACCCGCCAGGCACGGGCCGCUCGCCCUCUGAGCUGCUGUCGGAGUUCGGCAGCAGCUGGCGCUGGAGCUGCGGCACCGGGCUGGUGCUGCCCACGCCCUUCGGCCGCUUCGAGGCCAACUACUGCGUGCUGCUCAGCAGCCAGGAGCACGACCGGGUCAAGCGCGGGCUGCAGCUGGGCUUCGCGGCCAGCAGCGUGGCGUGAUGCGGGGGGGGAUGGCGGCGGCGGAGGGGUGGCAGCGGCCUGGCGUGGGUGGGGGGGUAUGCAGGCACGUGGUGAGUGGGGUUCUAGGCAGGUAGAGGGAAGUUGCACGGGGCGUUGCGGGGAUGGGGAAGGAUCCAUGACCUCGCAGGCUUGAUGCUGGCAGUGCGGGGUUGAUGGCAGGUGGUGCUUUUGAGCGGAGUGGUUGGAGUAAGGUGCACGGGUGCCGUGGUGGGUGCUUGGCACCGGUGUUAGUAAGCGGAAUUGAGGGCUAAGGCCAAUGGUAAGUUAGCCGAUGGCGGCGGGUCGACCGGACAAAACGUAAGCAGAGAUUUAUGGUGUGCCUGCUAGAAUGGUUCCUCGCCUUGAGCUUGCCUAGCGCUGGGCAAGAGGACAGGCUGUGACGAAAGGUAGGUUCGCUUCGGUCGCGCCGCGGCCAAGUGGGCGCAGGUUUUGCAGGUUUACACGUUUCGAGUACUGAAUGUUACCGUAAUACCGCAAGUCGGGCAGGCUCAUGCGGAAGUGCAUGUGGGGACGUGCACAAUCACAGGCGUGCUUGCCUGUAAACGUGUUUGGCCCACGGACCACGGUGUGCGAGCAAUGGAAGGCGAUGUGCUGAUGUGGUACAGCGGCAUCGUUGGGUUACGGGGACAGUAGCAACAGCACAGCGGCGUUGCGCACUUGCGCUGGACUGCGUCAGGCAGCCCCGCCAAUCCGCAAUGCAUGUGCGAUGGGACAGGGUUACGGCAGGUUGGUGUGUGAUGGGACACGUAGGGUGCAGCUGAACCCGCAAUGCAGUUGGUGCCGCUGUGUCAGAGUAGGCAGAGACGGCGACGGCUGUGCUUGGGCGGCCUCUUGGUGGUCUUUCUGAGGAGGUUCAGUGGGGGCGGCCGUGGCAAGACCGUCCGGGGGCUGUCGGGGGCAGGGGAGGGUCGGGGGCAGCGUCGGGUUGGUGGAAGGCCUGAGGGCCCACACGGCCCCUUGCGGCCCUUUGACUGGAUUACGUUCGCCAGGUGCCGCGGCAGUAUCUGUCUCAUUUUGCACAAGUUGCUAUGUAGUUGAGGCUUGUCGGGAGCCCUGGCGUUGCCCAAGCUGCGAAUCAGCCAUGCGACCGAAACCCUUUCACCCAGACAUGGACCCAAUUCACCAGCAAGACGCUGUCUGACAUACGCAGAACUCACUUGUACUCUCAUUGCUCGGUUUGGCUCUUAUAUCCAGUUACUCGCUCGACAUCGACACCAUCUGCAACUUCCUCGACCUCGACCUAGACCCCGCUAUCCGCAUUGCUCGCAGCAACCAUGUCGACAGCUCCAGUGAAGAAGCCGGUGAACCUACCAUUCCUGCCGAAGGAUGGUGAGUCAAGCGUUUCACUGCAAGUCGCGGCCUGAUUGAUUGUAUUGUGGCCGCGUUCAGCGUCGCGGGCAUCUGCUGGCAUGACCUGUGCGCUCUUCAUCGUUAAUGCAUUUCCUUGCACCUCUUGAAACAGUCGAGGACCUGGUGCUGUGGAGGAAGCCGAAGGAGGCCGGUGCCAUCUUCGGAGGAGCGACUGCGGCUUACCUCGCGGUAAGUGGCUGGCCUCGCACCCCCGCGCUCGCUCCCACCUCCCUCUCACAGGAUAUCAUGCAUACACGCAGCGCCGCACCAGGGACGCCCGCGAGUAUCCACACUGAACUUGCCCAGCUGCCUGGUCCCACCGUGUCGCCCCGUUUGGACCUGUUUCACCCUAGCCUCGGGCCCACUCACUCGCAGUACGUGUACAACCCGUUCAACGGCUUUACCAUUGUCAGCUACCUCCUGAGCAUCAUCAGCCUGGCGCUGUUCCUGUGGUCGCACCUGGGCCACUUCGUCAGCCGGUGAGGCGGUGUGACUGUGCUCGAGGGAAGACGCAAGGGGUUGACAACGUGCAUGCGAAAGGUUUGACUUGUGCGCCAAUCCCGCUUCACCCGUUCUCCAUGAACGGCUGCCCCCCCCCAUGCCGCCAUGCGAAUGCCGCUGCCCCUGAUGCCCCACCUCAUGCGUCUCCCCGCCAACUGCCCCCGCCUGCACGCACCCCGCAGCUCUGGCCCCCCGGUGCCCGAGUUCCUGGUCAAGGGCGUGACGCAGGAGCAGGCGCGCCAGGUGGCGGACGCAGCCCUGCCGGUCGUCAACAAGGCCCUGGGUGGGUGCGGCGUACCGUAGGACCCGGCGCGCGUUGCGUGUGUGCUCGUACGGCGCGUAGAGAUGCAUGUGCGCCGUGUGCUGUGUGGGGUUUUUGGGAGCGCAGGAAGCAAGGAGGGCGGCGGGCGGAGAUGUAGAGGAGCGGUACAUGCCCAGUACUGAAUCCUGAAGCGAAGCGAGGCGUGAGGACGUGCGGGGAUCCUGCUGUGACGUGCGUGUGUUUGCCCUCGGCACGCAGGCUACGUGGGUGUGCUGGCCAGCGGCAAGGACCUCAAAACCUCCUCCCUGGUGAGCGGGCGGCGCUGUGUGUGGCGCUGUGCGGAGCUGCUGCUGCUGCUGCUGCGCAGUUGGCACACGGCUGUGUGGCUGUGAGGCUGUGUGGAAAUGCAGCUGCGGCGGUUUGCUGGACCAGGGCAGGGCGGCAGCUGGCAGAAAGGGGCACCUUGUCGUGGCGUGGGUGGGGCUUUGCGGUCGCAGCGAUGCUCACUUGGAGGCCGUGAGGCAGGGAGGGGGGGGAACAGGUGUCGCCAGGCCAGUGCUGAAGCGAGGACGUGACGUCGGCAACGGCAGGGAACGGUGCCUGAGCGCGGGCGCCACGGCAUUGCAGCCGCCCUCUUGGCUGCCCCGUGCCACAACGUUGCCCCCACAAGGGUCGCAAGGCGUGUCGUCGGGGCGACACAAUGACAUUACGGUAUGCCGUGCCCCAACACUUUCAAAACCUCCGACCGGCCCCCUCCCCCGGCACUUCAUGUGAUUCAAUCACUUCGUUCCCCAUGAACGGCAACUCCCCCCUUCAACCUGUACCGCUUUUACAACCAUCUUUGCAGCCCCCCACCGCACACACACAUUACAACAUCUUUGAAACUGUACAUGCGUGCGCGCACACAGGUUGUGGUGGGCUCCUACACGGCCGGCCGCAUCUUCGCCCUGGCCAGCCCCUUCACUCUGGCGUACGUGGGUGAGUGCGGCGCGGGCGGGCGCGGGCGGCAAGUGCGGGCAUGGCAGCGCCGGGUCUCGCGCAUGGGCGACAGCUGAACCUUUCACAGGCGCAAACACCAGUCGAGCCUCCACGCCCGCCUGGCCCCUCCCUGCUGGCCCCCUAUGCCUCGUACGGUACCGUAUGCCGUACAUCGUCCUCACGGCGUGCUGCUGAACAAACCUCCCGGGCUCCUCUUGCCCUUCCUUCCUCCUCCGCCCCCUCUCCUCCCCGUCGCAGUGGUGGUUCUGGCGUUCGUGCUGCCCAAGGCCUACGAGGCCAAGCAGGACGAGGUGGACAAGGUGCUGGCGGUGGUGAAGGCCAAGGUGGACGAGGCAGUCACCGCCUUCAACAACAAGUGAGUGAGCAGCGCCUUGGGUGCUGUGGUAGUACUCCUGGUGUGGUGGGGAGGGCUGGGCUGGGCUGGGCUGGGCUGGGCUCACUGUGGAGCAGGGGACGGGGAAGUGGCUGUUUUGAGGUGAAAUAGGUGUGAGGAGUACGGCAGUGUGGCAUCUAUUGCGUGGUGAUGGCUUCCAACGUUGUUUGCUGUCACUCAGCUCCCGACUGACCACCAUACACAAAACCCUGCCUGCAGCGUCCUGAGCAAGAUCCCCAAGGCCCAGCCCCCGGCCCCCAAGAAGGUCGAUUAAAGCACAAGUGGCAGCAGCGGGAGCAGCGGCAGGAGCAGGGGUGGCUGCUGUGUGGCUGAAGCAACGACAGCCGCAGCCGGCGGCCUGGAGGGAGGCUGAGCCCGCAGUGCUGUGGGGGGAAUGUUGAUGUCGGGGGUUGGGGGCUCGUGUGCAUGUGCAUGGUAUGCGUGUGUUCUGGUAUGUGUCGUGAUGCGCUGGCAUUGGGUUAUCGGGAAUGCUUUUGCGUUCAAUAAAGGCCAGGCGAUGGCGGGGCGCCUCGGCUGCACUGCUCGUCGUGUCACCGUACGUCUCACGCGCGUAGCUCGGGGGUUGUGACCGUGGCGUGGGGGGUUGUGACCUUGCAUAGCAAGCCUAAUGGGACGAGGGCGGCAUGCCCGGGCUGGGGGACACUUCUGGCGUAGCCCGUUCUGGCUGGUCGUGUGUGUGUGUGUGUGUGUGUGUGUGUGUGUGUGUGUGUGUGUGUGUGUGUGUGUGUGUGUGUGUGUGUACAUAUGUGUGUGUGUGUGUGCCCCGUGACUUUCGACAGGGAACGGCGUGUAGUCGCUACUUGAUUUGAGCUUGAAGAGGUGGCAAAGCUGUGAAAGGUGAAAAACGUGAUGGUUGACUGAUGCGGCAUACAGCAUUACGACUUCCUUAUCGUUCGUUGGAAUGCUUUCAUUGCCCUUGCCCCGUGGUGGCCCCAUGUCAGGUUGGGGAGGAAUUGCACUGGAUCAGGGGCGGGGAGCUUGUGGGGACCGGGGAAGGUGGGGACAAUUUGACGAUAGCUUAAUACUCAGCUGCAGUACGAUGUGCGGCGCGGGGGCUGUACCUCUCUGUAACAACGCCUGGUGGAUUGCUUCGUCGCUGCGAUUUGGCGCUGGCCUUGCUCCUGACUGGGGUCGUGAGGGCGUCAGCGCGGAACCAAGCAAGCGUGUGAGCAUACGGUACUGGGGCCCCGACCGGUUGUAGACCUACUGAAGACCGCCUACACGGGAGAUGGCUCGUCAAGGAUCCCUCCUAAGGCAGCAGAGGGCGUCAGUUCACUCGGAAUCGCGCCAUCCCCGGGUGGCCUCUCCUGCUAAGUGGGUGUCGUCACGAGCUGUGCAUACGGAACUCGGACAAAGGAGGUCCCCCACCUUGCCUCCCACUAAACCGCCGCUCGUGGCAACGCACAGAGCUCCAGCCCCGCCUGCACAGCGUGACUACCGCUCCCCUGGUUACCACCAAUGAAGAGGCACUGCUGGGCGCGGUGGCCAAUCUUACAGAAGGGGGCAGUUUCGGCUGGGAAAGGCCCCAUAUUCUCUCUUGUGCAUCACGAAUCCCUUAUCCCACAGGUGGCGCGUGGUCAGUUGGAGCAUGGCUUGGCAAACACGUGCAUCGGUUUACACUGGAGCGCGGGGACUCUCGCAGUCCCUGACCAGUUGUUGCCAUGAGUCGUGCCCCGAUACUGUGUCGAGCAGCAAACCCUACUCUUUAACCUGCUGAAGAUUGUGUAUGUCUCAUCUUCGCGAGCUCUCAACCUGCCUCAACUUCGACGCCUCAUGCGUCUGAUAUCAGUGCCAACUCAGCUAUUAGUGUGUCUACCCAACUACUCCUAUCCCAUGUCAUUCCCACUACGCCAAGCACCAGUGUGCUGUGUAAUCUGUGCUGCCUACCUACUUGGGUGGGCCUGCAAAGUGUGCAGUGCCGCACCUGCGUUCUCUCCUCUGUAUGUACGGUUCCGCAGUGCGUGUUGAGGUCCUGCCGUUAUCAAAUCUCACACAAUCAAACCACAUGAGCACACCCUGUGCGUGUGCGUAAAGAGCUUGCUGACGCCGACCUUCACUUCCCCGCACGAUGCAUAACACACUCAGACCAGUAAAAUAAAGUGCCCACAGCUUGCAUCAUUCUUAUGUCUCUCUUGUGACCCGCAACAAAACUCUUCUUCGCAGAGCGGGCUGCGUGCCCAACCCCGCCCUGGCGCGCCGCAGGUUAUGCAGCAGGCCCGGCAGAAGCUGUGAAUACGACGAAAAAUCACACCCACAACAAGACACCUGCAACACCCCGCGAAACGCCUCACUUCACUCGGCAUCACCUCGCGUACACCGGCGCAGCCGCCAGCCGCCACAGCCUGCGGCCGGCAGCGCCGCUAUGCUACAGCCAUCUUAACCGGCGAAGCUUGUAGCCGCCUUUCGGCAGCUGGCUUACGCGGUGGCGGGCUUGGCGGACUUGCCGAGGGAGCCGAACGAGAUGGAGUAGGCGAUGGCCAUCAUGAGAACGCCAGCAAUGGUGUUGCCCAGGGUGACGGGGAUCAGGUUGUUGAAAAAGAACUGGCUCCACGUGACCUCAGCGCCCAGCAUCAUGCCCAGAGGAAUCACGAACCUGCGCACCCGUGCGGCAACAGUGAGGUUCAGGUUCCACAGCCAGUGGGCAGUGGCACGCCUCACUACACUGUACAGCUGAAGUAUGCAACGCCAUCACACCCCGAAACAACCCCAACUAGCCUGCGGCCAGAAGAAGCCGCGCGACUCACAUGUUGGCGACGGAGUGCUCCAGGCCGAUGGCCACGAAGGCGGUGAUGCAGGGCCACAGCGCCAGGAUGCGGCCGGGCAGCGAGGUGGCGGCGGAGGCGGACCACACGGCGCAGCACACCAGCCAGUUGCACAGGAUGGAGCGCGACAGCACCUCGGUGAAGCCCAGGUUGGCCUUGAGGGUGGCCAUCUGCACAGGCAGGGUGUUGGUGGUCAGGCAGCCGGUGGCCACCACGGCGGCGACCAUGGCGAUGGAGCCCACGAAGUUGCCUAUGGGUCGGUGGGGAGGAGGGAGGGAGAGCGAGCGUUACAUACAAGGAUGUGGUGGUGAUGGUAGGGGGGUGGUAGCCAGACACUAGGCAUGGUGAAUCGCAAGCGCGUCAACUGUUAAAACGUAGUUCUACAGCUGGUUUGCAUCACAGCAGCAGCGGCGGCGGCUGCAGCAGCAGCAACGGUGUAGCACUCACCGAAGUAGGACACGCUCCAGUUCUUCAGAAGCUGCCCCCAAGUGGCCUUCUUCUCGAUGAGCGCGCAUGUGAGCAUCAUGGUGUUGCCCGUGAACAGCUCGGCGCCGCAGUUGGUCACCAUGGACAGACCCACGGGGAACACCAGAGCAAAUAGCCUGGAAGAGAGGGACAAGCGAUAGGAAAAGGAGGGUUGUGAAAGAGGUAAAAGCCAGCUGGGGACGUGCGUGUGUGCGGCCAAACCGCGCUUUUUGGAAUGAUGUGAGGGAGGGAAGAAGCACAACAGGCGCAGCGGCAGCGCCAGCACAGCAGGCGAUCAGGGAAACGGCCAAGGCUCAGGAACUCACAGCUUGGCCAGGCCGGGGUUGGCGGCGGCGACGCCGGGGAUGUUGCCUCCCACGGAGAUGGCGAGGAAGGCGCCGAACGCAAUGUAGGCACCGGCUUGGAUGCCCUGGACAAACGUUGCCAGAGGCGUUAGCCCGGCCUGUACGGGGAUACAGGAGUUAUAGUUAGGGAAGGGGCGUGAGAAAGUUGAUUGUGGGGGCUGGUUGCAGCGCUAAUCGAGGAUGAGCAUGUGCUGGGAAGAGUUGUGAGGCGGCGGGGGGGGGGGGAGGGAGCUGGGGUAAACGUUGCCCCGGAACAGAGACCAGGGCCGACUGACUGCCGACUGCGGGCGAGCUGCCAAGGAAGCGAAAACGCCCUGAAAGCCGAAUGGUCUUAUUGACAGAAAAGACACUGCUUAUCCCGCUCUAUUAAAUGCCACCCGGCUCAUGCAAAUCGCGAACCCGUGAGCCUCCCACGCAUCCACCAUGUAUCUUGCGCUUCGUCAGGCGCCUUCACCCGGCGCACCUUGUAGGCGCCAACAUUAAUGGCGUUCUCAUACACUUGAGGAGGAGUCAGCACCGACACAGCGCGCACAGGCGCGGAAACAGCGACGGGAGCGGGAGUAGGGGGCACGGGCGUAGUAGCAGCUUGGAAAUGACCUGCAUCCAUGAGCGCCGACUGUGUCAGCACAAGCCUUUGACAUAAAUACACGUUACAGCACCUUUCCAGCAAGCCCUUGUCGCGACCCACCGUUGCCAUUUCCAUUCGAGGUCACGACUGUCGUCACCGCGGUAGGAGCGCUCGCUGCAACCACCCGCAUAGGCGACCGGAGCACACGAGAUCGCAGCACGGGCUGGGCAAGGCAAGGGCGAGUCAUAGUGGUCUGCAUCUUUGCGCGUCUAAACUCGACUGUGCGUCUAGCCCUGAAUCGUUGCGUUAUAGCCUGGACUAUUGCCAGUACUUGCCGCUACAGAUGUUUGAAAAUUGCACACCAACAGCGGAGUUUAUUGAGUUCGCGCAGAGCCCCGUUGUAUGUUCCGUACACAACCGCCCUACUCUACGUCGGAGACCCCACCAACGUGCGCGCUCAUGCGCUGCAAAAUUGCACAUCGUAUUGAGCAUGCUGCAACCGCGUAGAACAAAAUUGUGGCCGCUUGCUCGCGCUGUCGGCGGUGGUUGCAUUUGCAGUCGCGCCGUCGACGGCGCCCUUUCGCCCCACAUGUGCAGUCCUUGGAACAAAGGCUGACCUCAUUGCAUGUGCCGUGUCAUCCGCUGCCGACUUACUGACGGCAUGAUUUGGGGUUUCGACGCGACGCUGACGUUUGAACUUCGGUCGGUUGGCGCAAGCGAGCGAGCGGGUCAGCCCUGGGUGCGGGGGGCGAAACGCGCUGACCGUGCCGAGUUGCCGCCUCGCGCAUCUAGGCACCGCAGUCCAGGCGUCCCUCUACUCAAUACUCACCCCAAAUGUCGGCCCCUAAAAAAUAGUAUCGUAAUGUAUACCCCCCAACCGCCAGGAGAGCCCCCGUAGGUUCACACAUGAUGCGCCCGAACGUCAAGGAGUUGAAGUGACAUUGCUCGACAACUGUCCCACGAAAACCAGGGCCAGGGCCAGGGCCAACAGUGCAGGCGUGCUGGGGGCUGGGGGACUGGCGAGAGCUAACCCGCGAGCCCGGAACAAGAUUUAGGAGGGGCCGCAAGCAAGACUGCAGACAGCCAAUGUGCAGCGUCAGCCUGCCACUGCAGUGUGUGCCAUGUGCUGUGCGCCGUGCUGUGUCCCUGUUGUGUGCCGCGGCACUGCCAUCACGCCCAAGAGCACAUGGCGAGCGGCAAGCAGGAGGCACUGCCAUCGCUGCAGCAGUGGCGGUUUUGUGAGACUUGGUCACGAGUCAGGGGCUGCACACCGCAGAUGUUGCUGCCGCAGCAGAAACACGCGCGCAAGGCAACGUACGGGUUGACAUGCCCUAUCUAGCGCUUGCUGAUGCAAUGCUGACGGACCCCAGCCUGUUCCGCCGGCGUGUUGGCUGGCGAGAGGCAGUCAAUGACCGCGGCCAGGCCAUGCAGGGUGGUGUGGUAUGCGGUUUGCCGUACUGAGCUGCGGGAGCUCCAGCCCCGCAUCCUUCAGUAGGGGUCAGGUACGGCGACCAGGAGAGCGCAACAGCAUUCUCUGACAGCCCAGCCGCAGCCCUACUUCGCCACGAUCAGCCCAGCUGCCCCAGCACGACUUCUCUACGACUACGCAUUACCGGUGACAUGCUGUUUGCAAUCAGGCCGGGUGUAUUUGGGCACCGGGGACGUUCUCUUAGUUAACAUGUGUUUCCAUGCAUUGCGUCGUGUUACAAUUUGUGAGGGCGGCUCCGCCGCCGGAGAGGGUACCUGCAAGCAGAGAACCAGGGUUGCCUAGUUCGUAGUACGCGUGCUAUGUACUACGUACUGUACUACGUACUGUACGCUGCCCUCGUCGGCUAGUACGUUGGACAAGGGGUGUCAGCUUUGUACAGCUGGAAAAUGGGCUGAGCCCCAUGUAGCGCAAGGGGAUGUGACGAUGGGCACCGGCGACAUGAACAGCACCCUUGCAAGCCCAUCCAGCGGGACUGGCCACUAUGCCAACGCCGUGCCGAGGCACUGACAUGCCCUGUCCCCGCCACGCCACGCCACCUUACCCACGCCACUUCACGGUCCAUGAUAUCCCAAAUGCACCUCACCCACAUCCCACUCAAGCACCGCAAACGGCUAGCCGGGCUCGGGCGCGGGAUCCCGGGCCGCGACACAUGUAAGGCUCGGGGACGCAUGGUUUGGCUGUUGCAAACAAAUUCGACAUUCCUGCCCCAAGACGCUUGUCGUCGACAUGUUUUGAUACAUGGAUGUAAGAUAUUUAGGGGCCGAGAGCUAUACUCGCGAACUGAAGAAAGUCAAGAUGUCCAUGGACUCACGAGGUCGCUUCUCGCUCCGGCCGAGUUUUCCCUGCCGUCUAUUUUUCUACAAUAGGUAAUUGCAAUUAAUAAUACGUGGCACUCGCGGUUUGUGCCAGUAUGGUACUUUUUGUCGACACAGGCACACACGCACGCACGCACGCACGCACGCACGGACAGGGGCAAUCCUGGGGGGCUUCGCCCCCCCUGGAUCGCUUCGCUCAGGGGGCUCAGCCCAAAAAUACGUUGUGCUGGGGAAACCAGCGGGGUGGGCCGUGGCAGCGCCGUGGCUGGGCGAGGGGCGCGAGGGGUGCUGGAAAGGAUGUCCGUCGAAGUUUGCGAACCAUGGCUGCUCUCCGCACUGCAGCUGUGUUCUCUUACAACAAUAUGAGCAUAAUAAGUUGAAGGAAAUUCCGCUAGAAGACUAUGACCGCGCAAAUCCAAAUUCACACCGAUUCGGGCAUGGUGCGGGCACGCGUGCCGUGUUUGCGUCGGCUUCGCCCCCGGAUUUCCUGGCCCAGCGUAUUAUGCACCGUAUUUUACCGUACUGUACUAGGAAUCCUAGUACGCUGUAUUAAUACGCGUAUUAUGGAGAGAGGGUCGCGUACUAGGCAACCCUGCAGAGAACUGCGGUCUUCGUGCGGGGUUGGGAGGGCGAGCCCGAACCGCCGCAGGAGGGCGAGCCCGAACCGCCGUGUAGCCACGCAAAGAUAGAGCGUAGCCAGGGACGACGGCGUCAGUACUGACAGAACGAAACUCGCAAAGUAGCGAGCGCGACACAGCGCUCCGCUACUUAUCAGGGGUGGUGCAGCAAUUUUGCACAUUAGGAUGUGCAGAUGCGCACAUCUCUGCAAGAACGGGCACAUCCCUGCAAGAAUGGAUCAAAUGCACACUGCCACUUCCUCCACUACCCUCACCUGCCCGCAUAUAUCCCUGCCUGCUGUAUAGUAGCCGAGCGCGCCGUGCCCAGCAGGCCGCACCGCAGGACACCACUUCCAAUCAGCUGUCAUCACCCCCACCGAAACACAUGCCUGCUAGCGCAGGGACAUCUAAAACAUUGCCCAUGGUACACAAUUUUCAGUACGCCCUAAAGCGAUCGCCCCAGGAUUGCCCCACUCAUAUAAACGUGAUGAAUGCGGAUGUUACAGAGGGGACAGUCCCAGCACCCGAGGACGCCGAGCCAUCACAUGCUAUCAGGGCCCAACUUGACUCCACCAACCCCGACUUUGCUGCAAACCCUCCCGCGGUCAAAGUCCGUGUGACUCCGCGCACAGUGAGUCCGAGCCAAGCCUCAACCCGCCAGAGCCCCACCGCUGUGCCUCAACGCCACAAGCCUAGGCACCGGGGUGCCGGGAAUCGUCCAGGCCGCAGCACACACGCACAGCGCACGCACUAACCAGGGCGCAAGCGUCCAGGCACUAGAACGGUCGCUCACACGUGCGUCCUGCCCACACACCAAGCCCCCAACCACCCACAACCUCUCAUGGUGAGGGAGGCGGGGAAGCAGCGUCAUACGGCAAACGCAAUACCAUGCCUUCACCAACAGCCCGAGAGAUGAAAGGAUGCGCAGAUGGCACAGUGUCCCAACCCUUUGGCCUGAUACCCAAAGUCACAAACGUCUGGAGACGACCCCAGAAGUCAGCUACGACGGCAAGUCCAAUGCUCAGCACCCGGGCCGACGGCAGCUUCGCUCGCGCCGCCAGCCCGGCCAUAACCAUACGCUGCCGACCAAAGUCCAGGGCAGACAUAGCAACGAGACACACCACAUCCCACACAGGUGGCGCAAGCCCCGCAGGCGGGCGCACUAACCACAACUCCUCACGAGAGAAGGCACUUAGAGCAUCCUCUGGCAUGAAACCCAUAGCCAUCCCCAUGUUUUCCCGCAGUGACAGCGCAACAGUGCAGUCCCAAAACCAGUGACGCCGGUCCCCAUCCUGCAUGUCAACCCCACACGCCCAACACGGGUCAACAGCAACGCCUCGCGCCCGCUCGCUAGCAUGCCGUGGAAACGCCCAGCAAGCGUUGGCGGCCACACGCCACAGUGCUUCCUUAUGAUGAUUCUCCCAUUUCAGCGACCACAAGCGGGCCAAGGUGCAGACGAAGGCCCCCGCCGUUAUGGCAGCCAGUAGUUCAGUCUUUCAGUCAGUCAUCCGCGCUGAGGCACGCAGACCAGCACCCUUUCCACUCAAGCCGUCAAUCCGUGACGUAUGCAAUUACCUAUUAAUGCAUGACAUGCGCAAUUGCUACAUCGUGAAUGUGUCAAAGCAGAUAAAGCACCCAGCCAAACCUGCGGUGCUACAGUGUGAGCUAGCACUACGGCUGCACCGACUGCUGCAACCACCUCAGGAUACAUAUCUGCCUCCACGCGGGCUCGUGUGCGCUCCUUCGCUGCUUCUGCACGCAGAGAGUUUGAGAGUGCAGCACUUCAGUCAGCCAGGUUGCGGGCUUGCGGGGCAGUCCAAUGAGGAACCAGCCGGUUGAGGCUGUGAGGUCAGGUAAAGGGACCGGGCCUGCGCUAAUCCGGCCUGCACUGUGCACCAACCCCUACCCUGCCACCAACCCCUUCUCACCUGGUUGCAGUUUGGUCGCUGCAGCCUGCAACAUGAGCAGGUACCGGGGGCAACGGGGAAGCAAAACGGAAUGAAGCAGCGCCGAGUUGUUGCGCAUGUACCUGCUCUAGCGCGAAAGCUGCGCUAUGCAUGGUAGCUAACUUACCCACGGUACCCACCUUCACUUGGCCUUCACUCUUCAGCAGCCCCAUGACGACAAAAAGGGAUGUUUGAAGGCGGAAGCACCUUUAGAACUUUGGUUUGCGUCCUGCAUGAGCCGCUUUCGCGCUGCCGCCGUCUCCGCUACGGUCUCCUGGCUUUCCACGAAGCGCUUGGUGACCUCUCGCUUCGGGGCAACCUUGCGGCAGGGCACCACGCUGGUGGCGGGAGCGCGGCUCAGUGAAAGUGAAGACGCGCGGAGGGACUGCCUGUUUGCCUCUUCUUUGCCCCGCAUCGAGAAGCAGGGACCUUACAGUUGUUCCAAACAGGUUCUCUUGCAGUGCGUCCACUAAUAAGUUUCACUGAGCUCCCGCCACCAGCGUGGUGCCCUGCCGCAAGGUUGCCCCGAAGCGAGAGGUCACCAAGCGCUUCGUGGAAAGCCAGGAGACCGUAGCGGAGACGGCGGCAGCGCGAAAGCGGCUCAUGCAGGACGCAAACCAAAGUUCUGAAGCUGCUUCCGCCUUUGUUGAGACAGUUACUAUGUGGCCUCUGAUGAGCAGUGCCCGAUGUGAGACACGCAAUUGGGAACGCACUGCAAAUGACGGAAUUCGCCAAUGGCAUUAGGGUGCUGCAAGCUCCAGAACAAGGCUACAUGGCUCCAGAACAAGGCUACAUGGCUCCCCGCCCGGCGCUUUCUGGUGGCCUCCUGCCAACAGCAGCUCAAUGCACUCUUCCCAACAUGCCGCUUGUCAUCGAGUAAUUUGGACGCCUGCAGCAACCUAUCAGCCUAUCCCGCUCCUGCGCAAUGAUACCCAAAAUGUCAAAGCCGCCCCCGCGCCUCCAAGCAAGCAGUCCCCGACACGCCCUCGAUCCGCGCGCGUGCUCUCGCCUAGCCUGUGUGCAGGCUGGCGAACUCUGCCGACUAAACACACGACCCUAUCGACGCAUGCCCGAGAUUGCUUUGCGUGCCAUGUAGUAACUCAUGCUCCCUUUCCACACUUCGCGUACACGCAUGCAGCACAGAGCACACGCCGUAUGCUGCAGACCGCGCCGCACUCGAGACCCCAAUCCGACCAGCGAGCAGGGCAAUCCACGCCCCACCCGUAUCGGCACACAUCACAUGGACAGCAACGUUGGCGGCACGCGUGCCCAGCACGCACAGCACUGCCAGACACCUUUGCGCGACGAACACGAGUGCGGCACUUCCUGCUCUUAUCUAGGAUGACAAGUGCCACUUCGCACUCCUCUAUGCCAGGACUUGUACCCUGCAGCCGCGUGGCACGGCCCAGUGUCGACCGUGGAGCGAAGCCCACUGGUGCCUGCACCUCGUGCCCGUCCCAAAAGCGCAAUGGCAUGUUACCGCCUGUGUGCGGUACCGCCGCCUGUGCGGCGGCGGUUGACAUCCCGGCGCGUAGCAUCCACUGUCUUGGUGUCUGCUGCGCUGUGACGGCUCGAGGCAGGCGGCUGCCGAGCGUCCAGAGUCCCAGAGUCCCAGCCCACUGUUGUCCCGUGACGUCUCGUGCAUGCGCCGUUGUUGCAUGCUGCAGCGCGCCAGGGUGCACUGUUUCUGUCCGGCCCUGCGGCACCCCGCUCCUACAUGAAGUAGCCUAGCACCGCUGCUACACCAGGGCAAAGCGCUGGGACCCCAGGACCUGUCGCGGCCACUCUUGUUAGUGGCGACCGGGCACGCCGGCCUGGCCCUGCGACUGCGGCGCCCCCGCCCCGCCAGGCUGCUGUCCCUGCGCCCCGCCGGCCCCCACGGGGCCCUGCGCGCCGCCGGCGCCGCCCUGGCCACCGCCCGUCAGCUUGGCAUUGCGCGGCAGCCGCGGCGCCACCUCGAUAUCCUCGUAAAGGAUUUCCAGGUCCGCCUUCUGCACAAUCUCCCACUGGUUGAUGUCAAAAAUGAGGAACGAGCCGCGCUCGCCGCGCUGGCUCUUUUGCGUGGCGGCGCCGGGCGCGUGCAGCAUCCACAGCUUGUAGCGGCGGUGGAACCACCAGCCGCGCACCGACAGCUCGUCGGCCGCCAGCAGCUGCGCCUCGUCGCCGGGCAUGGAGUAGAACAUGUAGAACAGCGUUUCCUCCUUGAACUUGGACAAAUAGCCCGGCUGGGGUGGGGGAGAGAGUGCGCGGUAUCAAGGUGCCGUACGUACGAACUGGCGGCCAUGGGCAGCCCAUCAAGACCCAGUGGCCAGUACUACGGCAGCGCAAUUCUGCGAAAGCCGACACAUGGCGUGUGCGCCCUCCGACCAGCCGAUACCACGCCCAGCCAGCCCCCAAGCACCUGCAACCGCUGCGGCACGAACUUGUAGCAGGAGGGCAGGUCGAAGUCGGGCUCCGCCUUGAUGGGGUUGUCCGCCAGCGGCGACACCAGCGUGGAAUGCAGGUCGCCUGCGCGGUCCGGCAGUGGGGCGACGUGGCGAGGAGCUUGGGGAAAGGAAGCGGGCAGUACUAUGACGGACUCAGGCAGUAGGUUGUAAUGCCGAUGCCAUUGCCAUUCGAGGUCAUAACGAUCGCCACCGCGGUGGGGGCGCCCACGGCAACCCCCCAAUCGCUGCGAUGCCCUGGCUGUGCUGGCAAUGAAUGCGUGUUUUAUGGUACUGACUUCACGGUCCAGCUGCUGAGUUCGCGCAGGGUGCGUUACCACCCACUCGCUGACGUUAAGGACCUCAUCGACGUUCGCGCGCACGCAUGAACUAGACCACAUGUGAGGCGAAAAGCGCCGCCUGCGCGCCGCUCACCUGGCGCGUUGAGGUUGAGCCCCAGCCCCGUCAGGUCGGUGCCCAGAGCCAGCAUGGUCAGGUCCGGGUCCGUCAUCUUGAUCAGAGGCAGCAGACCCAUCAGCCCGAACCGGUCAGCCUUGGCCGCCGCCGCGCCACCCUGCAGCUCGCCGCCUGGCCCCACGCCCUUGCCGCCCAUAGGCCCCGGCCCCCCGGGCCCAAGAAGCCCCGGCGCCAGGCCGCGCUGCUGCUGCAGCCGCAAAUACGCCUCGUACUCGGCGCUGCCGGGCUGGCCCGCGGCCGCCGCCAGCUGCUGCAGAUGCUCCGCACCGAACCCAGACGCGCCCGCGCCCCGGCCCACCCCCUGCUGCUGGGCCAGGCCACCGGCACCACCCAUACCGUCCCGCGUUGAUGUCCCUGGCAGCGCCGGAAAAUCCUCGUUCUGGAUCUGGAAGUCGCCGCCUGCCCCGCCAGCACCGGCGCCGGCAUGCCCCGCCCCGCCCGCGACCGCUGCCGCUGCUGUGCGCAAGCCAAGCUUAGCGAAGGGGUCGUUCGCCGCCGCAGCGGCGGCCGCCGCAGCGCCCAUGGCCUCUGCGUUGGCGCGGCCCUGCCUUGCCGCCGCGUUCGCCAGCAGCGACGGGAAGUCGUUGUUGUCAAAGCUAGGCCCGUCCUGAUCCCCAUGCUGUUGCUGCUGUUGCUGCUGCUGCUGCUGCUGCUGUGCGGCCGCCGCGGCCGCCGCCACCUGCUGCUGCGCCGAUUGCUGCACCAGCCCCAGGCCGGGCCCGCCCAGGUUCCCGACGCCGCCGCCCACCGCGCCGAAGCCCGCCGCCGAAAGCCCCAGGUUGUUGAGCGCGUUAAAGGCGUUUGCGCCCCCGGGCAUCUGCUGCUGCUGGUGCUGCUGCGCCACCUGCUGCUGCUUCUGCUGCUGCUGACGGUUGAGCAUCGCCAACAGCUCGUGCGUGUUGGUGUUGGUGUUGGGCAUCGCGCCCGCCAGGUUCUGCUGCAGCAGGCCCAGCCCGCCCGCGUUUGCCAUCUGCAGCCGGCUCUGCAGGUUGCCGCCCUGCAGCCCGCCCAGGCCCGCGGCAGCUGCCGCCGUGAGCUGCGCAUUGAGCCCAAGCCCCGUCAGCCGCUGCGGGUUCUGCAGCGCCGCCGCGAGAGGGUUCUGCGCCGCGGCGUACCCUUGCAACCCGGCCAGGCCAGCGCCCGCUGCGCCCGCUGCCGCGGCGUUGAGGUUGGCGGCCAGACUGAGGUUAGCGGCGCGGUCGACGCCGGGCUGCCGCAUCGCUGCGAGCGGCGCAAGCCCCCCUAUCCCCUGCGCGCGGACGCCGGCCCCAGCAGCGCCCGCGAGGACGCCAUUUGCUAGCUGUGCGCCUGUGAGAGGUCGCCCCUGCGCCUGGGCGUACUGCCCAAGCUACAGGUGGGUGUGAAAGCGGGGACGGCGUGUGGGAAGGGUUUCGAGCGGGGACGAGCCCAAGACCCAGGAUACCGCAAACAUACAGCCUCAGUUUUGUGCUGUGAACUCCAUCUCCGCCAUCCAUAUGCAAGACCCCGAACGAGUAGUGUCAGCCCGUCGAAACCCGCUGCAUUUUGGCUCACCUGCUGCUGCAAAUUAGACUGUAACGUGCUCGCUGCAGCAAACCGGUUCUGCGCCGUUUGCUGUGGCCCUGCCGCUCCAGCUUGAAGCCCAGCAAUGCCAGUCCUGCAUGUGAACGAGCGUGGUCAGCAAAGUCUCGCAAAUUGCGGGAGGGUCCCUAGCAAAAGCGAGCCACCACGUACCUGACGCCGGGUAGCCCGCCCUGCAUCCCUCCUUGGAGAGCACCUGUCAAACAAGAGCGGCAACCUUGAUCAGCUCGCGCCGGGACACUGGGAGACCGUGUGCAUCAGGUCGCGGGUCUCACCGAGGGGAAAGCCCGCCUGCCCCGCCUGCUGUCCAUAUCCAAAUCCUCUGGCACCGCUCGGGUCCAGCCCGCCUGGAUUUCCUAGCAUGAGGCCCGCUCCUGCGCCAGCGCCUGCACCCGAGGACGCCAGCACAAAUGUCAGAGGCGCCACGGCAUAUUUAACCCUCAGCAGCCGAUAUCUUAGCCAGUCUGCUCGCUGGUCUGCACGCCCCGGCUUUCCUCGCUCCUCGGCACGAUCUUUUUGCGCAAAGCCCUCCAAAUCUGUCCCUGAACUCUGCACGUACCAAUGGAGCUCUACUAGUACGCCGAGAAAUUGGCGGUGAAGUCCCUAUCAGCUGCUGCGUCCAGAGCAGCAGCGACGCGAAUUGUCCCUACACAAGCCGUGCAAACCUUGCCCUAAAAGCGGUCACAAUAUAAUCUGUUACCAGCCAUGUGUGCAAAUCUGUUGCCAGCGAGGUUUGCGGGCAGGGCUGUAUCACCCGCAUGGAUCCGCCCCCUAAGCAACCUCCUGGCACACACAUGCAUAAACCCCUCCCCGCCGACCCCUCCCCCAGCCCCACCCUCGCGCAUUAGACCCCCCCUCGAGUGAACCGUCCGUGUCCUUGGAGGCGUUGUUGCCUCCACUUGUGCAGGUUGCGACACACGCGUCGGUCAGGUUGUAUUGUUCGUGUGAGACGCGGGCUUCCGUGCAGUUGCCGGCGCAGAGCACACGCAUCUAUGCUUGUGCUUGCAGAAUGUGCGCGGAGAGCUACGAUACGUGCGUAGGAAUCUACAAAUUAUGUGAAUGCAGGCUUUAUCCUGGCAGAGUUGCGCAACAACCCCACGGACUUGAGUGAUUCGGUGAUUCCCAGACCCCAACCCAGAUGGGCCGCCCUGGGCGUGCUGGGCCAGGCCGAGUGGGUAGGAGCCGCCUAGGGGAGAAGGGGGUGCCGUUUUGGGUAGAGUAAGGCAGAAUCACUAGGAUGCGCUGUUCAUGUGUUGAAACCAAAAUUGAGACCCGGGCCAGUGGACGACCCAAAGCUAUGACUCAACACAUGUAUGGUGCACAAGGAUAUCCACGUGCAGAUCUGUUGUUUGCCAUCUGCUGGGGUCUGGGAAUCACCGAAUCAGCUGCGCCCUCCGGGACUUCACCAACCUGCCUUGACACAGUCCAUCGCACAUCCACGUGCGGAGCUGUAGAUUGCGAGUGCGUUUACGAGGCAAAGAGGGCGGCGAACGGGGGCGGCGACGUAGGAUGCUAUGGCUACCCCGGAGUCUGGUGGGGCUUGCUCCAGUCGCCCGCAGGGAGCCGGGGGAGCGGACGGAGCGGAGGUAGCGAGCCAGGUCACCGGCCGGUGCCUGGUAGGACGGUAGGUGCCAGCAGCAGUAGGGCAUAGCAUCAAAGCGGCAGCUGGAUCGAGCAUGGCUGCUGGAUGUGCCUUGUUGUGUGCUGCGACUGGCUCUAUGCUCUGCUCUGCUCUCGCUUGUACUAGGAACUUAAUGGCUGUGCGCUCGGCUGCAGGACCGAGCGGACCCCUGGCUGGAGGUGCCUGUGUGGAGGCCAACUCACACAAGCGUGCAGGGAGACGCGGUGAGAAGCGGCUUGACGCUAUCGUAUUGGCCCGACUGUGCCCGGGAGUUGAUAAUAGUUCGGUAGACCUUCGGCCUCAAGCGGGGCCCUGCAUGUGAGGUGGCACGUCGCGACCGACCAACACGCAGACGCGUCCAUCCAAGCGGCAGCGCACACGGCCAGGGCACACCGCCCCUCUGAUGGCCGUCUCCCGCACGGAAGCACUUGACACUUACUUGUUGAAGCAGGCUGUGGCACAAACCUGCCGCUUCCGAGGUACGUGUGCGGGUACAUCACCAGAGAUGCCCGGAAAACCCGAAUGCGCACGGUGUCGGACGAGGGGGUCGCAGCUAGCGUGCAGCACAGGAGGAAAAGCCUGCCAUCCCUUUCCGCUACCUUACCAACCCUAAAACCUCAAGCCUGCUGGUUAGGCACAGGUAUAAUUGACUCACAGGAAUAUAUGCAUUGCGGCCUUGCGGCAUGCCGCUGAUUUCAAUAUUCCGAUUGCCCUUGCUGGCUGAUGCAAGUUUGAGACGUGUGCUGCGUUAGGGGUGAUGAAGGGGAGGCCCUGUUCGGCCUGUUGAGUGAACCGGUGGCGGCAAAAGCAUUCCUCGUAGCGGUGUGGUCGCCUGGUUGGCCCUGGCGACCUUUAGUCGCUGGCUAUGUCUAUGUCUCUGGCUCUGGGGGUGGCUGUGGCAGUGGCAGUGGAAGUUCCGGGUAGACCAUAGACGGGUAGCCGCGUGCGUGAACGCUGUAACGCUGGUCCUUUCGGUUACCCGCCCAGCCUGAUCAUUCCGCGAAGGCUCUUGUCCCAACGCCACGCAUAUCCUUUCGGACCUGGAUUGAGGGGGGCGUUUAUGAUCGAACAACUCGCGACCAGCAGGGGGGGAGGUUGCGUCGGCCCUGAUGGGGCGGGCAGGGGCCGGAAGGGAGUGGCUGUGCCACACCCCAGCGUGCCGCACGCCGAGCGCGCCACACACUAAGUCCGAGCUAAGUCUUACAUGAAAGUGUGUUAGCGGACGAAGCUUGUGCCAUUAACUGGGUUUGUUUGCAGGCGGGUUUUGCUGGAAGGUUCUUCCAUGCACGUUUCGAGACCAAAUCGCUCGACGACCUAUUACGCCCAUGACCGAGUCGCGUAUUAUAACAUUUGCCUCAGCCAUAUAACCUUACCGGCGUCGACUCGCCACGCCUCGACUUGACGCGAGAGAUGCACUCGCUAAGCAAGGCCCUGCUUGGCUCUGGCCGUCGCGGCCAGCAGAACGUAAGGCACCUUCAAGAGUGUAUAUUAGGCAGUCAAUUGCAACCGGCCGAUCAGUGGUCGCCACGUGGAAGUGUUCCAAUCAGGCAUCGCGACGCAGAUCCUAGCGGCGACCCUCCGACGCGUGACGCGAGACAAAUUGGAGGAGCGUGACUGCUGAUCGCAUAUGUCGUGUUAAUGCCUGCAGAGCGCGCUGCUCCAGGCUGUGCGCUUCUACGCCGCCAAGGAUGUGCGCUUCGGCAUCGAGUGCCGUGACAAGGUGCUUGCCGGCGUGAACAAGCUGGCGGAUGCCGUCCAGGUCACUCUGGGUCCCAAGGUAAGACAAAGGGAGGGGUUAGGACUGCAGGGCUUCGCGCGUGGAUCGGGAGCAGGGGCGGGGGUGCCAGCAGGGACUUCCACGUCGGCGUCUGGAAGCUCGUGCCGUGCAGUUGCUCGACAGCCAAGGGCAGGGCCGCGAGGGAGGGCCAUGUCGGCCACCAGUGCCAUGCGUUGCUGACAGCUCCCAGUGGAAAUAGCGACAAGGGUUUCAGCGCGUUGCACGUGAUGCAGGAGCUGCGGGGCUGUAACCCGGCCCGGCAAAACCGCAACCUCAUGCCAGCCGCGGUUCUGCCGCUCAACGGACGCCUGCUCCCGUAACGCUUGCAACACAGGGUCGUAACGUCAUGAUUGAGCAAACGUACGGCGGCCCUAAGAUCACCAAGGAUGGUGUGACUGUGGCUAAGGUGAGAGCGGCGAGAGGUGGAGGACCUGCAGGCUGGCUAACCUGUUCUGCGCCGGAUGGGAGGGCCGCGAAGGGAUGCUCGGCCAGGUCCUGAUGAGUGAGGCGUUUGGGAGUAGCCUCGUGCGGUUAUUUUGGCGCUUUCACGGGAGGCUGGGCGAUGAGGCAUGUAAUCGGCAGGGAGAAUCGAGGCUGGCGGUCUGCCAGGGGGACCCGGGUCCACCCCAAUUGGCAGUGCAACGCCGUGCAGUCCCUACACCCACUCGGGUGCACGCCGCGCUAGACGCACAAUCACAACAUGACUGAGCACCGGUUACAUGCACGUAUGCCGUAUGUCUGCGACGUGCUCGCCCAACUCCCCGCCAUCCUCCGUCUCGCGGUCGCCGCCUCGCACACAACAGGCCAUCGAGCUGAAGGACAAGUUUGAGAACAUUGGCGCCAGCCUGGUGAAGCAGGUGGCCAGCGCCACCAACGACGUGGCGGGAGACGGUGAGGGCAGGAGGAGCACAGGAGGGGGCGGCGGCGGUGGGGUGGUGGGGUGGUGGGUGGGCGGGGGGAGUGUAGAGUGGUGGUGGGUGGGCUGGGGCGGGCGCAGGGGCGGGGCGGGUGCCCCGCCCGAGGUAGGCAGUGGAAUGGGGGAGAGGCGCAGAUGAAGGUGGAGGGGAGGGGACGGAGAAGGAGAAGGAGUGGAGGGGAAGGAGAAGAACGGAGAACCGAGGAAGGCAAGGGGGCAGUGAUAAGGGAACACGAAGCUCACGAGGCUAGGCGAAUGGGGCUUGACGGGUGUUGCGCAGAAAUGCAGAAGCGUAAUGCGGUGGCGGCGCCGGUGGUUUGGGUGGUGUUGGCUGUUUCCCGAAGUAGGGAGCAGGGUCAGCACAGGGGCGGCAUGCACUGCAGCCGUCACAACGAGGAAGCGCAUGGGACAGGGGACGAUCGGGGACGACGCCGGAUCGCCACGACGCCCGCCGGGCAAGUGGCCCAAGCGAGAGGGUUUUGUCACCUCCUGUCUCCACCAUUUCCACCUGGUGUUUCCCUCACAUUCCCGGCGCCUUCCCACCCACCUUGCCCCAGGCACCACCACCGCCACGGUUCUGACCCGCGCCAUCCUGGCCGAGGGCUGCAAGUCCGUGGCCGCCGGCAUGAACCCCAUGGACCUGCGCCGCGGCAUCAACAUGGCGGUGGAGCACGUGGUGGGCGUGCUCAAGGCGCGCGCCAAGAUGAUCUCCACAACCGAGGAGAUUGCGCAGGUGGGGGGCGGGGACAGGAGGGAGGAGGAAGGAGACGGGGGGCGGGAGGUGGGGGUUGCAAAGAUGGUUGGAAAAGCGGUACCGAUAAAAGCAGUACCGGUAAAAGCGGAUGCGCAGGGGGGAUACGAAAACCCCCCACCCCAACAGGGGGGAGGGGCACUUGUUCAUACCGACAAGUAUGAAGUGUCGGGGUCAGCCGUUCAUGGAGAAUGGGGUGGUUUGGGACGGGGCGAAGAGCAGGGUGGCAGAGGAUGGGGCAGAGGGCGGGCGUGGCAGCGACGGAGGGGGUGAAGGAGGGGCGAUUGGUGAAACGGGUUGGAUGGUGAAAGUGGCGUGGCCUACCAAACCGGUCCAGUGCAACACAACCCUGCUCCCAGCAACCCUGCCACCUGACACACCUCCGCCAUCCCAACAAACCUCGCCUCCUCUCUCCUCCUCUCCCCUGUUGUCAGGUGGGCACCAUCUCCGCCAACGGCGAGCGCGAGAUCGGCGAGCUGAUUGCCCGCGCCAUGGAGAAGGUGGGCAAGGAGGGCGUCAUCACCGUCAACGACGGCAAGACGCUGGAGAAUGAGCUGGAGGUGAGAGGGGGGGUGCGAACAGGAAGGGUGUGAACAGGAAGGGGGGGAGGAGGGGGGGGGAACAGGAGGGGGGGGGGAUGGGGAUGCGGAGGAAGGCGGGAUCGGGAUACCGAGCGAAGGGUCAGGAAUGGCAGGGUUGCAGGUGCUGGUAGUCAAGCUCUGGCGGUGGCGCGGGCCCUUGGGAUACUUCCGCCUCCCCGCCCCAUCACCCUGCCCCCGCCCCAUCACCCCUCACCCCCUAACCCCACAGGUUGUUGAGGGCAUGAAGUUUGACCGCGGCUACAUCUCGCCCUACUUCGUGACGGACCAGAAGACCAUGAAGGUGGAGCUGGAGAACCCGCUCAUCCUCAUCUGCGAGAAGCGCAUCAGCGGGUGAGGGGAGAGGAGGAGCGGAGGGGAGGGGGAAGGAAGCGGGGGAGGAGGAGGGGGAAAAGAGCAUUUCAGCCGCGUAUGCAGAUGAUGGUGGGUGGUGAUGCAAAUGGCACAGCGUUGCGCGCACAGGAAGUAGCGGCCGCGUAGAGCGGCAUGACCGGGGGAAAAAGCUUCAUCCAUGGCGUGCCCGGGGGGAGAGGGGGCCGACGUAUCGAUGCACAUGUAUAUCCGGCAUGUUGCUUUCAUGCCAACCACCCCCUUGCCCUCCCGCUUCCCCUCCUCCGCCCGCCCGCCCGCUCCCGCCCGCCCGCCCCGCAGCCUUCAGUCCCUGCUGCCGGUGCUGGAGAAGGUGGUGCAGGUGCAGCGCCCGCUGCUGAUCAUUGCCGAGGACGUGGAGAGCGAGGCGCUGGCCACGCUCAUCGUCAACAAGCUGCGGGCGGGCCUCAAGGUAGGGGGGCGCUGGGCUGGGGGAGGGGGAGGGUUGUAGAUAGCAGCUCAAACUAAACCGAACCCAAUGCAAUAGACCGAGGAGGAGAGCGUGUGAGUCGCAUCGGGGGGGGGGCGGACUCCACGGGUCGCGUGACCCCGGCCAGCAGCGGCGCAGUGGUCACACAGGGGGGAGGGGGGGAGGGGGGAGGGGGCGCCAGGGUUGCCGGCAGCGGGUGGGCGGCAGGUGCUGGGCGGCCGGACGGAGUCGAAAGCAAUUCUGACAUGACAAUGAGGGUGCGGGUGGGCGGGGGUGUAUUGCGGGUGGGCGGGGGCGUUGUGCGGGGGUGCGGGGGCGGGGUGCGGGAUGAUGCAACACGCUGCGGAAGCGGGAGUGGGCAUGUGGCGAAGGACUCGUGGGGCAGGGGCGGAGGCGGAGCAAACCGGCGGGGGGCACGGAGGAAUGUGCGUGCGCCUAGAACAGCUUACGAACACCCCUUCCCGCCUCUGCUUUGCCCCCCCCCAGGUGUGCGCCGUGAAGGCUCCCGGCUUCGGCGACAACCGCAAGGCCAACCUGCAGGACAUCGCCGUACUCACCGGGGGAGAGGUGCGCGGGGGCUGGCCGGGGGGGGGGUGGAGGGGGGAGGACUAGGGGCGCGAGGGGAAGGCCAGACCGAGACAUAGAGGGGUGGUAUGAACGUACGCGUCCGCACUCACCCGACCCCGACCCCGCACCCCGCACCCCGCACCCGGCACCCCCGCUCACGCCGCACACAGGUGAUCAGCGAGGAGCUGGGUCUCAAGAUGGAGAACGUGGACGUGCGCUCGCUGGGCUCGGUGAGUAGAGGGGAGGAGGGGAGGAGGGGAGGAGGGGAGGAGGGGAGGAGGGGAGGGGAGGGGAGGGGAGGGGAGGGGAGGGGAGGGGAGGGGAGGGGAGGGGAGGGGAGGGGAGGGGAGGAGGGAGGGUGAGUNNNNNNNNNNNNNNNNNNNNNNNNNNNNNNNNNNNNNNNNNNNNNNNNNNNNNNNNNNNNNNNNNNNNNNNNNNNNNNNNNNNNNNNNNNNNNNNNNNNNGAGGGGAGGGGAGGGGAGGGGAGGGGAGGGGAGGGGAGGGGAGGGGAGGGGAGGGGAGGGGAGGAGGGCGGGUGAGUGGUGGGUUGGUAGGAAGGGAAUGAGUGGAUGGGCGGGCGGAUGGGCGGGUGCCGUGCGCACCUGAUGGCUGGUGUGUGUGGGGGGCGUGUGUGUCUGUGGGCAAGUCAGACGGUGACAUGGCUGCAGGGCUAAGUGAGUGUGUGAGUUCUUCUCUCACCCAUUGUACCGCCCGCCCACACACACCGCCCGCCCCAUGUGACAUAAUGCACCGUCCACACGUCACCCCCGCGCCCACCCCUUGCUCCCCCCAGGCCAAGCGCAUCACUGUGACCAAGGACGACACCAUUGUGCUGCACGGCGCCGGCGCCAAGUCCGACAUCGCCUCCCGCUGCGAGAUGAUCCGCGCCGCCAUGGACGCAACCACCUCGGACUACGACCGGUGGGGACAGGGGUGGCGGGCGGGGGCAGCAGGCAGGAGGCGGGCAAUGGCUGAGGGGUUGGGGCGGGAGUGGAAGUUGAAGACAGGGCUCAGGGGUCGGGCAGGACGGGUCGAGUACUACUUGCGGUCUAGGGGCGGUGUGGGUGCGUAUCAUGGCUCUGGCACCUGCCCUCACAAUCUUAACCCCACCCGCACCCGCACCCCUCCCACCUGGCCAGUGAGAAGCUGCAGGAGCGGCUGGCCAAGCUGUCUGGCGGCGUGGCGGUGAUCAAGAUCGGCGGCGCCAGCGAGGUGGAGGUGGGCGAGAAGAAGGACCGCGUGGUGGACGCGCUCAACGCCACCAAGGCCGCCGUGGAGGAGGGCAUUGUGCCGGGUGAGGGAGGAGAGGGAGAGGGAGAGGGGUGGAGGGCGAGGGAGAGGGGUAAGAGGGUGGGAAAUUGGCCACCCUCUAGCUGCUUUGCCCGCCUUUAAGCAACAUCCUCUUGCUUCUUGUGCCCUGCCUCGUCCUCACCUCCUCCUCCGCGCCCUCCCCCUCUGCCUCCCCCCACACGCGCAGGCGGCGGCUCCGCGCUGCUGCACGCGUCCAAGACGCUGGACGAUGUGACCGCCAAGCUGGACAACUUCGACCAGAAGAUCGGCGUCAACAUCAUCCAGAACGCACUGCGGGUGCGUGAUGUGGGGUGCUGCGGGACGUUGGGGUAAUUAGGCGGCCGGACAAGAAUUCAGACGAAGCGGGGAACGUGUGCACGCGUAUCGGCUUGCCAAGCCGCCACGCCUGGCCACGUACCGGGAACACCACAUCACACUACGGUAGACGGCCGCUGACCCCUUCAACCUCAUCCCGCCGCUUCCCCCUCCCUCCCGCCGCUCCCCCCUCCCCCCGCUGUCUACUUCGCUACACUUCUCUGUACCGCUCCUUGCAACCCCCCCCCCUCGUAAACUUAUAACCCCCCCUCACGCACACACAGGUGCCCAUGAAGACCAUCGCCUCCAACGCGGGUGUGGAGGGCGCCGUGAUCGUGGGCAAGGUGCUGGAGAUGGCGGAGCCGCAGAUGGGCUACAACGCCGCCACCGGGGAGUUCGUGGACAUGAUCAAGGGCGGCAUCAUUGACCCGCUCAAGGUAUGCGUGCGUGUUUGCUUGUGUUGGGGGGCCGCGGCGCGGGUAGGUGUAGUCCAGUCCCAACUGAACCAGGGGGCCCGUGUGGGCGUGACCAAAGGGUUGCAAUGCAUACCCAGACAGACAACGCGGUGUGUGAUCGUGGUAGGGCCGUGGGGAUAGUCAUGUUGGAAGCCCUUUCAAGUCACCCCGCGCUCACCAUUCGCCCACCCACCCGCCCACCCACCCACCCGCCCCCACGCCAGGUGGUCCGCACAGCCCUGGUGGACGCUGCCAGUGUGUCCUCCCUCAUCACCACCAGCGAGUGUGUGGUGGUGGAGGCGCCCGAGGACAAGAAGCCCGCGGCCGGGUACCCGCCCGCGCCCGACAUGUACUAAGCGGCUGUAGCAGCUGGAGGCGGCUGUAGCAGCUGUUUAGGGCUGCAGCAGCUGAACGGGUUGUGCUGGUUGCAGCAGCAGUAGCAGUUUUAUGGGGCCGCUGCUGGCUACAGCUGGCGGCCGGACCUCUGGCGCCUGCCGCGUAUGACGUCAUGCGCACCGGCACCAGCCUCAGGGUUGCAGUUGCCGGCAUGACGCUGUGUGGCGGGUGGGUGCUGCCACUUGGGACGUGGGGGUCAGGUGGGUCAGGCGGUGGAUCGGAGGCGGCGCCGGCAAGCCUCCGGAGUAGGAGGCAGCAUUAGGAAGCAGUGGGGAUGCAGAUGUGUCUCAAGGUCAGGUGCGAGGACAGCGUGAGAGCAAGAGAGAGUGUGUGUAUGUGUGAGUUCACAUGACUGGGCGGGCGCGGAAGGCCUGGCCCAUACAUGGGCGAUGUGGUAGCAGGAUGGAUGAGAGGUGGGAGGUGCCGCGUGGGAGGGGUGGGCGCGGGCAGCACUGGGUGGGUGGCCCCGGGCGGGGGGCAAGAGGUGGUGAGGCGGUGGCGGCACGGGUGAGGUCUGUUGAGCCUUAACGUGUGGCCGGAGUGUUGUAGGGGCCUUGAAGGCGGGGUGCGACGGGAAGUCCGGAGACUCCGGACGGGCUGUAAGGUGGCUUCGCAACUCGUCUCGUUUCAGGGCUGCAUGCGAACUUGCAAACGGCGAAGAUCCCCACGCCCACAGCGAGAUGUAGCGGCCGGCUGACAUACCGGUAUCGAAAGGCAGCGCGGCGAGCACGAGUCUUGGUACGCCCGCGCGAGAGAGAGGUCCGUGUGUAACCAACACAGUGCGUGCUACAUGCAUGACAGCAGGCAUGCCCCUGGUAAGAUCGUGACUAUGCAUUCCAGCCGUGUCAGCCGUCGUAUUAAUAUGUGGGCUGGAGCCUCAGGGCAGCGGCGGCAGCGGUCCAGGAAUUUCCGUGGAGGCUUCACGCCCCCUAGCCAUGUCAAGGCACAACCGGUUGACAACACAGCACGCCAGUAUCUGAUACACUCCGAUACCUUCUGGCCCCAUCCUGCCACUGCCUCCAGAACGCCUGAGCAUCCGUCCCAGUGCGGCCCAGCGGGGCACUGCCUCGUGCGGUCGCUAAUCCAGCACACCCACGUCAAGCCCCCACCCCCAACAACCCGGCCUCACUCGUCCGCGUUCUGUUACAAGUACCCGAACCCCGCCGCCGUCCGCUGCGCCACCCGCUGCCGCGCCGCCUCUCGCCGCGCCAGGGCCUCCGCCUCCUCCUUGCUGAUCGUCGCCGCCUUGCCGCCCUUGCCCGCCGCCGCCUUGGCGCCCGCCGCCUUCACCGCCGCCGCCUCCUCGCGCUUGCGCUUCUCGCCUGCCGACGGCUCUUCCAACACAAUGCCUGUGCGGGGCAGCCACAGCGACAGCCGGGUGAGGUACGGCCAGGGCGCCUGCCCACGUGUCCGUGUCCGUGUCCGGGCACGUGCCACAACAGACACGUGCGGCGAGGGAGCAGAUGGCGCGAUGUCCGAGGCGCUCGCGGCCACUGAGGGUCGCCACUCUAUGUGGCCCCAAUCCACACAGUGCCAUGCCACAGCUUCUCUCGUACCCCACGCCCCCGAGCCCUCCGGACCCACGGCCGGCACGGCCGGCACGGCCCCACGCUCACCUGCGCCCAUGCCGCCGCCCACUCUCCCCGUCUUGGGCGCCUGGUAGCCGCCAAUGUCCGAGGCCGGGUGCUUGGGCACCACCACCGCCCGCGUCACAGUCUUCUUCUCAAACACGCCCGGCGGCGCAGCCGCCGCGGCGCCGCUGCCGCUGGGGUCGGGCGCGGUGCCGGGGCCGUGCCCCAGCGGCACGGGGCCACCGGUGUGUGGCGCGGUGCCGAACAGGGCGGAGGCGGGCAGUGGCGGCGUCUGCGACCAGGCCGGUGCGGGCUCGCCGCCGUAGUACCACUGCGUCUUGGGGUCGUAGUACCACCUGUGGGGCAGGGAGGAGGCAGGGGGCACCGCAUAGGCGAGCGGUAGCGCGAGCGGUAGCGCGAGAAAGGAGGCUGAGCGAGCUGCAUGUGUAGGGGUGGAGGUGCACACGCGUGGAGAUGACGCACUGGCGCGGGGUGCUGGCGGGAAAAGGAGGGAGGGCGCUUGUGGCGUGGGCUGGCGCACCGGCAGGCCACCUUCCUCCGCCCGGCGCCAGAGGCUCCUGCCUUUCCGCCGUCCCCUACUCCCGAGUCGGCCCCUUGAUUAACAGCCUCUUCCCAUACCCACCUGUGCGUUUCGUUGUAGUAAUACCCGCUGCCUUUGUCCCAAGUCCAUUGCCCUGCCUCCGCCGCCGCUGCCGCCGCCGCCGCCUUCUUGUCCUGCGGGGCUCAAGGGUGGGCAGCAAGUGGCAAGGCGUCGUGAGGACCGUGGCGCCUCUACGGCUUUGGGGAGGAGGAGGCAGAGAGCCAGCCGUCACCUCACAACAUCCUCUGCGCCUCCAACCACGCCAGUCCGCCUCUCCAAUAUGCCACGACCCCGACCCCGACGUGUGACAGGCUGGGCGUAUGCCAGAGAGCCGGCCCCGCCGCCUGGCUCUGCAGCCCCCGUUAGCCGCCCCUUUCCCGGCUCCUAAGUCCCAGACCCAAGCCAUCCGGACUCUCUCCCCCAACCGCUAUUGAACGCCCCAACCGCCUCUAACCGCUUGUUUAACCACCUCUCUAAUCGCCUCUCACCUCCUCGUACUGCUUCUUCGCCGCCGCCUCGAUUUUGUGCAUGGCGAUCUCGUUGACCUCCUUGGCGCGUGCAUCCCGCUCCGCCUUUUUGGUCAUAUCAUACAGCUCUGGGGCGUGAUAGGACAGGUAAGCGUUGCAUAUAAUGUGUGUGUUUGUUACAUGGCAGGAACUGCUACUGCGUUGCUGGCCUGCCGGCUGCUUGCAUUGCUUGUACUCCCCUCAACUCGCGCGGCACCCAACCACUGGUCACCCGGGGGCCUUGCGGCAUAAAGCAUCGCACAUGACCACAGACUGCGACUCCCGUAUCACAGUACUUGAUCCAUACAGCCUGCCGCCGCGCAUUCCGGGCGAGUUCGCUUCUUCGCUUUGCCCAACACUUCCGUCGGCGCACUGAGCCUGUUCCAGGGUUGACCCACUCACUCUUCUCCAGUUUGGCCUGAUGCCCGGCUCCCCGUUCGUGGUUGAGCCGGGCCGCUUUCGUGUCGUUGAGCCAACAUUUACAAACGUCGCACCAGUACAUGGCAUUUGAUUUCCAGAACUGCAGCGCACGGCAGCCGAGUUGGGUGGGACGUCAGGCCGGUAUGGGUGUGCGGGGUUGGAAGCGUGUCCGAGUCCCGCCAGUUUGGCGGGCUCGACGCUGGUAUCCUUUGUCAUCGCUCUAUCUAACAAAAGUCUGCACUGUGCCUUUUACUAAAGCCCAACAGCGACUGGUCGAGUUUGUGCACAGAACGUUGCUACCCGCGUACCUCUGUCAUUUUUGCUAGACCUUUUUAAGUAUCUGUUAUAUAUGGUGGUCAAGCUCGCAAGCGGUCAGUGAGAGCAGGGAUGUGACUUUGGUCGCUCUUGGUCAAUUCAAUGGUGGGGCCCUAUCAAGCUGCAACUGAUGUUAGGUAUUAAUGAGCAGUGUAGUUGUGGAAAGCUCAGUUGGCCGGUGCUCCACUGUGAAGGCGUGGAGGUCCAUGCAGCAGUCCAAUCGGCAAUCGGGUCUUGCGAGUCCGCCUGUGGCUCGAAUCAGGAGCUUCCCUGUAUGUGGGUCAAUUAAUAUAGUUGAAGGUGGUUUCCACACAUGGAUUGAGCUAGGGUCAAGCUAGUGCAGAAUUGGUGGCGGAGCCCGACCUGCGGAGCAAACUAGGCGCUCGGGGCCGCCCGGAGCUGCCUCCACAGCUUCUGAAUGACUGGAAAAUCCAAAUCUCGCGGCGGCCCGAAAACCCCAGCGUCCGGACCGGGGCCCAGUGCUGCGGGCGCUGGUGCGGGCGCCAGCGCCGCGCCCGCGGCGGACUCGGCUGGGGCUAGUACCAAGCAGAAGCCGCAGCAGGGCGGUGCCAGCAAUGCCACAUCUAGCCCAGCUGGCGCUGGUGCCAAUGGCAGCGCACGAGUGGCUGCCAUCGGCACCACCAGUGCGGCUGUGCUAGCCACGCCAACGCCCCGCACCGCACCCCUGACACAGCAGCAGCUACGACGGCUGCGGCAGCAGCAGCGCACCGCCGCACCAGCCGUCCGUGCCCGCGGCGCCGCUGCCCCCGCCUCCGCCUCGGUUGGCGGCGCGCGUGCGGGCCGCAGCGGCGCCGGCCCCGCCAGCGGCCGCAACCGCGCAGCCCCGGGAGGCGAUCCGUCCGCCGACGCAUGGGCUGCCGCGGCGGCGGUUGCCGCCGCCGCCGCCGCAGGUGGCGGCGGUCGCGGUCGCGGCGGCGUCGGCGGCGCCGGCGACGGCGCAGACGGCGUCAGUGCGGAGGCAAUGGCGAAGCUGGUGGAUGCUGCGGAGGCGGCGCUGACGGAGGGGGCGGCGGGCGCGGCGCGGCUUCAGUCCAUGGCGGUGGCGCAGCCGGACCUGUACUCACGUGUGCUGCUGGGGCUGUUCCAGAAGACCCAGUCCCUGGAUCUCAUCAGCCGCAUGCCGAUGCCGCUGCCGCCGGAUCCAGGAUUCGACAUCGAGCCGCCCCUGCCCGGCGGCGAGUUUGACUUCGGCUGGAACGGCGGCGGCGGCAGCCGCGGCGGGGCCGGCGGCGCUGGCGGCGGCGGUGGUCCGGGUGAUGAGGGCGGCUACAUGGACGGCUACGGGCCGGGUGCCGGCGGCGCUGGCGGCGGGAUGCAGUUUCCGUUCCCGGAUUUUGACUACGACUUUGACUACGACCCGUUUGAGGGCGAGGACGAGGACGGGCUGUACGGCGAUGGGCUGUUCGGCCCUGGCGGCGAGGACCUGUACGGCCUGUUUGACGAGUACGGCGAGGGUUACGGUUACGAUGAUGAUGAUCUGUACGGCGACGCCGGUUACUCGGAGGACGAGGAGGGUGCAGGUGGAGAGGAGGAGGAGAGCGCGGGCGAGGACGAGUGGGAGGAGGUGGAGGGCGCGGAGGCGGCGACCGUGGCAGCGGCGGCAGCAGCGGCGGAGGCGGCGACGGUGGCGGCGGUGGCAGCAAUGGCAACGCCAUCUGUGGGAGCGGACGCACAUGUGGGCGCUGUGGCGAGCACGAGCAAGGACGCGGAAGAGGUGUGCGGUGUGGCAGCCGUCAGCGGCACACCCGGCGGCAAGGGCGCAGGCCCCGGGCCAACACCUGGGGCGCACAGCGCCCAGACGCCGCCGCCGCCGCCGCCGUUGCCGCCACAGCAGCAGCUGAAGGGCUGUGAUGCGGACGUUUCGUCACCAAAGCGGAGAGGCGCAUCAGCUGCGACGGCCUCAACCUCAACCUCGGCAUCAGCAUCAGCAUUAGCAGCGGCGGCGGCGACGACGGCGGCGGCCGGGGUAGCGGCGCGCGCGAGGUCGCCAGCAGGGAGAGCCUCGGGGCCGGCAGCGGGGCUAGGUGCAGGGCCAGGGCGGCGGCGGGUCGGGCCGCCGGUGGCGCUGGAGAGCUUGACGACACCGGGGUCGGGGGCAGCAGUGCGCGCGGCAGCAAGAGCGGCGGCGGUGGCGGCGGCGGGCACAGGCGCACCCGGGGCCCAGGGGAUGGGCGGCGGCGCAGGCGAGGCAGGCACCGGUGCCGGAGGCAGGCGCGUCGGCGGUGGCGACACCUCCUCGCGGCGCCAGCAACGUAUGGCGGCUGCAGCAGCGGCGGCGGCGGCUGGAGGUGGCGACCUGGGUGUUGACGCUGACGACGACGACCACGGGGUGCUGUUGGAUGAGCUGUUGGGGUUCCGCAUCACCAGCAAGCCGCCUCCCAGCUAGGCGGCAGCUAGGGGCGAGAGUGCUGCAGGGGGCAGACACGCAGUGCGCGCACGCCCUGCUUACGGACAGACAGAAAUGGGACCCUGGGUUAGUAUUGAUGCGCAUUUGACGGUCGACGGCUGACACAACGCGAGUAAGCUCAUUGUUUGGGCGUGCGGUGGGGGCGCGCUCAGCAAGUGUAGGCGCGGGCUGCGUGAUGCGCGAUGCACGUUGGUGUGGGUGAUACCGAUGACAGUCGCAACGGACAAGAGCGGAAGCGAGACUGUGUUUUUAGUUGCCGUUUUUGACGGUGCUUGGUGACACAUGACAUUGGAAUGAGUAUGUGUGUAUGUGUGUGUUUGGAGGAGUGUACUGAGCAGGUGGUUUGUGAGCAUGGGAGUGCAGCGAGCGAGAGACGGUGUAAGGGACUGCACUUACUAACAUGCGAACAAACAGCCCCAAGUACGCUACCCGGAAGCAGGAGGACUUUGCUUUUGGACCGAGACAGGGCGGGCUGCUAGCACGCGUAGGGCUGUUGUGCACGUGACGGCGCCGACGAAUGCAUGCCUGCGACACCAAUGUCGCGUUGGGUCCAGUGGGACUGGUGGGACAGUGCGCGGUGAAGGCAGGUGCAAGGCAGGUGCAAGGCAGGCGUAAGGCAGGCGCUACAGACAUGCAGGAUGUGAUUAGGAAUGCCGUGUGGGAGUGGCGGGGGCGGUGCGGACGCCGCGUCGCAGACAUUGCGUCGGCCCUGUGAGUUGUGCAGCGCCUGCAGUCCGCUGUGGGCAGGGGUCAUGGGGUGGCCUGCUGGUUGCUCCGCCGUGGCGGACAGGUGUGCCUAUCGUCCUGUCCGGCGGCCUGGCAGGGGCACCGGUGGUGCAGGAGUGUGGGACCCGGCUGGGAGCUUCUGCUGUGCGCGUGUGCUUGUGGACUCAUGGAGUCGUGGUCGCGUGGGCCCGGGGGCCUCGGGUGCCCGACUUGCGAGUCGAGUGCGUGCGUGGCAGUCAGUCAGUGAGUCAGCCAGUGUACUGACGAUCCCGCGCGGUGCGAUCUUGGGUGCGGUGCAGUGUGUGUGCACACAGAGUCACAGAGUGUGUCGCGCAGCCCGCAGUGUGCUGGUGGAGGGGUGUGCUGGGAACCGCGGGAGGCGCGGGCGGUGGGCUGUCCUGUGUAAGGAUGGCGACAUACGGCACGUCACUGCCGCUUAGAAAUGCCACGUCGGCAGGUCAGGCCGAAAGCCUGACAAGAGAAGGUGGCUCUCCCUUGCAAGGGAAAAGUGGGCUGUGCCGCCACGCCACGUCCUCCGUCUGAGGCCGAAGGUUCCGAUACUAGCCUCAUCUCCCGGACAUAGCCGGGGUCGGUUUGUACAGGCACCGCCCGCCAUAUGUGCCCAGUCGCGCCCAGCUAUCAAGCACUAGUGCCGCAGGCAGCAGGCCAACCAGACAGCAAGGAAAACCUCUCAACACCCUUGCCGCUGCAGCUGACUGCCCGCUACGCCAUCCUCGUCAGCACAGGUCGCUAACCAGACAACACCGGCAGGUCUCAACCUGCGCGCCGGCGCCGCUUUGAAGGCGACGCCGCGCUGUCCUCCUCCACGUGGCCUUGCCCGCCCCCUCUGCUCCGAACAUGCGCGCCGCCACUGCCGCUGGGCCCAGGGCCGCCCGUGCCGCCGCCACCACCGGGCCCAACGCCGUGGCCGCUGCUGUUGCCGUGUCGCGCCAUUAUGCCGGCAUGGCAUUUCGCCGGCAGCAGGGGCUAACCGUGCCAUGGUUGUGGGGGUUAGUUCGUGCCAUGCAGCGGGAUGAGGCUGUCGCCCGGCUAUAAGGGCGCAGCGCCGGCCUGUACCGGCGCUGCUUUCUCGUUACUCCCAACUGUGCAUAGGUUUACUCUUAUGUGCACCAACAACGGAUCGACGUCUGUAACGAACUCUGGUGGACAGCGCACUGGGUUCCGGAAGUCAUCUGUUGGGGCGUCUUCGGGUUGCAGCCAAGUCUAGGCGCGCAGGCGCAUAGCAACGUCACUCUAGCCUAGCAACCACGCAUCACCGUCAGCUGAGCUGCCAAACGGACUAGUUAGGCGAGGAGACAGCCGCCGGCUUCGCAAGUCUCGGAUACCGGUUCUCGAGCGCGCUGCUUGGGCAGCCUGCGGAGGCGCCGGUCGGCCUAUCCUGCAGCCACCAAGUAACGAGAAAGCAGCCGGCAACUACAGCUGUGGUGACGGCGACGUGGGAGCUCGCGGCGAGCCGACAACAUCACCGACGCUCGGGGACGCCUCCAUUAGUCCUGCUUAGCGGCAUUAUGGAAACUUUGCCAUGUAUUGACACUCUUGGCUGCAGAAGAGUUGUCUUUCCGUGUUUGGUAGCACUGGCCACUGUGGGCAACGGACCUAGAGAGUUCUCUAAACAGUAGAAGAAUUCCAACAGUGAGGAUCCUGGCCAUUCAUGGAGAGCGGCUUUAUGGAGUUAUUGAGCCGCGUCGAGGGUGGUGAAUGGACAUGAACAUGCUCGGCGGACUGUGCGAGACUGCUUGCGAGUGGUCUUUGUAUGUUGUCAUUGUGACAUGUCCACGGUGAUUCUGGAUCGCCGGGGACGUAAGCUGGGGGGACCGCGUGCCCGCGGUUUCGUGUGCCCCGCAGCCGGUUGCCGGAGACAAGCGUCACAUUCAGGCGUGCCCUUGAGACGAGCUGCACGUAGAAGCUACUCACCUGGAUGCUGAUGAGCUGUGUGGGGCUUUCGGGCGCGUUUGAGCCCCUUUCGCUAUGGACUUGUGGACAGGCGGUCACACAUGGUGACAGCCUCGGGACUGCAAGUUUUCGUCCUCUCUGCUGUGGGGGGAAGUGGUGUGACCGGUGGCGGCGCCGUGCAAAGCCGGCAGAAUGACACGACAGCUGUCGCGCCAUUAUGCCGGCAUGGCAUUUCGCCGGCAGCAGGGGCUAACCGUGCCAUGGUUGUGGGGGUUAGUUCGUGCCAUGCAGCGGGAUGAGGCUGUCGCCCGGCUAUAAGGGCGCAGCGCCGGCCUGUACCGGCGCUGCUUUCUCGUUACUCCCAACUGUGCAUAGGUUUACUCUUAUGUGCACCAACAACGGAUCGACGUCUGUAACGAACUCUGGUGGACAGCGCACUGGGUUCCGGAAGUCAUCUGUUGGGGCGUCUUCGGGUUGCAGCCAAGUCUAGGCGCGCAGGCGCAUAGCAACGUCACUCUAGCCUAGCAACCACGCAUCACCGUCAGCUGAGCUGCCAAACGGACUAGUUAGGCGAGGAGACAGCCGCCGGCUUCGCAAGUCUCGGAUACCGGUUCUCGAGCGCGCUGCUUGGGCAGCCUGCGGAGGCGCCGGUCGGCCUAUCCUGCAGCCACCAAGUAACGAGAAAGCAGCCAGGUGGCGGAGACAUUCAUAACCGGCAGAAUGACACGACAGACGGAGAGCCUGCGGGCAAGGGCGGCCUGGGUGCAGCGUCACUACCCGGAGGCCGCCGGCAAUCUGCUGGUGGCUCAGCAUCGCGAUACGCGGCGCUAUGCGGCCGCGCGCGCGGCGCGCCGCCUGACAAACACGCCAGAAUUCAGCGCUGGCGACUACGUUUACAUCAAGAAGCUGAAGGUGGACAACACCCUGCAAUUCCAGUAUUACGACACAAUACUCAGGGUGAAGAGCGUGGGGCCGCUGGGUGUAGCGGUGCUCAUAGGACGGGACGGGACGCAGCAGCUGCGUCGGAGGGUGGAGCAGCUGGCGCCCUGCCACCUGGACGUGGACCCGGCGAUAGAGCCGCAGCUGUUUCGCCCCGGCAAGGACCUGGCCUGCGAAGCGUGCAGCUCGCCGGGGCAGCCGGCCAGGAUGCUGCUCUGCGACGGCUGCAACCAGGGGUGGCACACGCACUGCCUGCGGCCGCCGCUGCGGGAGGUGCCCACAGGCGCCUGGCUAUGUCCGAGGUGCCUGGCGCACUUAUCGCAGCAGCCACCGACAGAGGAGGCGACGCGCGAGUGGCCCGAGCAGCUAGGCCAGUUGCUGUUCCCCAAGGCCAGCACGCGCAGGUUGGAUGAUGAGGCCCGGCAGAUGGACGGCACGGUGGUGACUAGGCGGGUGCGGACGGGCAGGGGCAAGGGCGCGGGGGAGACGGAGCAGAAGGCCCUGCUGCAGUUCCGUGGCGCACUCUACCGGCCGCACUACUUUGCCGUGAAGUGGCCGGGCGAAGUGGAGAUGGAGUACUGGACUCUGGAGCAUGUGCGGCGCGGGCGGGCGCGCGCAUAAGGAGAGUGGAAGGACCAGCUGGGGGGACGAGGGCGUAGCUAGUGUUGGAUAGUUGCGCAGGUAUUCGGGAUGGAGGGCCCAGCUGGGGGGACGAAGCGGUAUGAAGGAUGGUAUUGUGGAUUCGGAUGACGGUGGGAGGAGCGAUCAUUCGCUAUUUGGCUUGGGUUGAGAUGUCUAAGGAUGACGUGUGUUGCGUAUUUGUGGCCUCUCUGAAGGGGACCGAACGUGGACUGACAAUUUGGACGUAUUGACCAUGCGUGCAUGCCUGUCCCUGCGUGAGCCAACCUCGGUUGCCAUGCUUGGCCUCUCUCGGUUGUGGGGGGAAAUGGCGGGACAGGUGGCGGAGACAUUCAUAACCGGCAGAAUGACACGACAGCUGUCGCGCCAUUCUGCCGGCACUGCAUUCCACCGGCACGAGCGUGUGUAGCCUAGGGUUUUGUGUCGCGUGUGUGACUGCGUGUGGACUUGAGCAGCUAAGACUGCUGUGUAUCGCCUGCUUGGUGUAGGAUUAACCUUGCUUGCUAUCAGCCUGAGAGAAAGGUGCGAGUGAGAAGUUGCCGUACAGUUGGUCGGCGCACGUAGCGGGCAGUGACGCCUGUGAGCGGCACUGUCCGCUGUUACUCCAUAUUGGCUUUACGACGACUAAUGUGUAGUUCUUGUGACUCGCUGAGAGCAGACUGAUCACCUGCGGGAGCGAGAACGCCAAGGCGUGUUCAGCGGCAGGCAAGACUAGCGUUUGGACCAGCUAGCAAUCGGGGGCAUGCCCAGUGAGAACCGCCGGGGUAUCUCACAACUCGGGGACUGCGACGGCAGUCCAUUGUCCCAGCAAACCCGCAACUCGCGUAUUCCUCCAGCAAUGAAGCAGCGUCCUCGCCUGGCCAGCUAGGUUAUGUCUAUGCCUAGCCUGGUUUAACACAGGUGGCCAGAGUGCAUGCGCAACCCAGUAGUGGUGUGACCGGUGGCGGCGCCGUGCAAAGCCGGCAGAAUGACACGACAGCCGCCGGUAGGCGCGGUGCCACCACCGCCGCCACCGCCGUCUCCAGGCCCUGCACCGCCGCCACCGCCACCGCCACCGCC